RNAcentral lists this long non-coding RNA (114676 nucleotides) under Gossypium barbadense (sea-island cotton). Its description in RNAcentral is "long non-coding RNA (GBAR_LNC015199)". The record is from RNAcentral. Lineage: Eukaryota; Viridiplantae; Streptophyta; Magnoliopsida; Malvales; Malvaceae.
AGCGACACACCCUUCCACUAGACUAUCCCCCUUUUCUCUCUGAAUUUUUAGAGACCAGUCCCGAACCACGGCAUUCUUCUCGGUUAUUUGUGUAAUUGACUCCUCCAUCAGAAACCCAUUUUUUUUGGCAACCAACUUUUAAUCAACACCUUCCUAAUAUGAUGCCUAUGAUGCAUGAUGAAAAUAAAAGUAAAAACAAAUAAACUUGGUUAGUAAACACAACAAAUAUAAUUUGAAAAACAAAUUAAACUACCCAAUCCAAUUAUUUUGCAUAAACAGCGUAAAUGAAAGGCAAAACGCAUUUUCCCCGUGUACUUAUUUUAAUGACUAUAAGCGGACAGAGGUUCAGCAUGGCUCUAAUUGGAUAGCUCGUAUGGUUCACUAUAUGCGGUUUUGGUUCUAGGUGGGUACUCGAAUCGUCUGCACUGUCAUCUACUAAGAUUAGUACAGAGCCUCGGUCAUGGCCCAUCAUAGGCUUACGAUGAUCAAUUCGAGGGAUUACAUUUACUUAUGCCUAUGCGGAGGGACAAGUUAACUCACGAAAGCAUAAGUCAUAUGUAACCCGAAAGUAUUCACUAGCCUGUGCGGAGGAACGAGUUAACUCACGAAGGCGUAGCGUUUACUUUCUCUUAACAGGGACGAAGCCCGGGUAUAGAGCUCAUGUUAUGCAAAAAAAAAAAUGCAAGUGCACGGUGUGUGGGGAGAAACUUGUAAACCUUUACGUUUUAUUUAGAAAAAACUAAACCAAAAAUAAAAUCGCAAAAAUUUAAAGCUGAAAAACAACCUGAUAAAACAAAUUAGAAUAUGUACAACACAAUGCAAAUGCAUGAUUUUUUUUUAAAAACAAAAAAUUUAAGGAUCACGACUAAAUGUUAAUUUGAACAAGAAAUUUUGAAAAUUUUGACAACACGCGUUUAACAUUAGACUCGACUCUCGAAAAAAAAAAAAGUCCCCAGUGGAGUCGCCAGCUGUAGCAACCUAAAAAUUUGGCAAUAGGCGCUAGUUGAAAUGAUUAUUGAAAAAUUAAAGUUUCAAAUUUUAUUUACAAAAGAGGAGUCGCCACCGAUCUUUUUUAGGUAUGAUCGGACACCAAAUAAAAUCCUUUUUUAGAAGAAUUUUUUUUUAAACUUUUCUAAAAAAGAGACAAUUUUAGGUCCACGUCAAAAUCCAGAAAAAAUUAGGGUCCGGGAGUCGGUUACGCGCGAGGAAGGUAUUAGCACCCUCGCGACGCCCAAAAUUGGUAUCUCGUUAAAUGCAUGUUGUCCUAAUUUUCAAUAAUACGAGUUCCAUUUAAUAUUUAGUCGUGAUCCGAUUGAAAUACGAGAACCCUUUUUUUUUUAAAAAAAACACGAGAAUUUUGAAGCGCAGUAUUUCUUUUUUAAAACGAAAGUUUUUUUUUUAAAACACGAGAAUUUUUGAAAACACGAGAAUUUGUAAACACGAAAAUUUUAGAAACACGAAAAUUUUUAGAAAAAACGAAAUUUUCUUAAAACACGACUUUUUUUUUUGAAACACGGGAAUUUUUAAAACAGGGAAAUUUUAGAAACACGAAAAUUUUUAAAACACGACAUUUUUUUGAAACACGAUUUAAAAAACAAAAAUUGAAAUGCGAGAAUAUUUUGAAACACGAAUUUUUUUUUAAACGCGAGAAUUUUUGAAAACAUGGAAACUUUGAAACACUGGAGUUUUUGAAAACACGAGAAUUUGUGAAACAUGAAAAUUUGUGAAAACACGUAAAAUUUUUUUUAAACACGAAAAUUUUUGAAACGCCAGAAUUUCUGAAAACACAAAGAUUUUUGAAAACACGAAAAUUUUUGAAAACACGAAAACACAAAAUUUUGUCGAAUACUGAAUUUUUUUGAAAACACAAUAAUACCAAAAAUAUUCACGAAAUUUUUUUUUAUUUUUUUUAUUUUUUUUAUUUUUUAUUUUUUUAUUUUUUUUGAAACACGAGAUUUUUUUUGAAAACACGAAAACACGAAUUUUUGAAACACGGAAAUUUUUGAAAACACGAUUUUUUUAGAAAGAAACACGAAUGUAUUUUUUUCGAAACACGGGAAAUUUUAUUAUUAUUAUUUUUGAAACACGAGAAAUUUUGAAGACAUGAAUUUUUUUUUAAAAAAACGAUUUUUCUUUAAAAAUACGGUAUUUAACACAAAUCGAUGAUAUUCACCCCGAUAUGGCGAUGAAACUAUCGAAUUAGUGUUAAAUUAAUUCAAUUUAAUAUUUAAUCGGGAUUCUAAUAAAACAAGAGGAUUUUUAUUGAAAUACGAGAAAUUUUGAAUAUUUUCAAUUUUUUAUAAGGGCGUCCCGUAUUUAACACGAGCCAUCGAUAUUCAUCCAACAUAGCGAUGAAUUCGAUAAUUCGAUGCUAAAUCAGUUCGUUGCCUUAUGCAUUAAAAUAUUUAUCAUUAUUAUUAUUUAAAAAAAUAUGUAAUUAAAAUGACAUAAUAAUAUCUAUGAAAAACUAUUUUUAAACAUACUAUUUUAAAUUAAAUAAAAUACCAUUUAAAUACAUUAAACAAAAUAAAAUAGAUUAAAAAGAAAAAAAGAAGAAAAAAAUUCACCCAAAAGACCAAAGUCUUGGAGGACAAGCCCUUUUUCUUUUUUUGCUGCAAAUUGAGGCUUAGUGGGCCGUCAGUGGUGUUGGGCCUGCGCUGGGUCGGGUCCACUGGUGGUGGGCUGCUGGUGGCCUACCAAAAAAUGGGUUUUAUUUUUUCUUUAUUUUAUCUUUUUCUCUCUUUUUCCUUUCAUCUUUCUGUUUCUUCUCUUCUUUUUUUUUUUUCAGUUACCCUUUUUUCUUCUUUUGCUUGCUGUUUUUUUCUGUCUUUGUCUGCUUAUUUGUGGAGGUGCGACGGUGGUGGGAGUGUAAGGGCGCGCCGGCGAGCACGGUAGCGGCGAAGGAGCGGCGGAUUUUUUGAAGUUAUUUUGUUUUUUUUUUUUUUGCUACUCUUUUGUUUGCUUUGCUUUUCUUUUUGGUUGCUUGCGACUUUUCAGGUGGUGGGGGCAAGGGGACGACAACGGUGGCGGUGGUUGAACGACGGUGGUGAGGGCUUUUGCUUGCUGCUGCUUGAUUUUUUUCUCUCUUUUUUUGCUUUUUGGUUGCCGAAAAUAAAGAACCCCCCUUUCCCUUUCCUUCAAUUUUCUUUUAAAUGCUUCAAUUUUUGUCGUUUUCCUUCUUGUUUUCAGGUGGUGGGUGAAGAAGGAGCAGCCACCCAUGUUUAUGGCCUGAAAAUCGGGGAAGUGGGUGCCCCAAAUCACGUAACUUGUCUGAAGGACCAAAUCACAAAUGCAGCAAAACUUCUGGGGCUAAACGUAAUUUUUAGAAAAUUUAGGAUUAAAAUGAAAUUUAAUGAAAGUUUAAGGGUCUAAGUGAAAUUUAAAGAAAGUUUAAGGGUCAAAAUGAAAUUUAGGAAAAGUUUAGGGGUCAAAAUGCAAUUUUUAUUUUUUAAUUUUUUUUUUGAAAUUUUGAAAAUUAAAUACAAACUCUAGUCGGACAAAAAUUUAGUGCUUACAAUACCAACAUGCGUUGACUUGCAUUUUUAGGGUAUUUUGAGGUCGUUUUCUAAUUUUAAGCCCUAAGUAUUGUAGUAAUAUGAAGGGCAAUUUAAUCUUUGAGUUAUUUUGUAAUGACCCAAAAUUCACGGGCACCGAAAAAGUGCAAUAUCUGGCCUCCGACUUGGUACAUCGAGUUCAUAAGUAAUUAUUAGAAAUAUUUAUGAGUCUGGUUAUGUGUCUAAUUAGGUUUUAAUUAAGUGAAUUUAGCUUAAUUAAGAGUAAUUAGUAAAAAUGACUAAAUUGAAUAAGGAUAAAAGUUUAAUUGUAGAUUAAAGAAAACUCAAAUAAGCUAAAUAGGCAAUUAAAAUAUUAGAUAUUUAUUAUUAAUAUUAUUAUUUGAUAUUAUAUUAUUAAAUAAGUUAAAUAAUGACAAAUGUAUGGUGAUGAAACCAUACAUUUGUAAUAAAUAGAUAUAUGCACACUUGUUAAAUAAUUAUAUAUUACUUAUUAUCAAAGUAAAAGAUAUUUAUUAUUAUAUCAUAAUAAUUAAACUAAAUGAAAUAAAAUAAUAAGAAACAAAGUAUAGAAAAGAGAAAGGCAACAAAAGCUUAAACGAAAAAGGAAGGGAGAAAAGGGAAAGAAAAAAAAAAAAGGAGAAACUAAGGUUUUAAAGCUUGGAGUUUAAUUUGGUAAGUCAAUUAAGUCCUUUUCUUUUAAUUUUGAUGUUUUAGAAGCUUUAGAAUAAAAUUUUGUUGAAAUUAAGUUUAAAUUUUGGAAGUUCUUGGUUUUUUGGACAUGAGUCAUGAUGAACAAAAUGAUGAAUUAGGGGUUUAAUGGAAUGAAUUUCAAGUUAGAAUUUAUAGGAAGUAAAUUGUAAAAGAAGCUAUAAGUUUUGUGUUAGAGGGACUGAAUUGAAAGAAACUUGAAAUUAGGGUUUUAAUAUAAACAUUGGAUAGUUAAGUUGAAUAUGACGAGAUUAAGUAGAAAUGAAGUGUGAAUUGUGUUAGAAAGUAAAUGAGUUAAUUAGGACCAAAAUGAAAAUAGGGUAUAAAUUGAAUAGAAAUUGAAUAAUUUAUUGUAAAUUGGUAUUGUAUUAAUAGUAUGAAUUAUUUUAAUUUUUGUAGCUAGCAAAGAACCCGAGGCAUCGACACAGAAAGGAAAAGAAAAGAUCAUCAAGGAGUAGACAUGAGAAUUACGAUUUGUAUUACUAUAAGUCAAAUUAUUUAUUAUCAAAUAUUUGUUAAAUUAUGUAGUUGGUAAGUGAAUUAUGAGGUAAGUGUCAUUGUUGAAUUGAAUAGAAAUUGAGUUGAAUAAUAAUUAUGUAUUGGUAUUGAAUAAUGAUAAUUAUGUAUUGGUAUUGAAUUGUGAUUGAAUAAUUGAAUUGAAAAUGAGUUUGGAAUUGAAAAUGAAAUUAAAUUGAAAAAUGAUUUGGAUACCCUAUUAACUAGUCGGGCUGAGUCGGAUAUAAUUUUUAUGCCAUAGGAUUCGAAGAGUAUGAGAUUUCUCGGCUUUGCCGAUCAGGCACUAUAUGUGUUAUAUUAGAUACCAUGUGUGUUGUAUCAGGCACUUUAUGUGUCGUAUUACUGCUUCUAAUAAAUUGAUCAGGUACUGAGUAUCGUUUUAGACGCAAUGUGCCGUACUGGUGUGUUUGGUUGGAUCCGUGUAUCCACCAAAGUCCUAGUUAUGUUAAUAGGGGUAAAUAAAUGGAAGAAUGAAUUGAACAAUUGAGUUAUUGAAGAGAUGAGAAAGUUGAAUCUGUAAAUCGAAUUUGAGAAAUGUAUUUGAGACUGAAAAAUGAAAGACAUAAACCGAAGGUUCAUGAGAUAAUUGAUUUCAAUUUGAUGAUAUAUGAUAUCAAUUGACAAAAUUGUGACUAUCGUGAUUUGAAGCUAAUGAAUGAAUUAAUGCAUGUUAAGCAAAUUGUUAUAUGUUUAUUACCUAUAUGUUUAUAAAUAUUUAUUGUUAUUGUAGUUUGAAUUAUGGUAAUACCACUGAGUAUAGGUAUACUCAGUGUAUGGUUGUUUCCAUGCGCAGGUCAGUAGAAGUCAAAGGACACAGUUUAACAUCCAACUCAAUUUUCGACAUCAGCACAAAAUUUGGUGAUGAAUUCUUCUUUUGGUAAAACUAGCAUGUACUAGGUGUUGUAAAUAUUACUUGAAUAUGUUAUAUAAUUUUUUGUUGUAAAGAAUGAUAUAUGGUGUUUUGGUAUCAAACUUGAAAUGGAAAUUGAAUGAAGUUUUUUUUAGCAAAUUCUAUAUGGUAGUAAAAAUGUUAUUUAGUCAAGUUGAUAAGUUAACGUUUAAGCAUGAUAUGGGAAUGUUAAGUGUGUAAAUGUAUUGGUUGAAACAUUGGUUUUGGAUUGGGUUUGAUUUAUAAUUUGCAGGGAGGUUAGGUUGCUAUAAAAGGGCUUAUAUUGAGUCCACACAGCCUAGCACACGGGCGUAUGGCCAGACCGUGUGAGACACACGGCUAGCACAUGGGCAUGUGAACUAGCCGUGUGUCUCCUGCAUCUUAAAAUUUGAAAUCAGAAUAGCACACGGAUAGAGCACAUGGGCGUGUGACUUAGCCGUGUGAAGGACAUGGCUUUAAGCAUGGGCGUGUACCAAGGCCGUGUGAAAACUUUACUUUGUAACCUUAAGUCAGAUUAGCACACGGCCUAAGCACACAGGCGUGUGGCUUGGCCGUUUGAACCUAGUUCUUCAUGCUUAUGAAGUCAGAAAGCAACACAUGUAAGGGACAUAAGCGUGUCCUAGAAUACCUUGGCCGUGUGAGCCUUACGGCUCAACAACACGGGCAUGUCAUGGAGUUACACUCUAACCCACACGGGAGUAUGAUCCCUACACCUAGGAAAAUUUUGAAAUUUCAUGAAAAAAAUUUUCGGAGCAUUCAAACAAGUCCCGAUCCACUGCUAAUGUAUAUUUUGGGCCUCGAAGGUUCAUUAGUGGGACUAUAUGAUUAAAUUAUAAAUAUGUAUGUUAUUUAUUUUUGAAUUAAUUGUAAAUUGUCUAAUAUGUCCAAUAAUGCCUCAUAACCCUGUUUCGACGACAGUUUGGGGUUAGGGGGUGUUACAUAUUUCCUAUGUAAACAACAAUUUAUUUUUCAAUUAAGGGGUAGAGAAUUAGAGAUGAGUAGUCAGUAGAUUUUAUAUUAGAAUUUUUCUCUCAGAAAUUUUCUUAGAUUAGGUUUCAGUUUUAUCUUUUCACUUUUUAUUUUUAUCUCUUAUUUCACUUGGUGUGUGGAGUUCCUAUUUUUGAUUAAUCUUUGCGAUUGGAGACGAUUUAAGAACUUUUCAAUCAUCUGAUUUAUCAAUGAGAAUUUUUUCCACUCAUUCUUAUUUUAUAUUUUGUUCGUUAUUUAUUUAAUGGAAUGUUUGUAUGAAAAUAAGAAUGAGUUAUGUGCUUUCAUGGAUUUGUAUAAAUUAGUUGAUUCAUCAAUUAUUUGAUUCAGUAUUAUUCCUAUUCAAUCGGGUAUUUAUUUAAUUUUGCCAAACUAUUAAGAAUACUAGAAUUGACGUCUCUAAUAAAAUAUGUAGACAAAGGAAACCGAUAGGAGAAUUUUUCGUGUAUUUUUUGGUAAAUGUGUGCCAAGCCGUGAGACCGAAAGCAAAGUUGUAUUCCUAAGUGAGACCGAAAGGGUAGCUUAGGUGAUAAUCUUUAACUAGGAAGAGACCGAGAGGGUAUUCCUAAGUAAGAGUAGUAAAUAAUUCAAUCGAGUUAGGGUAUUAACUUAAUUAAAAAUUAAUUAAUCAAUUUAUCUUAGAUUAACGAAAUUGCAUGGUUGAAACAAGAAAUAGGAAAUUCCUUAAUUCCUAGUAGAUAUUAAGUUUAUAAUUAGUUUUAUCUCAAUUCGAAUUUUGUCUGCACUACUAAUUUAUGACUCGAUUAGAUUAAUACUUGCUUUUAAAUGAUUGAUUUAAUAACAAAAUAUUCUAAUAUUUGGCAAUCCCUUAGGUUCAAUCCUCGAAAUACUCUCGUAUUUCAUUUUAAAUUUCUAUAUUAUAAUUUGACAUUGUACACUUGCAGUUAAAAAACUGCUUUUAAUUUUUUUUAUAAAUUGUUUGUUUUCUGCGCACGCGGUCAAAUUGUUGGCAUCGUUGUUGGGGAUUGUAAUAGUGUAAAUUUAUUAUUAAAUUAGUUGUUCUUAGAAAAGAAAUUUCAAUUGAAAGAUAAGCAAGUUAGAUAGUUCUUUACUCUUCUUGUAUGGUUAUUUUCAUUUUCAUUUUUUGUUUUUGUUAUUAUGUUUAUUUACUUUGCUGGAAAUUUUGACUCAACUAUGUAUAACGAUGGAUAUAAAUGGAAAGGUGAUCAAUACGAAUAUGAUGAGAGGUCGAGUUGGGCAAACAAAGAUUUGACGAACUAGUGGAGUAAUGGUGGUGAGUAUGGAGGGCAUGAGUAUUUAUAUGAACAUUCUUAUAAUUUGUAUGGAUAUGCAACUGAGAGGGAUAGCUAGAAUAGAGGAUGGUCCACCAAUUAUUCGACUUAUGAUCCCCAACCCCAAUGUUACUAUCCAGAUUGGGGUGAGGAUUAGAAUAAAUAUAAACAGGACCUAUCACUUGUUGCUUGUGUUAGUGCAUUAGAGGAUAACAUGUCUUCAUGCAAAGUUUCCAUGUCCUCUAUUUCCAAACAGAUGGAAUAGUUGUUGGAACUUGUCAAACGACGAUUCGAAGUGGACACUCCAAAAGAAGAGGUUGAGCAUGAUGUUUCUGAAUCUGAAGAUGAAUGUCACUUUAUUAUUGUUAAGCGUGAUAAGUUGGAUGUUCAACAAGACUUUGGAAUUGGAGACCAUAAUUAAAACUUGAAUGCGGAAGAAAGUGUCUCUAGUUCAAUUGACAUAGGAUUAGGAGUAGGAGUAGAUGUAGAGUUAGAUGCUGAAGAGAAGCUUAAACCAAAACCGAGGUUGCAACAUGAGGAUGUGAAGUCGUGACUACAUGAUAUGAUGUCGCAAGAAGGGAAACAAAGACAAAAUCAAGGCAUCCAAGUCAGUAUGUCAUGUUGUGAUGAGGUAAGUCUUGACGUUGCGAUGAGCUACCUUGAAGUCACGAUAACACUAAUUGAGGUCGCGACGAGCUCUAUUGUACCAGCCCUAGUAAUUGAAAUCUGGAUACAACGUCACAAUGAGUAAGGUUUUAAUGUCACGAUGGGGUGACAAAUUUAAAACUCUAUCAUCCCUAAGCCUGCAUUUAAAUAGUUUCUUAUGUCUUCUAAACUCUUCUCUCACCGUUUUUGCUCUCCACAUCAUCAGCAUCUUUUCUUUUUUCUAUCUUUUUAUUUUUAUUUGUUGUUUUAGUUUUAGUUUUACAUUAUUUUAGUUUGAUGUUAUUUUGUGUAGUGUUUUAUUUUUUAGGGAUUUUUCUGUUCGUUUGGAGCACACGUUGACCUCGAUGCCAAUGUGAUACCGAGGUUUUGGCCUUUUUAGAGGAAUUUUCUUGUUUCCACUUAUUAUAACGCCCUAAUUUAUUUAACUUUGUUUUUAUGAAUUUUUUCAUAAAUAAAUAUUUAUUUUAGUGGUUAAGUGUUUGUAUGUUUGAGGUCUUGGGUUCAAGUCCUAUUUUUAGAAAAUUAUGCUAUUUUUUAUCCUAGCCUUAUUUCUAGUGGUUUGACUUAUGCAAUACUUUCGGCCAACUCAUAUUAGAAUGAGCAUGUUGGUUCAAGUGGUAAAGUGUUAGCUUGUCUUAGGGUCUUGUGUUUGAACGAAGCAUGUUAAUUUUUACUUUUGUGAGUAUGUUCCGGUUGUGUUUUAAAAGUUUGGUGAGAUUAAAAAUCUGUGGUAGUUAGAUGAGAUUAGUGGGUAGGAUUCUGUGAGAUUGUGUUGUUAGUGGGGGAGUUGUUUGGGAGUUUUAUUUUUUUAAUUUUAAUUAAUUAAUUUUGUUUAAUUUUAAUUUUGUUUUCCAAAAAUAGUCCCCUCUGGAUUUUACGUCACUUUUUUGUCUUUUUUCUCUUCUAUGUACCAUUUUCUUCUUUUUCCCCUCUUUUGAGUUUCAAAUCAAAAUUGUGUGUUACCUUUGUGGAUCGACGUCACUAUUUCAAUUCAUCAUCUUUUUUUAUGCAACUUUCAAUUGCGUUUGUUUCAGUAAGUUUUGUAUAGGUGUGGUUUUAUUGUUUCUUGGCUAGUGAUUAAUGGGGUUUUUUGUUUAAUUCUUGGUUAGGGGAAAGGCAAGAAGCAAUUGGUGCUCUUCCAACAAAUUGAGCGUUAGGUGUUUUCUGUUCGUUGUUGGUAAGUGUGCGAAUGCAUUGAAUGUUGUUGUGUGGCUUUGUUUUUGAAUAAUUUGUAUUUGAGUUUCAUAAAUGUUUACUAAAAUUGGGUGUUGGGAUACUGUUUUUAGUGUUGGUGGUCUUGAAGUUGAUUUUGCAUCAGAAUAGAACCAGGUAUGUAACAAAAACGCGAGAAAACGACGGUUGUUGAAAGCAAAAAAUCUGGCCUAUCGACGACACACGGGCAUGUGCCCCGCCAUGUGGUAGGCCAUGUGCGACACACAGUCGUGUGGCGGGUUGGGCGUGUGGGCCAUACAGGUGUAUGGGCCUAUAUGGGCAUAUAGGCCCAAAAUUCAGAAUUUUCCCUAAUGUUGCACACGUCAAUUCAGUUGACAGUGGGCCUUCUGUUGAGUCAGUAUAAGCAAAAAAAAAACCCUAAAGCAUGAUAUUUUCUACUCUGUUAGAUUGGUAUGAGUACUAUGAAAUACAAUAUGUAUGAUUUGAUUAUUAUGUAUAACCAUGUGUAGUGUUUGUAAACGAGUAUGUGUGACAUGUUAAUUCUAAUAUAUGUGUUACUGUCUGUAUAUAGUAUUGGGGCGAGAUAUGCUUAAGUGGAGGAAGUAUUUUGUAUGAGGUGACAUCUCGACAAUAUUCUGGCAGCAUGGCUGCGAUUAUUCUGAUAAGUUUCGUACGGACACUACGUGGUGUGUAGGGUUGGGUGGGUGUUUUAUAUCUUAUGUGGUGUAUUGGGAUGGUCAGAGUUGGUGUGUAGAGGAUGGGGGUAGGACUAUGCAUAUUUGUUUCUGUAUGAUUCUGUUGAUAAUUUGAUUAUGUAAAGGAUAUAUGCCUGCAUCUGUCCUAUUCUGUUGUAUGAUAGAAUCUGAAUUUAUGUUUCUGUUGAGUUACACACUGAGUUUUUAAAACUCACUUUCUGUUUGUCUGUUCUGUUCAGGUAAUCCUCAGGCUUAGGUGGGUCAGUGCGACGGAGGCUCAUUUGUGACCACUUGUCUGUAAAUUUCAUAUACUUUAAAAGUUUACUUAAAUUUCUGGUUUUCAAAAGUUUUGUAAUUUUGGGACUCUCUGGACUUUUGGAUUUUACUUUUGGAUUUGGUUUAGAUUUGAGAUUGCUUGCGUCUUUCAACAAAACAAUUUACAAAACAACUGUUUUAUGUGAUCUACGCUUUUGAGAAAAUAGACUCGAUUUUCAAAAUAUAAUGACUUAUAAAACUUCAGCUUCAAAUUAUUGUUUUGUUUGAAAGAAUAAGCAAUCGAUGGUUUUAUUAAUGAAUGUAACAACAGAUUCUUUAAAAUAAAAAGGUAUAAUGUUUUUAAAGGAAAAGACAGAUUUCUAAUUUUUCUUUGUAAUAUCUCCAGAUUCGGCCAUAACGUCUAGGUCGGGCUUGGGGUGUUACACUUAUAAUUCAUUUGUUUUACAUUGAGGACAAUGUAUGUUUUAAAUAUAUCAAGGGGAGUACAUAGAUUUAUAAUUUUCUUGUUUUCUUUGUUUUGCUCGUUAUCUUUUGUUAUAUAUAUAUCAAAUAAUAAUAAUUUGUUUGUGCUUGAAUUGUAUGUUGCUUAGACUAUGUUGAUACUGAGAUUAUUGGUUGUGAAUAUUAAAUUAUGUAUUGCUGUCUUUCAUGCAUGUAACUUUUGUUUGAUAUUAGGUAAUUUGGUUCUUUUUAAGAUAGAUUAAUUAGUUCAUUUUGUUAAAUUGCAUAAUAGACUAGAGGUAAUUACUUUAAUAAAUAUGUUUGAUUUUGUGUCAUAUGAUAGAUAGGUUAUAUUCAUGUUUGUAGAUAGACAUUGCUUGAAUUGAUUAUCAUUCCUUUGUAUAAUUAUAAGUAUGAAAGAAAUUGUAUUUUGUGGAAUGUUUUGAGAUGAUCUAAGGCAUUGUUUGAAUAGCUAGUGCUUAAAUGAACCCACCUUUAUGCUAUGCAUCCUAGGUUUCCCAUGUUCAAUUGAUCCUCCACUAGCUCAGCACAAUCAUAUAUGGAUAGCAUUCAGAAUUGAUACUAUGAAUGAAUGAAAACAAUGAAAGAGAAAUAGAUUUCAUGUAUUACUAUCCACAGUAAAUACAUUUUCUCAAAUGGAAUAAUAGAUGACUUAGAAAUUAAAUUAAAUUAAUUUCUUUAAUUAUUAUGUAAUUAAUUGUAAUUAGAUAAUUGAGUGAGAAGUGAAAAGUACAUUAAUUAGUUAUCACAAUUUCACCAAACGAAAUGAUUAAAUUUAUUUAUACAUAUAUUUAGACUUUUGUUUAGUCUUUUUUGAAGAUGAUGAAAUCUUAAAAUAAUAAUCAUAAUAAAAAAUUCAAGCCAUAAACUUGGGAAACACUUUAGUUAGCAAAGUAGCCUUGAAAUUAAAACACAAAAUCACAUAAAAUUAGCUAACUAAGGCUCUUCAAUAGACGAUGUGGGAUAAUAAAAGAGCCCUAAACAUUACUAGAAAUCUCACAAACAUCACUAUAUCGUAGACUCUAGAUACGAUAACCAUAUAUAACUCUAAACAAACAUCAAACUAUGAUGAUUGCUAUUUUUAUUUUCUACUCUUUUAUUUGAUCCCUCAAUAGCAAUUUUUUGGCUUUGUUUAGCUCACUCAACACAGCAGCGAUACAUGAAAUACAUCUCCAUUGGACGUCCACACUCAGCACACUGCACCCUCUCCGGAAUCCCGCCACUGUUUUCCGGUAGAAUAAGGCGAGUGCAAUGAUGGUCAUCGGUAAUCCCUUCCAACUGUUUACGAAGUGCUGGGAUAAACCCCAUUUGCUUCGCAAGUUUUUCCCAUUCAUCAAAGCUCUCCAUGCUGCUAAGCACUUUAUCUCCAUUGGCUCUCACCAUUUCAUCUGAACCAGUGAAGAACACUGCCCAUCCAUUUUCACUACCGUCAUAUGCAAGCAUCGUCAUCACUUCUUGCUUUAUAGCGUCGUUUUCAAUGGUCUUCCCAUGUUGGAUUUUCGAGUACAACAUGCUCUCUAAUCGGUUCCAAAAGAACCACAGAUUGUCAUCUUCCCAAGCGUGGCUAAGUUGCUUCUCUUUGAUUAGACCAGUAAUCUUUUUCACUCGUUCCUUUGCAUUGUUUUUGCCAAUAUAAACCAUUUCUAAGCCAAUGUAGAGAGCCUUUGCAACCCCUUUUGUUGCGGUAGUGAAACUUUCGAUCCAUUCCAUUUGCACACCACCAUAAAAACAUACCACUUUCUGUUGGCUCACCUGAUUAUAUAAGAAACCAUACAAAACCAUGAAUAAAUUAAGCAUAUUAAUUUAUAUACAUAUGUAUAUUAAAGUUAUGUGGAGAUGUUCAUGUACCCAAGUAGGUAAGUUUGGCUCAAGGCGAUCAACGAGAAGCUCAAGGGUCCAAGCUUCAGCUUUCCAAAAACUUUCUUCUUUUUCGCUGCUAAAUGGGAAAGCUGAAUUUCCCCAUAUCCACAUCAUGUUGAGUGCAUUUGGGCAUAAAACCUUUCCUUUUGGAUCCAAUGUCACCGCAAUUGGUUUCUUAACGAAACCCCAUACUUCCAUUAUGUAUUUAAUCACUGCUGGUUCAAUAGCAAAAGGAUGAUUCACUGUAUACCAUGGCAUAAUUGAUUGUAAGCUCAAAAACUUUUGUUCAUAACCAUCAUCCCAAGUUGAUCUGUCCACAAUUGGGAGCCAUAGGAUCUCAUAGUUAAGCUCAGAUGAUACCCUUUCACCUUUGUAAAGAGCCUCAAGAACUCGAAUCUCCUCUUGGGAGAUGUCAAGAUCUGAAAUAAGCAAUAAAACAUGCUUUCUUCUCAAGACAUCAUUAAGAACCUGCUAAAUUUAUAGGAAGUUAAUAUGCGGUCCAAUCAAUUUAAAAACAUGCUUGAAACUUGGAACAUGAAAUUAAAUCAACCUUGGUCUUGUCUGGAUUCAAGAGAUAAUAAGUCUCUUCCUUGCGAAAGAUUUUUAGGAGAAUCUUCAAGUUGUCCGUUUGAGGUGUUUCAAUAGUACGCUUGAAGUCUUCAAAAGCUUCCAUUAGCUUCUCCUCAUCUGCAUCUCAUUAUCAUUAUAAGUCAUCUCUUUCUAUGAAUAAAAAGGUAAAAGUAUCAUUGAGGCCUCUUAUAGUAAGAGUUAGAUUGAAUUUUGUCUAUUUUAUUUAUAAAAUUGAUAAAUUAGUCCUUAUAUGUUAAAUUAAAGAGCAACAUGAUUCUUUCUAUUAAAAAUUUCAUCAUUUUUUAUUUUUAAAAACUGGUGUCGCCUUCAUGUUAAUAUAGAAGGACUAAUUUUUAACAAUAGAAAUAAAUGAAAUUAGUAAUAUAAUAACUAAUUUGCUUUUUGAUGUAAUGUAUAAGAAUUAAUUUAUUCACUUUUUUAAUAUUUAAUAUUGGAGGUAAAAUACAUUCAAACUCUCCAUGACACUUUUAGCAUGUAUACAUAUGAUUUAUAUUUCUGAGUUCUCUAGGAUAGACUCACCAAUGCGCUGAUAACAAAGACGUAAUAGACUUUGAAGGUAUUCAUGUAUGCCACUAACUUUAUGUGCUAAGCUUGAUAGUUCCCAUGCCUCAGAAGUCGAUGUAAUGAACCUGAACGAAACAAAAGAUUUGAUUAUUGAUAGAUUUUGUCAUCAUAUUGUGUCAUUGAGAGCAUGUAAGAAAUUCAUUACUCACUCGUGUCUCAUCCCUACGAGACCCGUAAUCUGUGCAGCACAAGCGACGACACUCCAAAUGAUCCAGUAGGUAGCAGUGGGGAUAUGAGCCAUGGCGAUCGACAAUGGUGGCACAUCGAUUGAAAUAAACUCAGAAGGUAGCUCAGUGAACUCAACAAUGCACUUGGUUACAUCAAUCAUUGCAUUGAUGAGCUUGUUAAGUGCAUCAAAGCGGGGUUUCAAUGUUUGGGAAUGCUCUAAAAUGUCGGGUAACUGCUUGAGGAGAGCCACGGAUUUGGCCAAUGAGUUGGAAGUGCAAAGCUGAACGAUCAGCCAAAAUUCCCCAAAAUUCACUGCGAAAGCAGCUAAUGUUAGCACCACUUUUGCAUCCCACGAAUAGCUUGAAAGCAUGUUGAGAAUCCCCAUUGUUGCUGCAUGAGCAUCCGCUCCUCCUGAACACUUGCAUGAUACCUACAAAACAUCAAAUGUUACUAUCGUCAUUUUGCGGUUUCGGAAAAGAUCGAGAUUCCGAAUGAAAAAAGAAGAGCCGAAUAACCUCGCAGCAGAUUUUGUGUACGAUAUAAGCCAAUGCAUCAAGUGCACCAUCAAUGGCAGACGAGUUGGUCCGAUCAUCGAGAGCAUCGAUGUGUCCCGUUCCACCCUACAAGACAAAAGCCAAAUUACCAAUGUCUUGAAAUCUUUCUAUUUUCAUGAAUAUAAACAUCAUGAAAUCAUAAGGUUAUCAAAAUUUACAUUCAUAGUAUGAUCAAUGUUGGGAAUGGUAUGAUGCAACACAUUGACAAUGACUUGGAGAAUUGGUUUAACAUCAACAAAACGACCGUCGGGGGCAUGAGUCGACUGAAUCAGCUUCAUCAUCGCACCGUCGUCGGAUGCGGCGAGCAUCUGACGCUCAUUCCUCGCCAGUUGCUGGGAUUUAGAAGCCAGUGAUGAGAGUAAGAGUGAGAUAGGGGUAGCCAUCGUUGAAUAUACGAAACUGUUUUUGAUGUUUGACGUGUGAUGUGUUUGGUAAGCAUUGUAGAGUUUAUAUAAUGAUGGGAACAUGCACUGGGGAGGGUACUCUGUCUUGUUUUAUUACCUGUCCUCUUUCCACAUUGUAACUACUUUUAACUUUUAUAUAUGACUAGAAAUACUUCUCCUCUUUUUAAUUAUAUUUAUUAAUAAUUACAAUUUAAAAAUAUUUAUAAUUGCUUAAAUACUUUAUUAUCUUACAUACACGAGUUUUAAUUAUUUAAAAAAUAUUUUACAAUUUCUAAAUGUCCCAAUUUGAAUAUCUAAAAUAAAUAAUAAUUACAAUUUAUAGCAAAUGGUACAAGAAAAGGUGCUAAUUUUUUAACUUUUGCAUUUACUUUAGAUCAUAGUAAAUGAUCAAUAAUUAUUUUAAUUGAACUCAAGGAUUCAUGUGCCCCAUUUAACCUUUGAAUUUACUUUAUUAACUUUACUUAAUAAAAAAAAAAUCAAUAUUGUCAAUCUUUGGGAAACAUAGGAUCCCAAACAAUGAUCUGUUUUCUUUUUGCCUCUUAUUAAAAGUCAAGUUUUUAAAUUGAAAACCAUUUAAGGUAACCAAAAAAUAUUGUGAGCACAAAAUUGCAUAAUAUCAAAUUUAAUUUUUAAUAUUUAUAUUAUUUUACCAAUUUUACUUUUAUUUUAUUUUUAAGUUAAUUUUGGUCUUCUUUUUUUUUUAACAAUUGAAUUGUUGUUAUUUUUUAAUAGAAAUAUUGACUAAAAUGUUAAGAGUGCCUUUGGAUUCACUGCGCUUGUAGUACAAUGAAAUCUGUUGCAUCACCGCUACAAUAAUUAAUCUUAUCGCCACUGCUUUUUUUAACCUAACCAGAGAUAAAUGAACCGCCCAUCUAAAUUAAGUUUAAAUACUUAUAAAUGGUAGCCUGCAUGGGAAUUCACAUGUACUUUAUGUUAUUUUUUUAUUUUGUUCUUGUUUUUUAAAUUAUUUGUUGGCGUGACAUUUGAGACAAAUAGCUUCAUGUCAGUAUGAAAUAUAUAUGAACGACCACGUGAAUUGUCACAUCAACAUUGUUAAAUUUUUAAUAUUUUAACCAAUAUUUUCAUUAAAAAAAUUUAACUCAUUUUAAAAUAUUAAUAAUUAAAUUGACACUUAUAAGGUGCCCGCUGCCCAUCACUAAGAUUUUGCAUUAAAAAAUAUUUAAAAUUUUAAGGUAAUUUUUUAUACAAUACAAAUGUGAAUUCACAGGCCCACAAAUGCAAGGUGAAAUGAGAGGGAGUAGGUAGAGGUAUUUCUAUGUGGUUUAAAAUGAGAAUAUCUCUAUUUAAUCCUUUUAAAAUUGAUGAUAUUAUAAGUUAACCUCAUAAAAAAAUAGAAUUCAAUUCUGACUCCAUAAACUAAUUUUCAUACUUCAUUAUCACACAAGUGAAUCUAUAUAUCAAGUCCGUCUUGGGUAUGCAUGAAUUUACUUUACAGAAUUUUAUAUCCCCUUAAUUUGGGAUUUAAUAUUUUAUACACAUAAAUUUAAAUUUAUAUACAUGGAAGCCUCUGCAUUGACACGUGUUCCGUUAUUCUUUAUUCCUUCCACAUUAUAAGAAAAUGGUAAUAUUUAAGUUUUGAUCCCUCUACUAUAUGUAAAGAUGUUUCAUCUUUAUAAUUUAAUUUAUAUAUUUUAUAAUAUUAUUGACUACUUCGAUCGAAUUUUUUGGCGUGAAUUUAUUUUUAAAAAUAUUUCGUUAAACUUGAACAAUUAAUAUUAUAUUAAUAUUAUAUUAAACAAGGUCAAGCAUGGACUGCUUUUUGUAGGUACAUCUCAGUAUCAUAUUCGUAAAAGGUCAUCAAUAAAUAAUAUAUCGACAAAAUUCAUUGUGUAACACGUUUCAAUACCAACAAUUAAUGAGGAUAAAAUUUUUGAACAAUAAGUGGUUGGAAGUAUUUUUAUUUUUAUUUUUAGAAAUUUUUUACUUGAAUCCACUCUUCACCCUACAAGAUUGAUUUUAAACCCUAAAAUNNNNNNNNNNNNNNNNNNNNNNNNNNNNNNNNNNNNNNNNNNNNNNNNNNNNNNNNNNNNNNNNNNNNNNNNNNNNNNNNNNNNNNNNNNNNNNNNNNNNNNNNNNNNNNNNNNNNNNNNNNNNNNNNNNNNNNNNNNNNNNNNNNNNNNNNNNNNNNNNNNNNNNNNNNNNNNNNNNNNNNNNNNNNNNNNNNNNNNNNNNNNNNNNNNNNNNNNNNNNNNNNNNNNNNNNNNNNNNNNNNNNNNNNNNNNNNNNNNNNNNNNNNNNNNNNNNNNNNNNNNNNNNNNNNNNNNNNNNNNNNNNNNNNNNNNNNNNNNNNNNNNNNNNNNNNNNNNNNNNNNNNNNNNNNNNNNNNNNNNNNNNNNNNNNNNNNNNNNNNNNNNNNNNNNNNNNNNNNNNNNNNNNNNNNNNNNNNNNNNNNNNNNNNNNNNNNNNNNNNNNNNNNNNNNNNNNNNNNNNNNNNNNNNNNNNNNNNNNNNNNNNNNNNNNNNNNNNNNNNUAUUAAUUUAAAAUAGUAUGUUUAAAAAUAGUUUUUCAUAGAUAUUAUUAUGUCAUUUUAAUUACAUAUUUUUUUUAAAUAAUAAUAAUGAUAAAUAUUUUAAUGCAUAAGGCAACGAACUGAUUUAGCAUCGAAUUAUCGAAUUCAUCGCUAUGUUGGGGAUGAAUCGAUGGCUCGUGUUAAAUACGGGACGCCCUUAUAAAAAAUUGAAAUAUUCAAAAUUUCUCGUAUUUCAAUAAAAAUCCUCUUGUUUUAUUAGAAUCCCGAUUAAAUAUUAAAUUGAAUUAAUUUAACACUAAUUCGAUAGUUUCAUCGCCAUAUCGGGGUGAAUAUCAUCGAUUUGUGUUAAAUACAGUAUUUUUAAAGAAAAAUCGUUUUUUUUUAAAAAAAAUUCAUGUCUUCAAAAUUUCUCGUGUUUCAAAAAUAAUAAUAAUAAAAUUUCCCGUGUUUCGAAAAAAAUACAUUCGUGUUUCUUUCUAAAAAAAUCGUGUUUUCAAAAAUUUCCGUGUUUCAAAAAUUCGUGUUUUCGUGUUUUCAAAAAAAAUCUCGUGUUUCAAAAAAAAUAAAAAUAAUAAAAAAUAAAAAAAAUAAUAAAAAAUAAAAAAUUUUCGUGAAUAUUUUUGGUAUUAUUGUGUUUUCAAAAAAAUUCAGUAUUCGACAAAAUUUUGUGUUUCGUGUUUUCAAAAAUUUUCGUGUUUUCAAAAAUCUUUGUGUUUUCAGAAAUUCUGGCGUUUCAAAAAUUUUCGUGUUUAAAAUUUUUUUACGUGUUUUCACAAAUUUUCAUGUUUCACAAAUUCUCGUGUUUUCAAAAACUCCAGUGUUUCAAAGUUUCCAUGUUUUCAAAAUUCUCGCGUUAAAAAAAAAUUCGUGUUUCAAAAUAUUCUCGCAUUUCAAUUUUUGUUUUUUAAAUCGUGUUUCAAAAAAAUGUCGUGUUUUAAAAAUUUUCGUGUUUCUAAAAUUUCCCUGUUUUAAAAAUUCCCGUGUUUCAAAAAAAAAAAUGUCGUGUUUUAAAGAAAAUUUCGUUUUUUCUAAAAAUUUUCGUGUUUCUAAAAUUUUCGUGUUUACAAAUUCUCGUGUUUUCAAAAAAUUCUCGUGUUUUAAAAAAAAACUUUCGUUUUAAAAAAGAAAUACUGCGCUUCAAAAUUCUCGUGUUUUUUUUUUAAAAAAAAGGGUUCUCGUAUUUCAAUCGGAUCACGACUAAAUAUUAAAUGGAACUCGUAUUAUUGAAAAUUAGGACAACAUGCAUUUAACGAGAUACCAAUUUUGGGCGUCGCGAGGGUGCUAAUACCUUCCUCGCGCGUAACCGACUCCCGGACCCUAAUUUUUUCUGGAUUUUGACGUGGACCUAAAAUUGUCUCUUUUUUAGAAAAGUUUAAAAAAAAAUUCUUCUAAAAAAGGAUUUUAUUUGGUGUCCGAUCACACCUAAAAAAGAUCGGUGGCGACUCCUCUUUUGUAAAUAAAAUUUGAAACUUUAAUUUUUCAAUAAUCAUUUCAACUAGCGCCUAUUGCCAAAUUUUUAGGUCGCUACAGGUAUAAUCAUGAUGUCAACUGCCUCCACACCGCAACGUCAUGUCUGUUUGGUCCCACUUACAUUUGUUUUUGAUGUUGUGACUUCCAUGCCUUGUGGUCGCAAUCUCGGCUGCAAUUUUAUCCUAAAAGUGCAUCUUUAGCUUCCAAAUUAGUCCUAUAUGACCACAUAAUCUUAUUUAGAUAUAAAAUAACAUAAAUUUACUAAAAAACACAAUUUUAUUACUUACACCCAAAAACACAAAUUAACACUAAAAUAACUAGAUUUUACUUAAAACUUGUCAAAUUGUGACAAAUCAGAUUUCGACAUAGACAAAUGAAUCACUUUUGUAUCAGUGUUGUUUUCGAAUUCUAAAGGUAUAAUUUCGACCCAUUUCAGCCCAAUUCAUUCCUUUUACAUGGAUCAACGGCUUGUGAUCGUUGGAAUUUAUUUUUUCAUUGCAUCAUAGGGCAUACCAAUGAUCCAAUAGUGAUGAAUUAUGUUCUAACACUGAGGGAGUGUCCAUUCCCAAGACCACUUACAAGAGCAUAAUUGUAAGUCUCCUAUAUUUUAUUACAACACAACCUGAUUUGAGCUUUAGUGUGGAUAUUUGUGCAUAAUAUCAGGCCAAUCCAAAACAGGAUGUUUUUACAAAGGAGGCAAUCUUGUGUCACUAUACAAUAAGAAACAAGGUUCCAUCUCCCUUUCUACUGUUGAAGUAGAAUACAUUGCAACAAGGAUUUGUUGUGCUUAGUUAUUAUGGAUGAGACAAAUGUUAGUGUUAGUAUUAAGUGACCUGAAUCCUUAUUUAAAUAAAAUACAGUGGUAAAAUAAAAUAAAAGUAAAAUCCAUAUAGAACUACACUUCUUUUAUUUUAUUUUAGAAUAAGGUUUUUUAAACCUUAUUAAACUCCAUUUAUUUGAUACUUAUUAGAAUAAGGUGUUUCAAUCUUACUACACUCCUUUAGCAGCACAUUUCAGACUUUCAUUGGCUUGUCUCCACAAUCAGAUGAUGAGAUUGAGUACAUGUCACAUAUUCUAUACUCUAGUGCAGUGGGAUCUCUCAUGUAUGUUAUGGUUUGUUCAAAUCCAGAUUUUUCAUAUGCAGUCAGUGCAGUUAGCAGAUACAUGGUGAAUCCCAGUAAAGAACAUUAGAAAGCAGUUAAAUGGAUUUUAAGAUACUUACGAGGUACUACUGAUGUUUACUUACAAUUUGGAAGAACUAGAGAUGGAGUCAUUGGGUAUGUUGAUGCUGAUUUUACUGGAGACCUUGAUAGAAGAAUAUCUCUCACAUGUUAUGUCUUUACAAUCGGAGGUUGUGCAAUCAGUUGGAAAGCCACUUUGCAAAUUAUAGUUGCUUUGUCUACCACUAAAGCUAAGUAUAUGGCAAUUACUGAGGCUUGUAAAGAAGCUAUUUGGUUGAAGGGACUCUUUAUUGAACUCAAUGAAGACCUUCAAAUCAAUACAGUAUUUUGUGACAAUUAGAGUGUCAUCUUCCUUACAAAAGAUCAAAUGUUUCAUGAGAGAACAAAACACAUUGGUGUUCGGUAUCAUUUUGUUCAUGAUAUUAUUGCUCGUGGUGAUAUUGUUGUGAGCAAAAUUAGUACUCAUGAAAAUCCUACAGAUAUAAUGACUAAGUCACUUCCUAUAACCAAGUUUGAGCAUUGCUUAGCCUUGGUUGGUGUUCAUUGUUGAAGUUAAAUCCUUAAGGGGUUUUAUGGAAGAGGUGGAGAACUUGCUCGUUGAGAGUUCGCUACGAAAAUCUUGUUCGUUGAGAAUUCGUGUCAAGGUGGAGAUUGUUAGAAUUAAGUGACCCGAAUCCUUAUUUAAAUUAAAUACAGUGGUAAAAUAAAAUAAAAGUAAAAUUCAUAUAGAACUACACUUCUUUUAUUUUAUUUUAGAAUAAGGUUUUUUAAACCUUACUAAACUCCAUUUAUUUGAUAUUUAUUAGAAUAAUGUGUUUCAAUCUUACUACACUCCUACUAGAAUAUGGUUUUACAAGCAUAUAAAUAGACAUAGCCUACUCCUCUUGUAAUCAUUCGAAUUUGACAUAGUGAAUUAUCUUCUCUUCUGCCCAUGAUUUUUUCCCGAAAGGGUUUCCAAGUGAAAUUUGUGUGUUCUUUAUUUUUAUUUUUUUCUCUCGAUUUUCUUUGUGAUACAUUGUCAUUACCGACGUUCUAUUUUUUUCAGUUAGAAACUUUGGCAUUGCCCUACUAGUAACUAUAGCUUAUUGUGAGAAUACUAGUGCCAUCAAUGUUUUGAAGAAUCCAAUGCAACUUUCCAAAACCAAACACAUUGACAUUAGACACCAUUUUAUUUGAGAAUUGAUGGAGAAUGGGGCAGUUGAAGAAAUAAAUAUAGUGACAAAACAGGAGUGGGGUUGCGACCGGGGGUGCGGGGACUUCGCCUCUGUUGUACGAGCCAUACAACACAAGUUGAAUCCAUAUAGAAGUGUUCUUCUUCUAUUUGACUUUAAUUAGAAUAGGGUUUUUCAACCUUUAAAUAGAUGUAGUAAAAAACUCCUCUUAUAUAAUUUAUUUUUAAACAUUAGUGAAUUUCUCUUCUUUUACCCGUGAUUUUUUCCUAAAAAUGUUUUCACGUAAAAUCUAUAUGCUUUUAUUGUUUUUCUUACUGCUCUGGGAUCUUUCUACUGCUAUUAUUGACAUUUAUUAUAACAGUAUGUAUCCAUCCAAAACCAAUUAGUUAAUCUGAUCACAAAGGCCUUAAAUGCAAACAGAUUUGAGAGCUUGAGAAGCUCUGUAGGUAUUUGUCGUGCUUAAGAACAUGUAUCAAUUAAAGAAGGCAUCUACACGACAAUAACAGAUGUUGUUGUGAUGAUCUUAUUCCCAAGUUUUUAAGAAAAUAUUGAAGGGAAUUAUUUAUAUUAUUUUGUUACCAAAUGUGAACUGUUUGGUAGGAAAAUCCAAUUAAUUUUCUCUCUUUAAAUAUCGAAAAGAGACGUGCAUUAAACGGGAAGUGAUUACUUCUUCCCCUCUUUAAAUUGUCCUUCAAGUCAACCUUGAUUCUUUCCCUGUUUAUUGGAUUUAUUUUUUACACUUUAAUUUGAUAUAAUUUAAUUUUUAAUAUAAUAUUAUUAGUCAAUCAAAAUAGUUGAUACACUUAAUUAUUUUAGUUAAAAUAUUAAAGUCAAAUUUUUCUUAAAAAUACCUAUUCCAACUUUAUGCAUGUAUGAAUUUUUUUUAUGUGUGCGAUGUUAGAAAAAUCUUCUCAAGAGAAAUUCAUCUAAUCGUUUUAAUCAAAAUAGUCAUAGAUGUUAUUUGGGCUAACUUAUGUCAUUUUAAAAGUGGAUGAUUAAAUUACGUUGAAUUAAAAGAUAAAGAUCAAAUCCAAAAUAUGAGCAUAAUAAAAGGAUCGGAACUGUAAUUUUAUUUUUAUCAUGUUAUUAGUUGAUCCAAAUAAUUAGUACCCUUAAUAGUUUCGGGUACUAACAUGGAUUAAAAAAACACUUAUUCCAACACAUCAUGCUCGUUUUUUUUUUGUUAGAGUAGUAAUUUAAAAAAUAAUCAAUGUAAAAAUUUCAAUUAAAAUAGUCAAUAAUUUUAACUAUUUACUAAUUAAUAACAUUAUAAAAUAUAUGGACCAAAUUAUAUUAGAGAUUAAAGUAUAAAUAUUUAAAUUUAAAUUUAAGCUUAGUAGAGACACGGAAAAAAAAAGAGAUUUAACCAUUUUCAUAUAAUGUAAAGAAUUGUGGAACACGUGUUAACGUAAGAAGAUCUUAGGACCUUCCCUUUAUAUAUAGGUACCUUUAAUUAUUCCAGUUAAAAUGUUGAGGUUGAUAUUUUUCAUUUCCAACUUAAUGUAGAAAUCUAUUGUGUUAGAAUUAUGCUUUUAAGAUGAAUUUUCAUUAUCAUUUAAUCAAAAUAGUUAAGGAUGUUAAUUAUCUAGAUUAACUAAUAUCAUUUUAAAAGUAGAGAAUUAAAUUAUAUCAAGUUAAAAUAUAAAUAGUAAAUCCCAAAAGUGAGUAUAAUAUAGAGUUUGAAACUGCAAAUUUACUAUUCUCUUAUAAUCAUUAUAAAAAUAAAAAUAAAAAUAAAAAUAAAAAUAAAAAAUAUAUAUUAUCAUUAAAUAAUCCAAAUAAUUAUCACCCUUGAUAAUUUUUGAUAAUUUUGGUACCUAACAUGAAUUUGAAUUUAAAUUUAAAAAAAAAAUACUUAUUCCACUUCAUCAUGCCAAAUUAAUACAACAUAUAUUAAUGCAGAGGCCCUCCUUCCAUAUAUAAAUAUAUAAAUUUAAAUUUAUGUACAUAAAAUAUUAAAUCCUAAUUUAAUUGUAUAUAAAAUCUCGUAGAUAUAUUGAUUGAGUCUUAGCUUGAUUGACAUAUGUAUUAUUGUCAAUAGAAGAGGAUAUGGAUUUGAGUGCACUAAAGUGCAUUAUCCUCCUAUUUAUGGGUUGGAGAGGGGUUAUGCGUAGUUCUAGGCAUUGUAUCAAAAAGAGAAGAUAUGAUCAGAACAUAUAAUGAGAUUAUUCAAAUUUAAACAAAAACAUCGCAAAUAUUGAAAAUUUAAAGGUUAAAUUCUUGCUAUUAGUUCUUGUACUUUUUGAGAAUUGUAGAUUUAAUCAUUAUACUUUAAUUUGGUCUUUUUUUAAUCCUUAUAUUUUUUAAAAUUUAAAAUUUUAGUCCUCACCAGAAAAUAAUUAUUAAAUUCAUUAAAUUCGAUUAUUUCUAAAAUUUGAUGUGUUAAAUGUAUUUUUAUAUGUACAAUGCCAUGUCAAUUUGUUAUUUUUACAUAUUACUCACUAAAAAUCUAAUUACUAGAUUAACAAUUAUCAUUUACAUCAAUAUUGAAAUUUCAAAUUUCCAAAAAUAUAAAAACUCAAAGUAAUUCUUUUUAAAAAAUAUCAAAUAAAUCUAAAAUUCAAAUUUUAAGCAAUAAAAAAGAAUGUGCCACUAUAAUUGCACGUUAUAAAAUUUACAAUUAAUGUUGUUGUAGUCUCUUCUUCGUUAUUUGGCUACUUGAAAUGGUUUGACAUUUCCAAAUUUGACUUAAAAAUAAAUGCUUGGGACACUAAGUCUCCCCGGGAUCAACAAUGUUCAUUAUAAAAGAAUGUGCAUCCAUUCUUGUGUUCAAUUAAAAUAAUUUGUGGUUAACGUGAAUAAAAUAUUUUCAUAUCUAAUUAAUUUAUCGUAUUUUAAAGGUAAAAAAAACACAAUUUGGCACAUGAAUUCUCGACUUCAAAUAAAAAUAAAAUUAGUAAAGGGUGAAUGAGAUCAUUUCACACUUGAAAGGUAUAAAAAAACAUAAUUUGGCAAUUUGGCACAUGAAUUCUCGACUUCAAUUAAAUUUAAAUUUAAGUAAGGGUCAAUGAGGCCAUUUCACACUCAAAGGUUUAAAAAAAAAAACUCAAUUUGGCACAUGAAUUCUAGACUUCAAUUAAAAAUAAAUUUAGGCUUAAAGUAAAAAAAACACAAUUUGGCACAUGGAUUCUUAAAUUCAAUUAAAAAUAAAGUUUAGGUGAGUGAAUGACAUCAUUUCACACUUAAUUAUUGCAUCAUAUAUAAUAUAAAAUAAUUCCAAAGGUUAAAAAAAUAUCUGACCAAAUUUAAGGAUAGGUACCAAUUUAAGAAAAACAAUUAAGUUCAAGGAUUAAAACAUAAAUUAUUCCAAUUUUAUUCUAAGAACCUCGUUAUUUAUAAGUGAUACCAAUGAAAUUUUAAUUGAAAUGGUUAAAGGUAAAAUAUUAAAGAGUUCAAAUUUUAUUAUGUGUAUAUUAUCUUAGAUUUUAUAUAAAAUUAUAGAAAGAAAGAAUACUAUCCCGUUAUAUUUAUGAAAAUUUAUUUGUACACUGCUAUAUGUUAGUAGAGUUUUUGGAUUCUACUAGUAGAGUUAUGGGUUGACAAGAGUCAUAUAGGAGGAAUGUCGUUGCUAAACAAGUCUAGCAACAAGGUCCAUAGCAUGUUUCGUUCUCUAUUCUAGGAUUUUGAGGCAACUAGUAGAUUUAGUUGGGAUUUUGUCACUUUGGCGUAUCUAUAUAAGGUGUUUUACAAGGCGACCCGUGAACCGAUCUAUAAAGUCAACAGUUGUUACAUGCUUUUGCAAAUAUGGACAUGGAUACACAUGUCAUGGUUAACACCCACCUCUUCCCAAUUGUUGGAGCCUCCUCUUAUCAAAAGGUUGAAAUAUCACAUUGUGUAAUAUCUUAAAAUGUGUUUUAGUGCCUGUACUUAAUAUUUCCUAUUGCUUUGAUUAAUGGAAAAGAUUUAGAGGUUGUUACAACCAUACAUGCUAUAAGAAGGACUUGGUAUGCAUGCAUUAAGAAAUCGAUCAAUGAGCUGGUGAAGAGGUAUGUUGGUGUUGCAUUCAAUUCCAUUUAAUGGAGUUCAGUGUUCCUAUUAAUGAAUAUAAUCAUAUUUGUAUAUUUUUUUGUAGCUUAGUGGAUGUCGUACCUAGACAUUGCAAUGUUUGCCACUAUAUUGUUAAGGGCACGAAUGACCCUUAUUUGUUUCCAGAAGUAACACUCUAAUCGAGUAAAAAGCUAGUUUGGAUUCGUCCAAGAACUUUCAGUAAAUCCUUAGACCACCAAGCAACUCCAGAGGGGAUAAGAUCAAUAUUGGUCAAAGGAUAUUGCAACAAGUUGAGUUAAGAAUAUAUGCGGAAAUUAUCCAAGAUGGUCAACUUUUAGCCUUUAUGCUACAUACGUAAUGGUUCUGUUAGGCGAGCCACAAGCGAUUCUAACCAGCAAAGUAUCUUGUACUAUAGGAACAAUAUGUACCAUCAAGUCAUUGAUGAGCACAUCAAUAAGAUCAUUCCCAAGCAUUCGUACCUCUCCAAUUGAAACUAAAGCCACCAACGCAAUAGUUUGACAACCUUACCUCUAUGACCUACUAUCCUUAUGAGUCAUCGUCCCAUGUUGGCGAGGAAUAUGAUCAUGGGAGCAUCCAUUCGUCUCCAGCAAUGGAAAUGACAUUGCCAAAUCUAGAGUUUAUACAACUUUUUGGUCCAAUGAGCCUGAGCACACCUUAAACACAACAUCUCUUGCAUCAUUUAUCUUCUAUCAGGUAUACAGCUGUGCAAUUCAGGUUUAUUGAGUUGUCAUUUUAACAAUUUUAAAUACACUAAAUUUAACACCACAAAUGUCGAGUACAUCAAUAUUUUUAGAUGUGCCAGAGAUUUUUAAACCUUAAUCUAAACUAAUGCUAAUGAACCUUGUAACACCCCUCACUUGGCUCGGUCGCCAGGUCCAAGCUAUAAGAUGCUACAACAGUUAACGAAAUAUAUUACAUAUAAACCCAACUUUAAACAUUAAAUUAAACAAUAAAACAUUUCAUAAUCCAAGCUUAAUAUGAUUUAUAAACAAAUCCGAGUCUCAAUAGAGCUUACGAAAGCUCUUAAACCAACUAGGGAACAAAUAAUGACGUAAUUGAAAACAUAACAAAAAUUAUGGAAAUUUCAGGAAACAAGAGCCAUAUGGUCGUGUUACAAGUGGUGACCGUGUAGAAAUGGAGUCACACGAUCAUGUAUUCAGGUCGUGUAACAAACUAAAACCAUGUGAAAUUAAAUGACCAAUUCAACAGUACUCACACAAGCGUGUGGCCAGCCUGUUUGACAAUCGGGAAUUAUGUGGUAUACUAUACAAUUCAGUUCUUGUCUCUUUAUUCACUUCCACCCUUAACAUUUUCAACUCAGUAUCUAUUAAUAACUUACCUUUAUGUUAUAUAAUGUAAUAUAUCAUGAAUAUAUUUUAACAAAAAUUAGUUUCGAAUUAUAGGAAUACAAACCAAAAGCUCGCGUCACUCGUCAUCGACUCUCAUCUUUCCUUUCCCUUUCAAUUAUCCUGCGUCAUUUUUAGCUAUGAAUAAUAAUUCAAUAAUGAUAUAAUAACAAAGUCUAUCCAAAUCACAUUCAAUUACAAGGUCAUACAUAUUUUGCAAAUUAUUCAAUUUAAUCCUCUAUCUCGAUAAUCAAUCAAAUUCAUAUCAAUAUUAUUCGAGCAGUCAUAAUCAAAUAUCAAUUCAUUAAAUAUCUUCAAAUUGCAUGUCACAUCCCAAAAGUGGGCUUAAAAGAAAUAGGAUAAAAUUUAAGUUGUUAUUUAAUUUCUUAAAGAUAAGGCAAUUGAAUUAAUAUGCCUUAAAAUUACUUUAAGAUAGAAAAUUAAUAAGAAUGAGUUUGUUGGUUUAGUAGUAAGGCCUUAGCCUUCCUAUAGGUCCCAAGUUUGAACCCUUUAGUGAGCAUCCAACCAUGAUAUUUUUAUUUCCUUAUUUUUGCCCCAAGAGUGAUGAAUUUUUAAAACAACCCAACUCAAAAAUAAUUUUUCCAAUUUAGUCCCUAUUUUAAAAAUAAGUCCUAAACCUACAUGAAUUCGUAAAACCUAUUUCAAUUAGGAAAAACAAAUUUUGUAAAUAGCUAAUUUCAAAACAAACCCUAAAAAUUACCUAGCAAAUUUUCAAAAAAAAAUCCUUCAAAAAGAUCUCCAGUCUCCUCUCCAAACAAAAGUUUUUUUAAAGUCUUUAAAACAAGUGUGAUAUCCAAACCUAAAUCUUUGUAUAUAAUUGAUAAAUAUAAGAAGUAGAAAAUUAGCAUUAACGAACAUAGGUAGAACUUACCUAUGCAAUGGCUACUAGUAUUUGACGACGACUAUUCAACAACCUUUCUUUUCCUAUGAUUAUCGAACAAUUUACUCAUUUCUUGAUCGACAUAUAAUAAUUCAAUUCAAGUAACCCAAUUUAACAUCUUAAAACACUUCAAAUCAUGUAAUUAACUCUUUAAUAAUAUUUUAUACAUCUACCCUGAACUUUUACCUUUUAUACUAUUUAAUCCCUAAAAUCAAAACUUCAAAUUUAUCACUAUUAAACCAAUUCAAAGCUUAACCAAAUUUUCUAGGUUCCCUAUACAGUCCAUAAUCAUUAUAUUUUUCCCGAUGAUUUCAUGCUAACUUUCAUAUUUUAAUAAAUAAGUCCUUAAACUUUAAGCUAACUAAAAUUACAUCUCAAACUAAUCCAAACUCAACAACAAGCUUAAUACUAAACAACUUAAGAUCAAAAUCAUUCAAUAUCAACAAUGGAAAACUUCUAAAUAUUGGAUGAUAUUACAAUUUAGUCUUGGAUUAACUAAAUUAAGCUAUAAUCAUUCCAAAAACAUAAAAAUUGUUAGAGAUCGACCCGAUUAAGCAAGGAACAAGUAAAAAUAGCAGAAGAAAUUGAGAAAUUGAACACGUAAAUUUAACGUGGAAAAACUCCUCCAAAGAGGAUAAAAAACCACGGGAAAAGAUAAUUUUAUUAUAAUGGCAAAAGAAACGAAGAGUACAAAAGAUGGAGAUAAAAACUAAACCCCAAAAACCCGAAAACAAAGAACCCUCAAAACAUAAACACAAAAUUCUCUAUGUGUGUUAUGACUUCUAAUAUCUAAUGGGUGUAUUUUCUAAGGCUGUAAAAGAGCCUAUUUAUAGGUUAAAUUCAUAUGUCAAAUAAUAAAAUAAUCUAAACUAAUCAGUGUUUGAUUGAAACAAAUAAACAGAGUUUAACUAGAAGAUUAUUUCUCAAAUUUGACUGAAAUAGGAGUCAUACUUAACAAACCCCCACAUUGACUCAUAUUUCUAUAAUGCCAUCUUUGCCAAAGCCCGCCACGAGCCUAUCUUGAACUAUGCAGGGAAUUAACUAAGUCAAAUUUGUGCUUAAAAACUAGAAUACUUCUAGCCUUCGACUUGUACACUGCCAAAUCAAAACUAACCCGGGUUUGAUUUUCACGAACACAGUGCCCUAACCUUUCAAAAUCUGCAUCCAAAAGAGAAUCUAUCUUCAAUGAAAUAGUUAUACAUUUUUCCCUCCUAUGACUAAGUUGCCUCCGCUUUAAACGAGUUGACUUCAACUCUGUAAUGGACGAAGGACGUCUGAUUUCACCGGUCACUAUAGAACCUUCCAGAAUAAAAAGACUACUAGUUCUUUUACCUUUUAACAAAAUGAGAGCUCCACGAGAUACUUUAAUGCCACUCGACUCGAUGUUGAUUCUGCAUCCUUUCAAGUCUAAAAUACUCAAGGAGAUGAGAUUCUUUCAUAAAUCAAGUACAUACCUGACAUCUGAGAGUGUGCUAAUUGUCCCAUUGUGUAUCCUAAUUUUAACAGUGCCAAUACCAAUUACCUUACUAGAUGAAUUGUUUCUCAUAGCACAAUUCCACCUUCAACCGAACUGUAUGUGGAGAACCAUUCUCUAUUUGGGCACAUGUAGAAAGAACAUCCCAAAUCUAGGAUCCACUCGGACGUGAGCUAUCGCUCAUUGACACUAACAAAAAAUCAUCACCGUUUUCAUUGAUCAAAUUAGCACCAGCUACAUCUUCCUCGUUACUCUCAAUGGCUCUUUUAUUUCACAGUUUAUAACAAUCUGCUUUGACAUGAUCUAACUUUUUACAAUAGUGACACCUUUUGUCUCGUUUCUUUGAUGCUAUCAAAACGGAAGCUUGCCUAUCUGCCUUGCUAUCCAAAUGAAGCUCAUUGUUGAGUUUGUCUCUACUCAAUAAAUGACCCUUCACAUCUUCAGACGAGAGUUUGUCUCUACAAUAAAUCAGGGUCUCCUUGAAAGGCUUGUAUGAAGGGGGUAAAAAGCACAAGAAUAGCAUAGCUUGAUCUUCAUCAUCAAUAUGAACCUCAACGUUCUUUAAAUUAUUUAAAAAAGUAAUGAAUUGACUGAUGUGAUCUCUAAGAAGCUCACCUUCGUUUAUGCGAAACGUAAAUAGACGUUUUAACACUAAAUGGUUAGCCAGAAACUUAGUUGCAUAAAGAGUUUCUAACAUUUUCCACAAGCAUAUGAGGUAUUCUCCAUCAAUACCUCCUGCAAUACCGUAUUCGCGAGGCACAACUAGAUUGCAGAUAAAGCCUUUUCAUCCAACUCUUCCCAUUCUGUUUUAUUUAGAUUCUCAGACUUUUUCCCGGUAACAACCUUUUUCAAAUUGAAUUGAACUUGAAUUGCCAUCAUCCGAACUUGCCACAGAUUAAAAUUUGUCUCACCAUUGAACUUCUCAAUUUUAAGCCUUAUUGCUGCCAAUCUAAAUGGACUUAUCUAUGAAAAUUAAACUAGCUCUGAUACCACUUAUUAGAGAUCGACCCGAUUAAGUAAGGAACAAGUAAAAAUAGCAGAAGAAAUUAAGAAAUUGAACACACAAAUUUAACGUGAAAAAACUCCUCCAAAAAGGACAAAAACCACGAGCAAAGAUAAUUUUACUAUAAUGACAAAAGAAACAAAUAGUACAAAAGAUGGAGAUAAAAACUAAACCCUGAAAACCCGAAAAUAAAGAACCCUCAAAACGUAAACACAAAAUUCUCUAUGUGUGUUAUGAGUUCUAAUAUCUAAUGGGUAUAUUUUCUAAGGUUGUAAAAGAGCCUAUUUAUAGGCUAAAUUCAUAUGUCAAAUAAUAAUAAAAUAAUCUAAACUAAUCAGUGUUUGAUUGAAACAAAUAAACAGAGUUUAACUAGAACAUUAUUUCUCAAAUUUGACUGAAAUAUGAGUCAUACUUAACAAAAAUCAUGAAAAAUUAAGUUGAAAAUACUCACAUGCAAGAGAACUAAGCCCAACCGAAUGCUCUUCUAGCCUCUAAUGGAGGUUUCAGUUCAUUUCAAGCCAAAAAUAAUAAGAUGGUGACUUUUUUUUUACUUAAUUUUAUGUUUUAUUCAUUAAUUACUAUUUUUCCCUUUAAUAUAACUCAAAUUUCAAUACAAAAAGCCUUUAAAACCGUCCACUCUUAAAAACUAGGGUAAAUUUGCUACUUAAAUCCCUCAAUUUAUUAUUUUAUACUCCUUUAAUACAAUUAACUAAUAACAUUAAACUUUUGCAGCUUUUACAUUUUAGUUCUUUACUUAAUUAACAUAAUCAAACAAUAAAAUUAACAUACCAAAUUUUUAUAAGACAUUACCACGACCAUCCAGAUGCUAGUUAAAUAAUAAAAUAACAUACUAAUUGCAGUCGAGGUCCCGAACCACAGUUCUCGAUACCACUGAAAACGGGUUAUUACACUAAACCCUAUCAUUGAAACCUUAAACACUUGAGGAACAAGAAAAUGGGAGGGUUUAAAGCCUGAAAAUAGAUAUUGGAUGUGAGAGAAUAGAGUGACAUAGGUCAAAAGUGUUGGUAGGUCUGUGUGGUUGCUGACACCAACAAAUGGCACCAUUCAGUCUCAAUUUAUUACAUUUAAUGGGUUUAUAUGGUUGCAGGGUCCAAAAAAUGCCACAGACCAAUCAAAUAUCAAGGGUUAGGAAAAAGGGAUAAUGUUAACACACACCUACACUACAUCUUUUUUUUAACCAUGAUGGCAUGGGUGAUGCAUGAACCAUGCAUAGAUGGUCAUAUUAGUAGCUUAGAUCAAUCAUCAAUUGGAUUUUUUUGAGAAGGAGCUAGGGAAAUGGUUUAUAACAUAUAUUACCCUAAAUGAAUAAUUUUAUUUGUAUUAAACAAUUACAUUGGUUGGCAUAUUAUCUUAUGUCAACUUUUGCUACCAUUAUCAGGAAUAGAGUAAUAAAAAAGAAUAAAAACAAUUUACCAUCCCUAGUCUACUUAGUGCAUUGGAUCUUUCAUCCAUGAUCUAGGUAAAUUUAGGAUCAACAACUAUAUCUGCAAAGUUGAGCCUGUUGUUAGGACCAACAGGUACGAUAGCCAAGGAAUCUUUAACAGAAUCGCCUCUACCUUGCCCUUUACUUUAGUUUCUACCUCGACUGUAGUCAUUUGGCCCUGUCUUAAUGUUUUCCUUGACCUGCUAUCUUAUAUCAUGAUCUGUUCAUAGAUUUCUCCCUCAUUGAACUUGGCCUCUGAUAAUAGGUUGGGCUCACACUUUCAUGUUCCUCAUCUAACAUUUCAGAACUAAAUGAUCAAUCCAAGAAAAUGGAGUCUCUCUUGAGAAGUAUGUGUAUGGUUUACCAUUGUCCCUACACCAUUCUAUAUAUAUAGUAAAAAGAUGCAAAAAUUGUCAUCCUUGAUCAAUGCAACCUAUGGCUUAUGUUGGAAACGAUUUCUUCAAUAUGUCAUGUGUUGUACAAAUCUAAGCCCAAUUAUGUUCCCACCCCAAACACAACUUAAUGGGUUCAUAGUCAUCCAUAUUCUCCGGAUUUGUUAGAAUCCCUUGGACCAUCUUGAAUUGUUGUAAUACUUUAUCUAGCUAAUGUCACUCGAAGCAAGAAAUGCAUAUAAUGGGUGUGCAAAUGGUAAAAACAUAGCUCUGCGCAUGUGCCUCUAGUAGUAGUAUGGUUGCAAACUCUUCUACUUGGUACGACAUCCACAAAAAAUUGUAAAAUAAAUAUUGAAUUUAAAUUCCAUUAUCAAAUGAUAUUACUUAAUGUAAUUGAACUCGGCCUAGUAGAACACAAUUAAUCGAAACAUUGGAUUCCUUAUUAAUUGUUUCUAAUAUUGAUGCCAAACUAUCCUUCUAGUAUGUCAUAUGGUCACAUUGCUCAGACCACCAAUUAAAUUACAAAAUGUUAGUACAAAUAUAAAAUAUUUAGAAAGUAAUGGAUUUUAAGGGUUAGGUUCUAUUUUUACUAUUUAGCUAGAGGGUAAUUAAGAGGUUUAAAAGGUAUAGACGCAAUAAGCGAAAGUCGAUACUACCCUCACAACUGUAAAAUCACAAGACAAUCAUUCACUUCCUUAUUCCCUAAACUACACCCUAUGCACAAUGCCUUGUAAAGGCAAGCCAAAUUAGCAAAGCUCAACCAUAUGUAAUAAUCGUCCGAAAAUUUUAUAACAAAGAAAGGUACAUAGUAUGAACUAAGUUGACAAACUUUUUUUUCCAUAUGCACACCUUUGGUCAAGCAUAGAAUGUACGCUCGAGCAUGGCAAUAAAUAUUAAUAGGCAUUAGUUUCUCCAAGAGAAGCUUAAAACUCUUCUUCAACUAGUCUAACUUCAUCUGAAGCCUUUUGAACUUGUUUGAUACAAUGUCUAGAACUACCCAUAGCCCCUCCACAACCCAUAAAUAGGAGGAUAAUGCGCUUUAACGCACUCGAACCCACGUACUCUUGCAUUGGCAACAAUGCCCAUGCCAAUCAAGCUAAGACUCAAUCAAUGAUUUUUUACAUGUUUUAAAAUUACGAGGUUCUGUUAAGAAUUUUAAGUGAAACUCAACAUUCACUAGUGUCGACUUCAAUUUAUAUUUUCCUUAAAUUUUAAUAAUAUUACAUUAUCUUUUUUAAAAAAAAUUUGUUCGCAACCCGACACUAAAAAAUGUCAAGUUCAUGGUUACAUGUUAUCUGUAGUGAACUCGACACUUAUAAAUAUGGAUUACAAUAAUUAUAUCAUAAUACAGAUCCUAAUUUGAAGGGCGCAUUGAAAACUUGAAGGGGUUAAUACGAACAUAUUAAAAUAUUUGAUGCCUAUGUCAGCGGAAUCAACGUUUUAUCACGUUCCUUCGUUUUGUCCCCCAAAUCUUGUAAACGUGUUUCCCCGGGAAACAAUGAAGAGGGGUACAAAGUAUAAUUGAUUUUGCCCUUGGGUUCCUAACAUGUUGCUAGGGAUUGCUAAGAGUUGUUCGUAUUUAAAUUUACCAAAAUUUUAAUUUAUUGUUUUUAAUGUAAAUAACAAUAGCUGACUUUCAAUGUGUAAUAUUAUUUAUUUAUUUGUGUAAUAUUUUGAAAAUAACUUAAACAAAUAAAAAAAAGAGACAAAUUUUAUCUUUAUGGAAAUGGAAUUUUCUUCUUCUUGUUUUGAAAUUCAAUGAAAUUUUCUUGAAUUGAGAAUAAGGGAAAAACUUGUUUGAACUGACUCAUGCAAGAAUUAAAUUAAAGAAUAUUUGGUGUUUAUUUUAUUCCAUUUUCCUGUUUUUUUAUCUCAACCAGUCGAAACUGUUGUUCCAAUAGGGUCGGAAGCGUGUAAAUUAUUGUACUAAAAAAUCACACAAAGUUCAAUUCCCAGGGAAGAGAGGUGGAUCACAAGGAUCUCUUAAAUACCAAGUCUUUCCUUAGUCAGAAUAUUCCUUCUAACGUAAUUUAAUAGCACAAUUAAAUACUACUAUUAUACCCUCAAAUAUUGAAAGAAAAAUAGGACAAAAAGAACAUAAGAGUUUUAACGAGGUUCGGUAAAUUAUACCUACGUCCUCGGGCACUAACACUAGAUGAUAACUUUACUAUCUCCAAAAUAUUACAAACAAAUAGAAUUCCUUAAGAAUUCUCAAAUGGGAGAAGAGAGAAACUAAGAGAGAAAGAUUGGUUAGGAUAGUGUAAAUGAGAAAUGGUUAGGCCUAUUUAUAGUUGAGGUUCAGGGACUAACUUGCAAAUGGCCUAAAAAAUUAGGGACCAAAAUUGCAAUUAUCCCAUUCAACUUUAAACAACUUGCCUACCAUUUUUUUUUCUUUCGGUGCCACUUGCACCUCCCAUUUUUUUGACUUUUCAACACCCCUUUUAAUUUGUCUUUUCAACAAUCUCCACCUUGAAGAUUUGAUUAGGAUAAUCACAUCUUCACAUACUUCCUUCAACUCCCCAAAUUCGAUAAAGCUAUCUUUUGUAGUGCCUCCAAAUGCGCUCUCGAGCGCCAUACACCUAAAGGUGCUCAAAUUCUCAGGAUGUUAAUCAAGUUCAAACAAUGAUUAAACUUGAUUGUUGUUACCACCUUGGUCAUCAUAUCUGCGGGAUUAUCUGCUGUCGGAAUCUUCUGAAGUAGAAUUUUUCCUUUUUCAAAGACUUCCCGCACAAAGUGAUAUCUUACGUCGAUAUGCUUGGUUCUUGAAUGAUAGACUUGAUUUUUCGCUAAAUGAAUAGCGCUCUGACUGUCACAAUAUAAACUUAUGUGACUUUGAACAACUCCUAAGUCUUUCAACAAUCCAUUAAGCCAAAUAGCCUCCUUAACAGCUUCUGUAACUGUCAUAUAUUCUGCCUCUGUAGUAGACACAGCUACUGUAGACUGUAAGGUAGACUUCCAACUCACUGGGGCUUUCGCAAGAGUAAACAGAUACCCCGUAGUUGAACGACGUUUAUCUAAAUCACCAGCAAAGUCGGAAUCAACAUAUCCAACUACAAACUGACCAAGUGCUUCAUCCUGUUCAAAAAUUAAACCAACAUCUACGGUUUUUCGAAGAUACCGUAGAAUCCAUUUCACAGCUUGCCAAUGUCCUUUUCCAGGAUCAUGUAUAUACCUGCUCACAACUCCAACAGCUUGUGAAAUGUCAGGCCUCGUACACACCAUCGCAUACAUCAAACUCCCAACUGCAUUAGCAUAUGGGACUUUCGCCAUAUAUUCUCUUUCAUCUUCAGUCUUCGGAGAUAAUUGAGCACUAAGUUUCAAAUGAGAAGCAAGUGGGGUACUUACAUGUUUUGUGUUUUCAUUUACACCAAAACAUUGUAAUACCUUUUUCAGAUAUUGCUUCUGAUUUAAACAGAGCUUACCUCUCGGUCUAUCUCUACUUAUCUCCAUGCCGAGAAUCUUCUUGGCCUCACCUAGAUCUUUCAUCUCGAACUCUUGAUUCAACUGAGCCUUCAGCUUAUCUAUCUCAUUUUGGCUCUUCGAAGCGAUUAACAUAUCAUCAACAUACAAGAGUAGAUAAAUGAAAGAUCCGUCAUGCAGCUUCUGCAAAUACACACAAUUGUCAUAUUUGCUUCUUGUGUACUUCUGCCUUCUCAUAAAGCUAUCAAAUCGCUUGUACCACUGCCUCGGGGAUUGCUUCAAUCCAUAUAGCGAUUUGUUCAGCUUACAAACCCAAUUUCUACCACCAGCAUCUGUGUAUCCUUCGGGCUGAGUCAUAUAGAUCUCCUCUUCUAACUCACCAUGCAAGAAAGCCGUCUUAACAUCAAGUUGAGCUAGCUCCAAAUUCAACUGUGCUACCAAGGCCAACAAAAUUCUAAUGGAGGAAUGCUUCACAAUAGGGGAAAAUACAUCAUUGUAGUCAAUUCCCUCCUUCUGAGCGUAGCCUUUAGCUACCAAUCUUGCCUUGUAGCUAAUAUCCUUCUUGCUAGGAGAUCCAUCUUUCUUUGCGAAUACCCACUUGCAUCCGAUUGCCCUUUUACCUUUCGGUAAUUGCGCCAACUCCCAAGUAUUGUUCUUCCGGAGAGACUACAUUUCUUCAUCCAUGGUGCUUUUCCAUUUAUCACUUUCUAAGCUUUGCAUUGCUUCUUGAUAAGUGAUAGGAAUAUCAUCAACAACGGGAAGGGCGUAGGCCACCAUAUUAGUAAAUCGAGCAGGUUUACGAAUUUCUCUCCGUGGCCUUGCAACUGCAACUGGUUCUGGUGUACUUAGUGGUUCUUGGGUCAGAACCUCUUCAACCUCUAAUUCCUCCAUUGUGGCUGGAGAAUUAGAGUUAUUAACUGGGCAAAUCCCCAUCUGCUCAAACUCCACCUGUUUUGGAGUACACUCCACCUGCUGUGGAGUAUUGCUCUUUUGAAUAUCUUUAUCUGCUACCUUUUUCAAUGUGGUAGAUUCAUCAAAGGUAACAUCUCUGUUACAGAUCAUUUUCUUUGUGCUUAAGCACCAAAGACGAAAUCCCUUCACUCCAGAAGUGAUUCCCAUAAAGAGAGCUUUCUUUGCCCUCGGAUCUAACUUUGACUCCUUCACAUGGUAAUAUGCAGUGGAUCCAAACACAUGUAAGGAAUCAUAAUCUGUAGCCGAUUUUCCAGACCAUACCUCCAUAGGAGUUUUUCUUUCUAAUGCAGAUGAUGGCAAACGAUUAACAAGAUGGCCAGCGUAUGUCACAGCCUCAGCCCAAAAUUGCUUGCCCAACCCAGCAUUGGACAACAUACAUCGAACUUUCUCCAGCAAUGUUCGAUUCAUAUGCUCUGCCAAUCCAUUCUGCUGUGGUGUAUCCCUAACUGUGAAGUGUCGAACAAUACCAUACUCUUGGCACACAUCGAAGAACGGAUCACUUUUAUAUUCUCCUCCAUUGUCCGUCCUAAGCCGCUUGAUUUUCUUGCCAGUCUGGUUUUCGAUCAUAGUUUUCCAUUUAAGAAAAACUCUAAGCACUUCAUCCUUAGUUCUCAUGGUAUACACCCAAACUCUUCUGGAAAAGUCAUCAACAAAAGUAACAAAGUAGUGUUUUCCUCCCAAUGAAGGUGUCUUGGAAGGCCCCCACACAUCUGAGUGAACAUAUUCCAAAAUACCUUUUGUAUUAUGGAUAGCAGUACCGAAUUUCACUCUCUUUUGCUUUCCCAAAACACAAUGCUCGUAAAAUUUUAAUUUGUAAGCCUUUGCACCUUUCAACAAUCCUUGCUUUGCCAGAAUUUGCAAGGAUUUUUCGCUGGCAUGUCCCAACUUCAUAUGCCACAACUGCAUUGAGUCCAAUUCUUUGUUACCGAAAGCUGUAGCGACUGCUCCAAUAACUGUACUACCUUGGUAGUAAUACAAGUUAUUUUUCCUGAUGCCCUUCAAUAUCACAAGUGCGCCAGAUGUCACUUUCAAAAUCCCAUCUCUCAUAGUAACAAUUGAACCAUUGGAUUCCAAGGCUCCCAAUGAGAUGAGAUUUUUCUUCAAACUGGGCACAUACCGAACAUCAGUCAGAACUCUGGUUGAUCCAUCUUGAUUCUUUAAUUGGAUUGAACCUAUCCCAACAGUUUUACAGGCAUUGUCAUUGCCCAUAUAAACAACUCCUCCAUUUAGUUCUACUAAAUCAGAGAACCACUCCCGGUUAGGGGACAUAUGAUAGGUACAACCCGAAUCCAAUAUCCACUCAUCUGAAUGGAACGACGAUGAUGAUGCAACCAGUGAUAGUUCAGAGUCACUAGUAUCAUGCUUAGCAACACAAGCAUCUACAGCAGCUUUUCCCUUAUUCUUCAGCUUUGGACAAUUUUUCUUCCAGUGGCCUUUCUCAUGACAAAAAGCACAUUCAUCUUUCCCGAGUCUGGACUUUGACUUUGAUCUCCCCUUUUGAGUUUUCUUCCGAGCGUAUGAACGACCUCGGACUACUAAAGCUUCUGUAUCUCUGAUUGAGUUUUUCUGUUUGUCAUUCUUUCUCUGUUCAUAACUGUAUAAGGCCGCACAGACUUCGCUCAGAGAUAUAUCACUCCUGCCAUGAAGUAGAGUAGUUUCUAGGAACUCAAACUCCUCAGGAAGUGACCCCAACAGCAUCAAAGCCAAAUCUUCAUCUUUGAAUGUCUCAUCCAUAUUCAGCAAAUCAGUGACUAACUGAUUAAAUUUGGUGAUGUGAUCAUUCAUUGUGGUACUUGGGACGUAUGUGAAGCGAAACAGUCUUUUAUUCAAGUGGAGCUUAUUUUGACUGUUUUUCUUCAAAAAAUUUUCUUCAAGUGCCACCCACAACUUAUUUGCAGAAGUAUCCUUUGAAAAAGCAUACCUCUGCUCUCGAGAAAGGCAUGAUCGAAUUGUGCCACAUGCCAACCGAUUGAUCGCCUUCCAAUCUUUCUCCUGUACAUCACCUGGUUUCUCUUCAUCAAUGGCAAUGUCUAGACCCUGCUGAAAAAGGGCAUCUAGAACCUCACUUUGCCACAUACCAAAAUGGCCCGUGCCAUCAAAGAUCUCCACGGCCAAUCUUGCAUUUGCAAUUGUCGGUCUUGUCCACAUGGACGAUGUUGAAGCUCCUACACCGACCGUUUUCUCCAUAAUCUUUCAAUAUACCUAAGGAAAUCUUUUCUGAUGUGGAAGAUCAGUUUAAACUGCAACCACAGAGCAUACUACGAUUAACCUUUGGCUCUUGAUACCACUUGUUGUUCCAAUAGGGUCGGAAGCGUGUAAAUUAUUGUACUAAAAAAUCACACAAAGUUCAAUUCUCAGGGAAGAGAGGUGGAUCACAAGGAUCUCUUAAAUACCAAGUCUUUCCUUAGUCAAAAUAUUCCUUCUAACGUAAUUUAAUAGCACAAUUAAAUACUACUAUUAUACCCUCAAAUAUUGAAAGAAAAAUAGGAAAAAAAGAACAUAAGAGUUUUAACGAGGUUCGGUAAAUUAUACCUACGUCCUCGGGCACUAACACCAGAUGAUAACUUUACUAUCUCCAAAAUAUUACAAACAAAUAGAAUUCCUUAAGAAUUCUCAAAUGGGAGAAGAGAGAAAACUAAGAGAGAAAGAUUGGUUGGGAUAGUGUAAAUGAGAAAUGGUUAGGCCUAUUUAUAGUUGAGGUUCAGGGACUAACUUGCAAAUGACCUAAAAAAUUAGAGACCAAAAUUGCAAUUAUCCCAUUCAACUUUAAACAACUUGCCUACCAUUUUUUUUUCUUUCGGUGCCACUUGCACCUCCCAUUUUUUUGACUUUUCAACACCCCUUUUAAUUUGUCUUUUCAACAGAAACACGACAAAGACAGGUAACAAAACAUGACAAACAGCACUCUCCCCAUUGCAUGUUCUCAUCACUAUAUAAACCCUACAAUCCUUAGUAAACACAUCACACAUCAAACAUCAAAAAAUAGUAGUACUUUCAUAUAUUCGACAAUGGCUCGCCCUACCCCAGUUUCACCCUCAUCAGAAACAUACCAGCAACCGAUGAGGAAUGAGCAUUGGAUGCUCAACGAUGAGAUGGAUGAGCAAAUUCUGUCGACUCAUGUCCCCGAUGGUCCUGUUGUUGAUGUUAAACCAAUUCUUCAAGUCACUGGCAAAGUUUUGCUUCAUACUAUGAAUGUAAACUUUGAUAACCUUAAGAUUUCAUGAUGUUUAUAUUCCAGAAAGUGGAAAGAUUUUCAAGACAAUGCUUUGGAUUUGUUUUGUCUUGUAGGGAGGAUCGGGACACAUCGAUGUAUUCGACGAUCAGACCAUCUUGUCUGCCGUUGAUGGCACGCUUGAUGCAGUAGACAAAAUCUGCAGCGAGGUUAUUCGGCUGUUUUAUUUUGCUUUCUGAAUCUCGAUCGUUUUUGAAACCGAAAAAUAACGAUCGUAACAUAAGUUGAUGUUUUGUAGCUAUCAAGCAACUGUUCAGGAGGGGGGAAUGAUCAUGCAACAACAAUGGCGAUCUUCAACAUGCUUUCAAGCUAUUCAUGGGGUGUAAAAGUGGUGCUAACAUUAGCAGCUUUUGCAGUGAAAUUCGGGGAGUUUUGGCUGAUCUCUCAGCUUUACACUUCCAACUCAUUGGCCAAAUCAAUGGCUCUCCUCAAGCGACCCGCCAUUUUAGGGAACUGCCAAACAUGGAAACCCUACUUUGAUGCACUCAGAAAGCGCAUCAAUGCAAUGAUCAAUGUAACCGAGUGCAUUGUUGAGCUUACUGAGCUACCUUCUAAGUACGUUCCCAUCGAUGAGCCACCAUUGUCGACCACCAUGCCUCAUAUCCGCUCUGCUACCUCCUGUAUCAUUUCGAAUGUCGUCACUUGUGCUAGGCAGAUUACAGGCCUCGUAGAGAUGAGACAUGAGUGAGUCAUAAAUUUCCUAUGUGCUCAAUUAGACACUAUGAUGACAUUAAAUUUACCAACAAUUAAAUCUUUUGUUUGAAUCAUUUCAGGUUCAAUACAUUUACUUCGGAGGCAUGGGACCUAUCAACCUCGGCAAAUAAAUUUAGCAGCAUACAUGAACACCUUCAAAAUCGAUUACUUAUUUGUAAAGAGCAUAUGAGUGAGUCCAUCCUUGACGAAAACUCUAGAAAUAUAAACCCUCUAUCUAUACAUUUAUAUAAAAAUUUAAGUAUGAUUGUAAUGAGAUGCAGAUGGGAGGAUGCUAAUGGAAGCUUUUGAAGACUUCAAGCGUACCAUUGAAACACCUCAAGUGGACAACUUGACGAUUCUCCAAAAUAUCUUCGGGAAGGAAGAGAACCUCUUUAAUCCAGACAAGACCAAGGUCUGUUUAAUUCCAUGUUCCAAGUUUCAACUAUGUUUUAAAUUUCAUUGGAUCGUAUAUUAACUUUGCUGGUAUAAUUUAACAGGUUUCUAUCAAUGUCUUGAGAAGAAAGCAUGUUUUAUUGCUUAUUUCGGAUCUUGAUAUCUCCCAAGAGGAGAUUCGGGCUCUUGAAGUUGUUUACAAAACAAGGGUUUCAUCUGGGCAUAACUAUGAGAUCAUAUGGCUCCCAAUUGUGGACAAAACAGCUUGGAAUGAUGGUUGUCAGAAAAUUUCGAGCCUGCAAUCAAUUAUGUCAUGGUAUACUUUGAGCCACCAAUUUUCCAUUAAACCAUCAGUGAUUAAAUACAUAAGGGAAGUAUGGGGUUUCGUUAAGAAACCAAUUGCGGUGACACUGAAUCCACAAGGAAAGGUUUUAUGCCCAAAUGCACUCAACAUGAUGUGGAUGUGGGGAAAUUCAGCUUUCCCAUUUAGCAGUGAAAAAGAAGAAAGUACUUGGCAAGCUAAAGCUUGGACAUUUGAGCUUCUCAUUGGUCGCCUUGAACCGAACUUAUCUUCUUGGGUACAUAAACAUCCUCACAUAACUUUAAUAUUUCUGUGUAUAUCAAUUAAUAUGCUUAAUUUAUUUAUGGUUUUGUGUUGUUAUAAUCAGGUGAGCCAAGAGAAAGUGGUUUGUUUCUAUGGUGGUGUGAAAAUGGAAUGGAUCGAAAGUUUCACUACCGCAACAAAAGGGGUAGCAAAGGCUCUCGAUAUUGGCUUAGAAAUGGUUUAUGUUGGGAAGCAAAAUGCAAGGGAACGAACGAAAAAGAUUACUGGUUUAAUCAUAGAGAAGCAACUUAGCCAUGCUUGGCAAUAUGACAAUGUGUGGUGCUUUUGGAACCUAUUAGAGAACAUGUUGAACCCAAAAGUCCACCAAAGAAACACCAAUGCAACCGAUGGCAUAAUGCAAGAAGUGGCAACUAUGCUUGGAUAUGACGAUAGUAAAAAUGAAUGGGCUGUGUUCUUCACCGGAUCGGGUGAAAUGGUGAGCGCCAAUGGAGAGAAAGUGCUUAGCUGCAUGAAGAGCUUUGAUCAAUGGGGAAAACUUUCCAAGCAAAUGGGUUUUAUCCCAGCACUUCGUAAGCGUUUGGAAGGGAUUAUAGAGGACCAUCAUUGCACUCGCCUUCUCCUUCCGGGUAACGGUGGUAGCAUGCCGAAGACGGUGCAAUGUGCUGAGUGUGGUCGUGCGAUGGAGAUGUAUUUCUUGUAUCGCUGCUGUGUUGAGUGAAGUAAAGAAAGGGGAAAAAGAUGGUUUUGGGGAGGUUUGUUUGGUAUUAUGAUAUGAUGAUCAUAUCUAGAGUCGACGUGUUUGCUAGGUUUUCUAAUAAUGUUUAGGGCUCUUUUAAUAUCCCACACUGGUUAUUGAAGAGCCUUAGCUAAUUUUACCUAAUUGUUUGUGUUGCAUUAAUAGUUUGCGUUGUAAGUCUACUUCCCUAAAUAAAGUGUUCUUUUGAUUUUAUGCGUUCUCUCUUAAAUAAUUAGCUCCAAACACCAAAUUAAAAACAUAUUAAUUACAUUCCAUUAUAUUAAUAAAGCCUUGUUAGUUUAAUCAUUAAAUAUAACGUCAUAAUUUAAUAUAAAAAUUUUAAAGUAAAAUAAAUAUAAUAGAAAUAUUAGUUUUGAGGUUUGUGGGAAAAUUUUGAACCACAGGUCAAAUGGACGGUUGGGUGUUUAAAUAGGUAACGGAUUUUUAAAAAUUGGGUUAUUGCCCUUUUUGCCCCUUUCUGCUCUUUCCUUUAUUUUAAAUUAGAGUUUAUUUUCUUAAUUAUUUUGAAAUCCGGUUUCGUUUUUAAAAUCCGUUUUAAUUUAAUUAAUUACCAAGCACCUAAUAUCAAUUUUCACACUUAAAAUUUUAAUUCUGGUUAUUAUUUUAAUAUUUUAUUUAAUUAUUAGCUGCGAUCCUAAUUUUGGUAUCGGACUCAAACCCUCAACUACUAAUCCGAUUUUUGGGAUGUUACAAUUUCUAUAUUAACAUUCAAAAUUUUCUAUUUUAUUUAUUUCUAAAAAUUCUCUGAUAUUCUUAACCCGACAUGACACUGUAACCAGCUUCGAGUCAUAAAGCGGAUGUUACACUUAUCUACCAACAUUCCACUUUGGUCAUUAAAAUUUGGCUAUUUUAACUACUAUUGACAAGGGAUUGUGAUUGAUAUUUAAUAUGUUAACGAGUCUCGAAAAUCUUUAUAUAUUUGAGAGACUUGUAUAGAUUGAUGAAAUUUUAAAAAAAAAAAGAGCACUAUUUUUUUAGUAAAAAACAUUAUUUGUGAGGGUGCAUUUUGACAAGAAAACCAUAUUUGUAAUUGGUUUUACAACCUUAGUUCUCGCCCGGGGGGAGGGGGGGAGAAUUUAAUAGUGAGAAGUCAAGCCUUUGAGGUACAAAAGUAAGGAUUUUUUAUCGGGGUAUGUUAUCACAAGUUGUAUUGAUUUUAAAGAUAGUAGAUUCAUCUCACUAAACGAGGCUCCGCAAACAUAGAGAAACUGAACUGCAUAAACAUUUUAGCCAUGAAGAUUAGUUUUAGUAGUAGUGUUUUUAUUAUUGUUACUGCAUCUUGCUAUAUGACUUAGGAUGGGUUUGGAUGGGCGAUUGGGUGCGGUGCGGUGCGUUUUUACACUAACCGCAGAUAAAUACACCGCCCAUCCAAACCCACCCUUAGUUAAUUCAUGUGUAGUGGUGGAGUUAUAAGUUAUGUUUGAGCUUCUAAAAUGGUUGAGUUUAAGUGUAUUUCACUAAAACAUUUGGACAUGUCUCUUGUGAAACACACAAGUUUAAGUAACUACAACACUUAAAUUCCUUUUUGUUUUGUGUUCACUUACAUCCAUUAAGACUCGUUUUUAGUUGUAAUUAAUAAAUACAUUAAAUUUUUAUUAGAUUAAGCUAAAAAAGAGUGUAAUUAUCAAUAUUGUAUGGAUGGAAUAAGGGUGAGUUUGGAUGGGCGGUGCGUUUACCUGCGGUUAGUGUAAAAACAGCGGUGGCGGUGAGAUUAGAUACUGUAGCGAUAUUGUAGCGUGAGACAAAAAGUAAACUAAACUCACCACACCGCACCGCACUCAAUUGCCCAUCCAAACCCACCCUAAGUAUAAUGUUAUUAAUAAAAUUGGGUUUGAAACAAGGAUUGGAGCACUCAAUUUUAUUUUACUUUAUGGGUUGAUUGCCAUUUUUAUCCUUAAUAGUUUAUUGUUGAUAUGAUCAAGUCCUUGUUUGUAGUUUUAUUUGUUCAAUUUGACAAUAUUGCUAAAAUUUUUUUAUUUGUUAUCGAUUGCUAAUGAUGUUUUUAUUUAUAAACAAACUAUCUACCUAUCUACCUAAAUCCUAAUUUCUUUUUUAAAGAAAACAAAAGUCCUUAUAAGGUCAUGUGAUUUGAUUUGAAUUAUAAUUUAAUAAUUAAAAUAUAAAAUACGUAAUAUGCAAUAUUAUUAUAAAAAUAAUUGUAAUAUUUAAUUAAGAGUAGUUAAAAUGUAUAAAUUAAGUAGGGCCAAAUUAUGCAAAAAAAAUAAUUGAAGCUUGUUGAGAGAAAUUAAUUCUUUCUCAAGAAGUUUUUUAAGCGCCAUCUGUGAAGUAACUAGUUGGACCUCCGACAAUGGUGGAUAUUGUCCAUAAGUCAAGCCAAGUUUUAUCUUCCAACUAUAUUGAAAGCCCAAACUUAAAAUAGAAUUUAUAGAAUGAGAACAUUUCAUAAAAUUGACACUUACCAUAGAACAAGCACGUCACUCACUUGAUAGGAUAUAAACCCAACCUUUAGCAUAUAGAUCAUAUGUACCACUUGAUCUAUGGUUUUUUUCUAGAAAAUAAAGGGUUGACAGGAAUGUAUAAAACCCUUGCUACUUGUAAUAAAAUAGUAAAAUUGUUUUAAUCGAUGGUUAGGUAUUUACUUAGGAUGCAAAACUCAUUUUUAAUUUUUUAAGAAAACGAUAGGGUGGUAGGAAUGUUUAAAAUAUUUCAUUUUGUUUGGAUUGUUAUGUUUGUAUAUACAAAAAUGAUAGGUUUUGUUCAAAGAGUUAUUCUACUGUGUUUUAAUCGAGAAAUAAUGAUUUAAGUCCUACACACCUACCAUGUCAUAAUUUCACACUUAUAUUUUAAUCCCGAUUACUCUUCAGUAAAAUUUUCCAUUAUAAAUUUGGUUAUAAAUCAAGUGACUGAUUUGAAAAUCCAAACUUUAGUUGUAUUGUUGACUUUGUUUUCACAUGCGUUAAAUAGAUGUUUAAAGUUAGAAGCAAGUGAAUGUAUUAAAUAUUUAUCUAUAUAUAUAUCUAUAUCUAACCUUUGGUGUUGACUUUGUUUUCACAUAUAUUAAGUGGAAGUCCAAGUGAAUGUAUUAAAUAUUUAUCUAUAAUGUAUUAUAUAAAAGCAAAUUGUAUAUUUUUUAUUAUUAAAUUUUGAAAUUUUGAAAUUUUUUAUUGUAUUUUUACAUUGAUGUUAGAAUACUAUUUUUUUUUAUUAAAAUUUGAAUAUUAAAAAUAUUCUUAUAAUUUAUUCUAUUACUAUAUUAAUAUUUAAAUAUUCUUUUAUUCUUUUAUCAAAUUUUGAAUAUCUAAAUAUAUUUUAUUAAAUAUGAAAUUAAAAAAAUAAACUCGUAAAAUCACAUCUAACAUAUAUGACAUUAGAGAUUAGUGUAUAUAAAAGCAUUCAUUUAAAGAAACUAGUAAUAUAUUAAAGCACGAGUUUAAACUAACGAAAAUAUCUUUUUGUUAUUCAUUAUUACUAAAUUAGCAGUAUGAUACUAUAUUUUUAUUAAAUGUUAAAAAUAUUUUAUUUAUAUUUAUUUUCAUAUAAAAUUAUACAUGUACUAUCAUUUAAAUAAUUCAAUUUUGAGUUACACUUUUUUAUUAAUACAAAAGUAAGACUUACCACUAUAAAAUAUGUAUUGCUAAUUAGUAGUUAAAAAUUCACAUAAAAAUUCAAAUUUCAUUAUCAUUUACACAUUCAAAUCUCCAUCAAGAUUUGAAGUUUUUUUUUUUAAUUAUUAUAGUAUCAAGUGGAAUUUAAAGGGGUAGGUGGUGCCUUGGGUAAAUUAUGUUUUGGCUCCUCAAAUGAAAAAAUUAUGUUAAAUCACUUUCAAAAUAAUGUAAUCAUAAAAUUUGUUAAAUUUUAACUCUUAAAAGUUCUCACCCCUUUUUUCAUAACCAUUUCAAAAAUAUUACUUUGUAUUACUUACAUUAAAUAAAAAUAUAUUAUUUAAUAAAUUAGAAAAAUAAUUAGGUAAAAUCACAUAACUCCAACCCCUAACUUCGUCUUUAUUUCGAGAGCCACUUCCAUCUUUCAAUUUCACUUAAAUUUGUUUAUCUAUUGGGAGUUUUCUUCAACCUUUUCUCUCAUUGGUUUUUAUUAUAUAUAAAGGAUACUAAAUCAUCAUGUGUGAUCUUGUGGUUAAUCUAGCUAUUUUUAUUUCAAAAUGAAUCCUCUUAUUCUAUUGAAGAAUGCUGCUCAAAAUGGAGAUGUUAACAAGUUAUAUCAAGCGAUAGCUCAAGAUUCUAAUGUUUUGGAGCAUUAUGAUAAAACAUCUUUCGCUGAAACUCCAUUACAUAUAGCUACAAGUCGAGGGCAUAUCAAUUUUGCUUUAGAGAUAAUGAGGCUUAAACCAUCUCUUUCCAAGAAGCUAGAUGAACAAGGAUGGAGUCCCAUGCACGUUGCGUUGCAACAUAACCAGACCUCGAUGGUGCACCGGCUCAUAGAGACGGACCCAACCCUUGUUGGUGUCAAAGGAAGGGAGGGUUUCACUCCACUGCACUACGUUGUUCAAAACGACGGAGUUAAUCUCUUGCGUGAGUUUCUAGCGGUAAGCCCUCAUUCCGUCAUUGAUACCACGAAUAAAGGCAAAACGGCUUUGCAUAUCGCUGCGGAGAAGGGAAAUACCAGAGCUUUAGAGGCUUUGUUGUCGUUUCUUGGAAGGUCAUGGUAUAGGGAGGCAUUAUAUUGGGAAGAGAAAGUAGUUAACUGGAAGGAUGAAAAUGGUUUCACUGUACUGCAUGUAGCAGUGACGAUGAACGAUAUCGAGGUGAUUUUUGAUGAACUCAUUUCAGCUAUGCAUGACAAGAUUAUAUUGCAUUGCAUUACAAUUAGAUUAUGUUAAGAAAUGGCUUAAAAUUGGUAGUGGAUUGUUGUUGUUGGUAGUGGGUUGUUGGUGGUAGUGGAUUAGUGGAUGGUUGUUGGUGUCCAUUUUCAACCACAAAUCUUUGCCAAAGUUUUGGACAAUUAUGUCCUUGAACUCUCUUAUAAAUAGAGAGGUUCAUUAGCCAUAUUCAUCAUCCCAAACCAAGAGAGAGCAAAGCUUGUUCUUUGAAAGCUAGGAUUUUAGCUUUCGGGUUUUCUAUAGGGGUUGAGAGUUGUGAGGUUCUCGGGUUGUGUCUUGAGUGUAAAACACUUGUAAUCUUCAUCUUGUUAUAGUGAAAUUUCUUUUCGCCUCUGCCCGUGGACGUAGGCAUUAAAGCCGAACCACGUAAAUCCUUGUGUUCACUUUAUUUUUCGUUUCGGUCAAUUUACUUGUAGUCAUAUCGGAGUUCUCGAAUCGAUCCUUUCCGCAACAAAUUGGUAUCAGAGCGUAGUUGAAGGAGUGAUAAUAUUUUCUGAAUUGCCCUGUGACUGCAGCUUUGUCUGAUCUUUCACAUCAGGAAGAAAAUAUUAUCAUUCAUUCAAAGGUUCCAAAUUAUGGCUACAAGUGUUUCAUCGACUAAGUAUGAUGUCGAGAAAUUUACCGGGAAAAAUAGUUUCAGUUUAUGGCGCAUCAAGAUGCGGGCAGUGCUGGUUCAACAAGGAUUGCUAAAAGCAUUGUCUGGUAAAGAUAAAUUACCAAGCACGCUUUCGGAAGAGCAAAAGGAUGACAUGCUAGAAAGAGCACAUAGUGCUAUUCUGCUAUGUCUAGGAGAUGAAGUGCUACGAGAAGUAGCGGAUGAGAAAACCGCGUCCGGUUUGUGGCUCCGGUUAGAGAGCAAGUACAUGACGAAGUCAUUGACGAACCGGCUCUACCUCAAGCAAAGACUCUAUGCCCUGAAGAUGGAGGAAGGUACACCUGUUUCCCAGCACCUGGAUAAAUUCAAUUCCAUUAUCAUGGAUUUGAAUAAUAUCGAUAACAAAAUCGAUGAUGAGGACCAAGCAAUAAUUGUUUUGUGUUCUUUGCCUCCCUCGUAUGAGAAUUUUGUUGAUACAAUGAUGUACGGUCGUGAUGACCUGACUCUAGAGGAGGUGAAAAAUGCCUUAAGUUCCAGUGAGUUGAGGAAGAAAAUCACUGGUAAGGUGGUCGAAAACAAUGAAGGCGAAGGCUUGGUUGCUCGAGGAAGAUCCAAGGCAAAGGGUGGAAGUUCAAGUAAAAGCCAUCCUAGAUCGCAGUCCAAGAAGAGAAUACAGUGCUACUACUGUAAGAAGUACGGGCACAUGAAGGUAGAUUGUCCGAAAAGGAAGGAGAAAUCAGAAUCACAGGAGCAACAAAAUGAUCGUGCGAAUGUAGCUGAUGCAGAUUCUUCAAGUGAUGCCGAGAUCGUUCUUGCAGUAUCCGACUCUUACGCUGGUGGGAGAUGGAUUCUUGAUACGGGAGCUACAUUUCAUAUAAGUACUUCGAAAGAUGCAUUCUCAACAUACGAGAAGCAUUCUGGUUCAGUACUAAUGGGAAAUGACCACGCAUGUCAAGUCAUGGGGAUUGGCACAGUUCGUAUAAAGAUGUUUGACGGUAUUGUUAGAACUCUAACUGAUGUUCGGCACAUUCCAGAAAUGAAGAAAAAUUUGAUCUCUUUGAGUACGUUGGACAAGAAAGGCUUUCGGUACUCUGCUGAAGGUGGAGUUCUCAAGGUAUUCUCGGGUGCUUUGACUGUGAUACGUGGUAAUUUGGAGCGGGGCCUUUACUUCCUCGAUGGUUCCUCGGUUACAGGUGUUGCGGGAGUGUCAUCAUCAGAUGAUCUAGAUUCUGACACCACGAAGUUAUGGCAUAUGCGGCUCGGGCAUAUGAGCGAGAGAGGCUUAUCGGUGCUAAGCAAACGAGGAUUAUUGUCUGGGCAGUGUACAGGAAAGUUGAAUUUCUGUGAGCACUGCGUCUUCGGUAAGCAGACUCGGGUAAAGUUCAGCACUGGGAUUCACAAGACAAAAGGCACAGUGGAUUACUUCCAUUCUGACCUUUGGGGGCCUUCUCCGACAAUUUCUAAAGGUGGUUACAGAUAUCUGCUUACCUUUAUCGAUGAUUACUCGAGAAAGGUUUGGGUGUAUUUUCUGAAGAGCAAGUAUGAGGUUCUCAUCAACUUCAAGCAAUUUAAAGCUUUGAUCGAAAAUCAAACAGGAAAGAAGAUCAAGCGAUUCCGGACGGAUAAUGGCUUGGAGUUUUGCUCAGGUGAAUUCAAUGAGUUCUGCAAAAAUGAAGGAAUAGUGAGACACCGCACUGUUCGUCGAACACCACAACAAAAUGGAGUUGCAGAACGCAUGAAUAGAACUCUCUUGGAGCGAGCUCGUUGCAUGCGAUCAAAUGCUGGGCUCGGUGAAGAAUUUUGGGCUGAAGCUGUUAAUACUGCUUGUUAUUUGGUUAACAGAUCUCCGUCAACAGCUAUUGAGCUGAAGACUCCUGAGGAAGUAUGGUCUGGUUCUCCUGCUGAUUACUCUGGUUUAAGAGUGUUUGGCUGCCCUGCGUAUGCUCAUGUAAAUGAGGGAAAACUCAAACCGAGGGCGAAGAAAUGCAUAUUUCUUGGAUACGGCCAAGGGGUGAAAGGAUACAGGUUGUGGUGUCCUGAUCCGGUUUCGUCCAAGUUCAUCAUCAGCAGAGAUGUGACUUUUGAUGAGUCAUCCAUGCUUCGAUCCACCACAAAUUCCCGGGAAAAGGAGGAGUCAGAUAGAAUGGGAGAUCACGGUGUUGAGAAGCAGGUGGAGUGUCAGGUGGACGCUCCAAUUCCUACGGAAGGUACUUCAGUCCAGGAUGAUCAAGUUGAGGUGCAAGAUUCCGAUGAAGAUGAGUCACCUCAAGAAAAACCAUAUAGCAUUGCCACUGGAAGAACGAAGAGACAAAUCAAACCAAAUCCGCGUUACGCUAAUCUGGUGUCUUUCGCGCUCAGUGUGGCGGAGUCCAUUGGUAUAGAACCUUCCAGUUAUAAUGAGGCUGUCACGUGUGAUGAGUCGGCACAGUGGGCAAUUGCUAUGAGUGAGGAGAUAGAAUCUCUUCACAAGAACCAUACUUGGGAGUUGGUUAAGCCGCCAAGUAACCAAAAGAUAGUUGGUUGCAAAUGGGUCUUCAAGAAAAAGGAAGGCAUCCUAGGGGUUGAAGCAACUAGAUUCAAGGCACGAUUGGUUGCUAAAGGCUUCACUCAGAAAGAGGGGAUUGACUACAAUGAAGUUUUCUCCCCAGUCGUAAAGCAUUCUUCCAUUCGUGUAUUACUUGCCAUGGUGGCCAAGUCUGAUCUAGAACUUGAGCAGCUUGACGUAAAAACGGCGUUCUUGCAUGGUGAGCUCGAGGAAACAAUCUACAUGCGUCAACCAGAGGGUUUUACAGUUCCUGGUAAAGAAGACCAUGUCUGUCUAUUAAAGAAGUCUUUAUAUGGAUUGAAACAAUCCCCAAGGCAGUGGUACAAGCGGUUUGAUAGCUUCAUGAUUCAGCAUGGUUACACAAGAUGUGACUAUGAUGCUUGUGUCUAUCAUCGGAAGCUCUCAGAUGGUUCGCACAUUUAUUUGUUGCUGUAUGUUGAUGACAUGUUAAUUGCUUCCAAAAACAUGUCGGAAAUCAACAAGUUAAAGUCGCAGUUGAGUGGUGAGUUCGAGAUGAAGGAUCUGGGUGCUGCCAAGAAAAUUUUGGGCAUGGAUAUUCACAGAGAUCGCAAGGCGGGCAAGCUUCGUGUGUCGCAGAAGAACUACAUUGAAAAGGUUCUUCAACGCUUCGGCAUGGAUAAAGCGAAAACUGUGAGUACUCCGUUGGCACCACAUUUCAAACUCUCUGCAGAGUUGUCACCACAAUCUGAUGAAGAAAAGCAGCAAAUGUCUCACAUUCCAUACUCGAGUGCAGUUGGAAGCGUGAUGUAUGCAAUGGUUUGCACUCGUCCAGACAUUUCACAUGCAGUUAGUGUGGUCAGCAGAUACAUGAGUUGUCCUGGCAAGGAACACUGGCAGGCCGUGAAAUGGAUUCUCAGGUACUUGAGAGGUUCUGCAGAUUUAUGCUUGGUAUAUGAUCAGAGUGACUGCACUAGCAGUGUCACGGGCUAUGUGGACUCUGAUUAUGCUGGAGAUCUGGACAAAAGAAGAUCUCUGACGGGUUAUGUUUUCACUUAUUCUGGAGGAGCCAUUAGUUGGAAAGCUGUGUUACAGUCUACCGUAGCCUUAUCUACGACUGAGGCGGAAUAUAUGGCGUUAGCAGAAGCAGUGAAAGAAGCAUUGUGGAUGAAAGGUCUAGUAAGCAGUUUGGGUUUACAACAGGAUUUCACUGUUGUAUUUUGCGAUAGCCAGAGUGCCAUACAUCUGACUAAAAAUCAGAUGUUUCAUGAACGGACCAAACACAUUGAUGUCAGAUAUCAUUUUGUUCGGGAACAUGUUACGCAAGGUGACAUUGUUAUCAGCAAGGUUGCUACCGAGAAGAAUCCUGCAGAUAUGUUAACUAAGGUGAUCCCUGCAUAUAAGUUCAAGCAUUGCUUGGACUUGAUAGGUAUUCGGGAUUGAUUAGCGCCAGAGAGGCGUUUGGAAGAGGUGAUCCAGUUCGAGGAAUUCACUAUGAUGUUCAGCUUGGUAAAUUUCAAGCCAAGGUGGAGAUUUGUUAAGAAAUGGCUUAAAAUUGGUAGUGGAUUGUUGUUGUUGGUAGUGGGUUGUUGGUGGUAGUGGAUUAGUGGAUGGUUGUUGGUGUCCAUUUUCAACCACAAAUCUUUGCCAAAGUUUUGGACAAUUAUGUCCUUGAACUCUCUUAUAAAUAGAGAGGUUCAUUAGCCAUAUUCAUCAUCCCAAACCAAGAGAGAGCAAAGCUUGUUCUUUGAAAGCUAGGAUUUUAGCUUUCGGGUUUUCUAUAGGGGUUGAGAGUUGUGAGGUUCUCGGGUUGUGUCUUGAGUGUAAAACACUUGUAAUCUUCAUCUUGUUAUAGUGAAAUUUCUUUUCGCCUCUGCCCGUGGACGUAGGCAUUAAAGCCGAACCACGUAAAUCCUUGUGUUCACUUUAUUUUUCGUUUCGGUCAAUUUACUUGUAGUCAUAUCGGAGUUCUCGAAUCGAUCCUUUCCGCAACAGAUUAUAUAACCGGCCAAAUUUUAUACGAAGUCCCUAUACUUUACAUUCUUCUUUGUAGCUUUAGUAAAUUUACUAAAUUUGAUCAAUUCUAGUUUUUGUUUAGACCGGGUUGUUUUCGGUUUGUGAUGAUGAUUUUGGGUUUUAAUUUUAGGUUUAAUUAAUUUUUCACUUUUUAAAAUAAAAAUUUUGUGCCGAUGGGGCAAGAAAAUUUGCCAUGCCUGUCGGGUCAACGAUUUGAUUUUGAAUUUUUCGGGGCAAUAUAUUAUUUGGUAUUUAAAUUUAGUUUUAAUGUUAAAUUUGAUAAUUAAUUUUUUUUUAAUUUAAUACUUAAGUUUAACUUCAAUUUUUUAUGCACUUUAAAUAAAAAGUGUGUUUAAUUGGAAAAGAAGCUCAAGUAUCAAAUUAAAAAUUGAAGCUAAACUCAAAUUCUUACUCUCUUUUUUUUUUUUUUACUAUUGUCUAAGUACAAAAAUCACAAAUUUUAAGUCAUUUUUCUGAACUAUCCAACUAUUUUCUUUUGAGUGAAGUUUAAAAUUUUAAUAUUCAAAAUGUCGAAUGAAAUUAAAAUUGAUAAAGUUGGAAUGCAGGACCAAAUCCACUAGAACCACAUAGUACAUGAACUAUUAGGACAAUUUAACCAUGAUAAUCCUUUCUUCAAUGGUAAUAAGAUGAUCAUUGCAAAAUCCUACCAUGCAGGUUGUGAAAUCGUUACUAAACUCUAAAAUCAACGUGAAUGCAAAAAGCCUAUAAGGCUUUACAGUUCUGGACAUUGUUGAUCGUGCUAACAAUAAUCCAGACAUGAAAGAUGUUUUAAUCCAAGCAGGAGCUAAACAUAGUGAUGUAAUGAAGACCUACGACAUUAAUGCUAUUCCUUCCAUGAAGCAAGUAAGUUUUGAACCAAAGCCUACACUUCUUGAUAAUGUCAUACGGUUCCUAAAAGGCCAGAAAACAAAUAUCUCGACCGAAACACAUGAUGCUUUGCUAGUGGUGGCUGCACUGGUUGCAACAGCCACUUUCCAAGCGGUUCUCAGCCCACCGGGAGGGCUUCGACAGGCUGACAGUAGCGACAGUGAUUCACUUCCGUUCAGCAAGGUGGGGAAGGUGGUGAUGAAAGAAUGGUUAUACAUAACUUUCUUGAUUCUUAAUAGUACUUCAUUUUGGGUGACAAUCAUAACCAUUUAUCUUUUACUCCCAAACGGGUUUUAUGGUCAGCUAUCGACUCUACCCUUAAUUCUCUUCUCGAUUACCUACUUGUUCUGCUCAACAAUCAUAUCACCAAGCCUCAUUUGUGCCAUUGUUAAUUUCAGCUUUUUCAUAUGUUGUGUGGUGUUACUCAGUUCAGGCCUUGUGGUUAUAUCCAAUCAUUCCUUGUUGUCCUACAUCAGGAAAUUAUGGUCCCGUUGCAGAUAGGAUGAUUUACUUGCGGAUUUGGAGUUUGUUGCAUGGAACCUCCUCAUCACUUGUUUGUGUUGUGUUACUCUGUCUACGACAUAACGUUGAACUCUAUUGCUAAUCGUUGAAUAAUGCGUUGUAAUUAAAGUUUGUAUUCGAAUAAUGUGUUGUAAUUAAAGUUUGUAUUCAAUCAGUGAGAAGGGAAUGGAUGAAUUUAAGAAAUUUAGUAGCCAUUUAAUUAGGAUGCAUGAGUUACAGAUUAACUACUUGGCUAGAAUAGAAGAAAGUAUAGAAUUUAAAAGUAGAGAUUGUAAGUGAUGAAGCCAAUGUAAGCUAAAAAAAAAAGUAAACUAAAAUUUCAUAUUCCAUCAUGAGUGUAUUUUCCCUUUACCAUCUUCAGAGUUUUUUCAACAAAGUAUUAAUCAAAGUUAAAUAUCCUUACAAAGAAAAUAUAGUGAAAAGAGAGUGAGAAAAAAAUGAACUUUUAAAGUGAUGAGUCAUGGAUUUCACAACUAAUUUAUUAAUCAACAAUAGAUUUUACGGUAAUGUUUGUAUAACAUCUUCAUACCCGAAGAAACUACUAAGAAAAUUAAGUUCGUUCAAUGAUUUUAUUUAACUAAUUAAAUUAUUUUACUUUUAUGUCACUUUUUAAAUGCAUAUCUAAACUUAAUACCAACUUUAGGUAGCUCUAUUAUUAGUUAAUAAAUGAAUAGGGACCAAAUUAUGAAAUUUGCAAACACAUUUGCUUCUAACUCUUUGACCCACAUAAAAAUAUGACAUUUAAUGUGUGCUACUAUUAUUAGUACUUUUAAAGAACUAUAAGGAAAAUAUUUCUCAAUAGUGCAACUUUAUUGAUUGAUACACAUACAUCAAGCAAAAGUACACAUACCCAAGUUUUUUGUUUAUUAUGCGUAAGGCAAAGUUUUGGGCACUUUGCUGACAUAUAAACACCUACUUAAUAACAUAAUAAUAAUGAAGCCACUAUAAUUGAGGAAAUUAAUUAUCUUUUAAAAGGUUCUUACUUUCUUUUUUCUCAAGAAGUUCAAUUGCGAUGUAUUUCAUUCAAGCUCAAUAUCUGAUUCAUAAGCAACUCCAGCUUUCCAAUCACUAGGAAUAACAUUUGAUGCCUGCACCCAAUAUACACCCGCUCUACCUUGAACUUGGAAUCUCAAAGUGACCGCUCCCGAUCGUGGAUACGUUGUGUCGAAAACUGCCCCGUAUGCCCUCCUCAUCCCUAUCCAUUCCUUACAAUCCGCCUGCAUAAUUCAUAUCACCAACAAAAUUUUGAUUACUAUGCUUUUAAAAUUAGGUUAAAUCACUAUUUAAGAUCACUAUUUAAGGCCUGAAUUUGACAAUUACAUUCAUAUCUAAAAUAUAGAAUGUAAAUUCUUUUUAUUCUUAGUUCUUGAACUUGAUAAUUAAUCUCACAUUGGAAGCUUGAACUAGACAAUUAUUCUCAUAUUGGGACAUGAACCUUUUUUAGUCUAGGCUAAUCUUAAAACUUCGCAAUUGUUUUUAUAUUGGGCCUUUAGUUUUAGGAUUUUCAAAAUAAAAUUAGGCAUCAAUGUGAAAACAAUUAUCUUUUUUGUCCCAAUGUAGGAAAAAUUAUCAAGUUCUGAAAUUAACUUGGACAAAAAAAGUUUCAAGCUUCAAUAUAAAAAUAAUUGCUAAGUCCAAAUCUUAAAAAAAAAUCUAAACCUUUAAAAUUCCUUGAGCUCACCAACAAUGUAACACUUCAAUUUACCUGCCAAACAUCUGCGGCUAGAAUUUCUGUUUGGCCAGCUUGGUAUAAUAUUACAAUGGCCAAGUAAUUUGGGUACUUGCUAUGUUCAUGAACCUUGAGUUGCAUCUUGUAACCACCAGGGGAUUCGCUGGUAUUCUACUUCGACUACUCCGUAAGCGAACAGCUCGGCCGCUUUGUCCGAUUAAUGUGCCAUCCUAGAUUAAGCGCGGGGGCUGAGGAUGAAAUCAGUGUUGUCACCUUCGCCGUAGUCGGUCACCACUAUGUUCACCCCAUUAUCAGUACAGAGUUGGGGGUUUGUGCACCUAACCUGAGAGUUAAAAUCAAAACAAAUUCAAGUGACAUUAGUUAGCAAUAACAUUGAGUCGAGUUGGAAGAAUGACAAAUUUCAGCUUGAACAGAAUUUAAAUUUUGAAUUCCAUCGAGUAUAAUUUUUAAAGCUCAAGGUAUAAUUUAAUUUAUUUGAUCACUCAAGUUUUAUAUUUGAGCUCGAGCUUGAAUUAUAUUUUUGCUUAUACAAUUUUGGUAUUAAUUAAACUUAAUAAAUAAUGAAUAUAUAAUAAGAAAUUAAAAAGUUUUAGGCAACAAUUAAAUCUAAAUUUUCUAAUGAUCAUUGCUGGGUGGGUGAACUAAUUGGACCAAGAAUCAGUUAGGGUACUAAUCCGGAAAAAGGUGUUGUAAAUCGGUUGAACAAGUUUUUUUUUACUAUUUUUUAAUAUAUAUAUUUUUUUAAUAAUUUAUUCGAUUAGACCAACAAAUCAAUCGAAUUAAUCAAAUUGAUCAGACUGGGAAUUGGUGGUCGAACGAUUCAGCUAUCGAUCUAGUUCUGGAAACCUUGAUAAAAAAAAUAUUUAAUAUUUAUUUAAAUAUAUAUCAAGGAUAAAAAAUAAUUUAAUAAAAUAAAAUACUUAAUAUAUCUUAAAAAUGAAAAACUAGAUUAAGCUCAUGUUGGAAUUGUGUAUCAAGAUACUUAAAUUUGACUUUUUUAAUAAUUCAAAGUGCUCAAACUCAACUCCGUGAUUAUCAAAUAAGAAUCGAUUUUGAAGCUUAUACCUGAUAGCAAGUACCACAGCCAGUUCCAUUUUUGUAGAGCCUGUAAGAAACCCCAGCCACAUUCGCAUCAUUCACAGUCCUUCCAAAUUCUCCAUAUCCACAAGCUCCCCCUAAAAUUCAUCACAUAAUUGUUAGCUAAAACAUGAUAAACAUUGAAUAACCAUGCAUAAUUUCUUCAAGUAUUCAUGUUCGAAUAUGUGUCAAAGAACGAAGAGUCCAAGCAAUACGAUAAUGGUAAAUAAAUAAGGAGCAAUGUUCAUACUUGGAGUCCCUAAACAAUCAGGGCUGCCAUAGUAAGUUGCUCUGGACUUUACAUAGUCCUGAGCACAACACAGUGUAGGCAGAAACACCAUGACAGACAUAAGGCAGCAAUGAAACUUCAAUGAGAACCCCAUGUUUUCUGCAACAAAAAAUUUAUAGUAAUAAUGGAACAAAAUUAAAAAGAGAAAUGUAGUUAAUGAGAUGAGAAGCUAAGAGACCAGAGUUCCCAUAUUUAUAGCAGAAAUGAAGAGUUAUGUGUAUGCAAUAUCUGCAGGUUGAAUUUGAAAAGGUUAUGUGUCAAUUAUUACUAUGCUCUUGGGAUUAAAUUAUUAAGUUUAUCCUACAAUUGGUUUCCAAGGAUUAAAGUAUAAUAGUGGAGACUAUGUUUUCUCCAUUUCUUCUCUGUCUCUAUCAAUGGAUAGAUGAAAUUAGAGAAUCCCACAUUUUCGGAUUUAGAAUUUGUGUUUAUUAGAGUAUAAUAUUUUUUUUUAUAACUUUGAUGAUUUAGGGUGGGUUUAGAUGGGUGGUGCGUUUACCUGCGGUUAGUGUAAAAACAGCGGUGGCGGUGAGAUUAGAUACUGUAGCGAUACUAUAACGUGAGACAAAAAGUAAGUUAAACGCACCGCACCGCACUCAAUCGCCUAUCCAAAUCCACCUUUAAUGUAUUUUUAAAAUUUUGUCUUUCGACUUUAAAAAGAGUCUAUAACAUCUCUUAAAUCACUGAACAAUGAAUACGUGCCUAUUAACAGCAAUGCUCAUAUGGAACAAAAAUCCUUUAGGGUGCGUUGAUUCUUUAGUGGCAUCCAAAAACAGGGACGACACCAAAGGCAGGAGCUUAAGCUAUGAAAUAUCAGUUUAGUCCCUCCAAAGUAUACAUGUUUUCCAUUUUAGUAUUAAAUUUUUUUGUCCCUUGAAAUCUAAGCCAUUACUCCGUUAUAGAUUUGAGUCGAAAAAGUAAAAAGAGCUAGAAGGAUUAAUUGGCGAAUCAACCAAUAAGAAGAUACCACAUGAAAGUUCGUUACACAUGACAAUUAAUGACAUGACAUUCAUUUAAAAAUAUUCAAAAUACAAAUAUAUGUAUAUAUAAUAUCUAAAAAAUAUAUAAAUUUUAUUAAAUUUAAAAAAAUCAAAUUUUUACAAUAUAUAACUAUAUAAAAUAAAAAAUUAUAAAAACAUCAUAUAAAAAAUUCCAAAUUAUAUGUAUAAAUUCAAAUUUUUACUAAAUUUAUUAAAUUUAAAGAUUCAAAAAAUUAUAAUAUAUAAUAUUUUAUAUACAAACAUUAUAUAAAAUAUAAAACAAGGGGGAAAUAUAUAUAUAAAUUCAAAUUUUAUUAAAUUUAUAUUUAUAUUUUUAUAAUAUACCAAUUACAUAAAAUAAAAUAAUAUAUAUAACAUUAUUUAAAAUAUAAGUAAUUUGAGAAAAGGAAAAAAAAUAACUCUAAAAAUUUUAAAAUCUAUAUUACAAUGUUCAAAAGUCAAACAUUAGCGUCAAAUUUGGCACAAAAAUCUAUAUUAUGAUGAUAUCGGUAAUAGCACCGUUGAGUGACAUGACCAAAGCGCUCACAAAUUUGGCACUAGUGGCGUAGCCAAAAACUGUUAAACUUUGGCCUGCAAUGCAACAUGGAACCAGCAGCAAGCUCACAUCAAGACCAGCAACAGCAAAGCAGUUUGAAGUGCAGCAUUGUAGCUGAACCGAAUGCAACAGUUGUUUUGGUUAUUUUGUUCCCGUGUAACUUUGCUUAGUUUACUUGCAACUUGUUUAACAAAGUUAGUAGGAUUAGUUUAUGAUGUAAUGGCUGAUAUGUCAGCUUAUUUUGUGUGUAACUUAAGUUAGCAUUAGUCUAGUAUUAGUGGGGGCAGUUAAGCCAUUAAGUAACUGUCAAAUUAACAUUGUAACUCUCAUAUAUUUCAAAAUUUUGAAUGAAAAUUAGUAUGAAUCCUUUAGUUACAAUUUUUGCCAUUAGUUUUCUUUCUUUUUGCUUCGAUUUCUUUGCUUGGUCUUCUACUUUUGUUUGUUUUUAUUUUAUUUUACUGCUUAAGUUCCAACAAAUGUUAAUCAGAGUCUGUCAUCUUUAAAGGCCUCUGUUGUUGGUUGUUUCUUUCCAAAACAAAACUUGAGAAGAGAGAAAUCGAAACUGUUGGGCUUGUUUCAGCAGGAUGAGUUUUACACCACCUCCACCACCUGUGCUCACUAGAAAGAACUACCAUAUUAAAGGUUUGGAUCUAGAAACGAAAGAUAAAAUAAAAAUAGAAUUAGGAAUAUUGAAUCGAAAAUUCGAGAAAUUAAAAAUAGAGUUGAGAGAAAGGAAAUUCUUAUGGGAGAUUUCAGCCUCUAGUUGUCUUGUUCCGCCUUGGGUUCAAUCCUCGGCUUUUAGAUGAUUCUUCCCAAACCAAAUAAGCCAGUUAUAAUGGAAGAGGACACCUACAACCACCAGCUCCAAGGAUUUAGACUUACAAUUUAGUGGAACCUGACUCUAGCCAACAAUCGCUUCUGUAAGAUCGUCUUAUGCUAGAUCAACGCUUCUCAAUGGCGAAUCCCAUGCCAUUUUGUCUAUUGGGCUCGCCAGCCUCUGACGCAGUAAGCUAACGAACCGACUAUGCAACCUUCCCAAAAUAUACAAAGUGGCCGCCUUUGCAUACGUUGAAAAGCUUACUUCUUAAGGGACAUGGACAGAAGCGUCAACCCCGUAGUGCGGAGAAACGAUGAAUACUCAACGAGGAGGCUAAGUAUGGACUCUAAGCCUCAAGAACCCUUUUUGGGGAAUAUCAACAACUUUCGGCUAGAUGAGUUUAGUAGCUCAUGGUUGUGGUGGAAAAGAAAAUAAAUAUAAUAAAAAUGGAGAUUUUUUUGAAAAGAAAUAUGAGAAGAACAAAAGCCUAGACUUUUGGGGAGAGAGUGUUUAUAGCAAAAAAAAGAUGGAUCUCUUUUGAGUUACUUCACCCCCUAUUUAUAGUGCUAGGGGAGAUAGUCUAAUCCUACAUAAACUCCCAAAAGAUAAAUACAUUUAAUUGAAGAUAAAUAAAGAUAAAUAACAUAAAAUCCUAAAAUUAGAUAAUCCUUAAUAAUUAUCUUAAUAUUAAUUAUCCUAAUAUAAUUAAAAUAGAGUUUGAUAGAAUAAAAUCUUUUCUUUUUGCAUUUCAACCCUUGUGUCCUCCAUACUUGCACUUUUGGCACCAACUUUUCUUUGUGUCGCACAUUGGCCCAUUUUAUCUCUAAAUUCACACUUUUGGCCCUUAAUUUUGCUUUUGCCUCAAAUUUAGUCCCUAUGAGAUAAAAGAUCACGAAUAGCUCAAAUUAGCAGGAUCAUACUCAGAAUAAAUACAUAAUUAAUACAUAAAAAUACAUUAUUCUAGAGUGUUUUUAGUUUAAAUCGAAUAUGAAUUACACAAUUUGAGUUAUCCGAAAAUCCGAAUAAGAAAAGACAAAACUAUGUCGUUUUAAUAAAUGUUUACUCUUUAAAAAGUUAAAAUUCAAAACAAUUAAGUUAAAAGGCAAAACUAUGUCGUUUUAAUAAAUGUUUACCCAUUAAGUUAAAAGGCAAAAUCAUUAUAUUGUUCAUGUAGUUAAAUAAUCUUGUACUUUGUCUACUAGUUAAAUAAUUGGUCCAUCUAAAUGCAACAUUAAGUAUAAAUAAAAUGAUUCAUUAACUCGACUUGAUUUGACUCGAAAUUUUUUGACUCGAUUCAAUUCGAUUUGAAAAAAAUUCAAAUUGAGUUUGGUUGCUAAAAUAGGAUUUGUCAACUUGACUAACUCAAAAAUUUUUGACUCGAUUAUACUCGACUCGAUCAAAUACUCACCCUUAAUUCCCAGAGGGAUCAUCAAUGGGUUAGGGGGACCAAAUUUCAUAAGAGCAAAAUAAAAGGGCAAAAAUAGAAGUAAAAAUAAUAAGUUGUAGGACGAAAUUGAAAACAGCAAAAAAGCAGAAGGGCCAAAGCAGUAAUUAGACCCUCCCCUUUAAAAACAUGCUGAUCCUAAGGGAAUUCGAGUCAGGUCAUCGGGUCGGCCCCGAAAUGACACCAUUUUGGGGCGUUUACGGGCAUGACGAAAUGACGUCUUUUAAGUAACCUUAUUUAAGUAAAAAAUAUUUUUAAAAAAUCAUUUUAAAAUAAUUUUUCAAAAAAAAAAUUCAUUCCUCUUUUUUCUCUGAAGCUCUUCCUGUGUUCGGCUACAGGGCCGUCGGCGCUACACCAAGGCCACUAGUCAUUGGCGAUGGUAGUCGUCGCCUCUGGUGGUCGAAGUUGUAAAAAAUAGACUUUUUAUCUCUGUUAAACAGGGAACCCGGAUCUAAGGCCAAAAUCCCUAAAACUCGGUCAAAAUCUAAAAAUGCAAAAGGGACCUUUGGUUCCCGACCAUCUUCCAACGCGACCUUUCGGUGAAUCCCCAAGGAUUCGAUGGCCUUUCAAGCCAAAGGGGACAUCGACAGUGGAGGCAAAGGUAAAAAAGUUUUGUAUUUUAUUUAUUAUUUUUAUAUGUAUACGAUAUAAAAUAAUAUACUUUUUUUAAGAACUGGAAAUUUUUAUUCCUUUUUGCUCUUCUUUUUUUUAUUACAAUCUGUUUGUUUUGCUUUUAUAGCCGAUUGAUUAUAAAUAUUUGUAUUUGUAUUUAUUUUUGCUUUUUCUUUUUUUUUAUUCCGUUUUUGUCUUUUUCUUUCUUCUUUGCAGGUCGCGAUGGUAGUCAACGACGAUGGGAGUCACACCCUUGUCAUUUCAAUGAAUCGAUAGCAGGGGAGGCAAUCCUCGAGUGAAGCAUCCGUUGACGUGGCCAGGAGCAGCGGCGUAUAAGAGAUCUAGGGUUUUUUUUAUUUUCUAAAAAAAAUUUAGGUUGUGGUCUUGAGCUUAUGUAACAUUGGGUUUGGGUUUGUAAUUUGGGUUAAGGUAAAUUUUGUUUUUGUUUUGUCUUUGUUUGGGUUUAUUUAUUUGUAUUGGCCAGGCAAAAUUGGGUUACUACAUAUACAUAUAUGAUUUAUAUUUCUAGAGUUCUCUAGGAUGGACUCACAAAUGCACUGAUAACGAAGACAUAAUAGACUUUGAAGGUGUUCAUGUAUGCUACUAACUUUUUGUGCCAAGCUUGAUAGUUCCCAUGCCUCCGAAGUCGAUGUAAUGAACUUGAACCAAAAACAAAAAAAUGAUUUGAUCAUUGAUAAAUUUUAUCAUCAUAUUUUGUCAUUAAGAGCACGUAAAAAAUUUAUCUCUCCUCGUGUCUCAUCCCUACAAGACCUAUAAUCUGUGCAGUACAAGCGACGACACUCCAAAUGAUCCAGUAGGUAGCAGUGGGGAUAUGAGCCAUGGCAGUCGACAAUGGCGGCAUGUUAAAGAUAAUAAAACGAUUAGAGAGGUAGUUAGUGAAUGUUGAAAGGUUAGUUAGUUUGUUAAAGAAAGCUAGUGAUUUGUGUUUAUAAAUACAAAUGUAUGACUUUGUAUUGAGGCAAGUAAACAGUCUAAAUUCAUGAGUAAACAUUUGUUUCAGUAAAAAUUUUCUCAAAGUUACCUGGUUUCUUCAUGGUAUCAGUCGCUAGGAGUUCUUGAUCAUGGCAACAACAAACUCUGCUGCGUUAGACUCUGCUGAAGUGCAUGGCUCAGUCUUUGCUGCUGAUCGUGUGGUGAAUUCGUUUCCUAGGCAUGAAGUUGUGAAGCUUGAUGAAGGAAUGUUUCUUCAAUGGAAACAAUAGGUGCGUUUCAUUGUUAAUGGCUAUGAUUUGUUUGGUCUUUUCGAUGGAUCUAUUGCUGUGCCGUUGAGGUUUGUGCAAGCACCAGAUGGUGCGCUUGUGGUCAAUCCAGUGGCAUCAGUGUUUUAGCAACAGGAUAACCUUCUCACCUCUUGCCUUCUCUCCACUAUCAGUUCGUCAAUUCUUUCUUCGUUCAUGGAUGUUCAAUCGACGUUGGAUGUUUGGACUAUGGCGUUGGCAAUGUUCGCGGCCGAUUCUGAUCAGAGGCAGUCACAAUUGCGACAUGAACUUCACUCUCUCAAGAAAGAGAACAUGUUGAUUCGUGAUUAUGUUACGAAAUUAAAAAGCGUGUGUGCUCUAUUGGAGGCAUCUGAAACCUCUAUCUCAAUGGCGGAGAGGACGGCGGUGCUUCUUGUGGGGCUACCGUCUGACUUUGAGGGUGUUGUAUUGUCAGCCUCAUUGUCUCCAACGCCGUUACCGUUUCAGCGUCUAGUGGACGAUCUUAUCGAGUGUGAAAAUCAACAUGGUCAACCAAGUCAAGAGGUUGUUUAUGCUGCAAACCUAGUGGAAGACGUGUCCAUGGAUGGGUCGUCACGAGGAGGACGAUCGGGGGUGCGUGGCCAUGGUAGGACCUUCAGGCCGCGUCUCCAGUGCCAGAUCUGUUCACGAUUUGGUCACGUGGCUCAGAAAUGCUAUUACCGAUACUACCGUGACGACUCGUCUCUGGUGUAACCUCUGAUGCAAAAUUCAAUGCUGAGCUACCAUGAUUCAGGCAAAAGUGGCUGGCACUCUCAACCAAACACCAGGCCUAGGUUUUCAAACCUUGGUCAAAAUUGCUAUGGGACCAGUCAAAUUAAUUGUGCUACUGGUCAAAAUUAUUUCGGGCCUAGUCAAAAUGCAGUUGGUUUUGGUCAAAAUUUGUGUGCUGAAUGGGGGGUUCAAUGAGCAGCGUGGAGGCCGAAUGUUGGGCCACAUGGUUGGUCCAGGCUGAGUGAUGAAUGGCGUGGUUUUAGGCCUCCCAAUCUUGGGCCGCACACUAGUGGGCCAACUGAUGGUGUUAAUGGCAGAUUUGGACUGCCUUCUCAUCUUGGGCCGAAUGUUGGGCAGAAUAUUCCUCCGUUGUCCACAAAUCCGUUUGUGAAUAAUAUGCAGCUCAAUCAGGCUAACCCGACCGGUCAUAUUCUAGUCCUGUGGCGUACCAAGCCGGGUGCGCGCGUGUUUUCAGCUUCAAAUCCAUGUUUUGGGCUUCCUAAACUGGGAUAUUUACAUGCAUCUAAUUAUUUGGAUUUGUCGAUCUCUAGCUCCCAUAUUAACUAUGAUCGACAUAGAGUGAGUGGAGACGAGUCUGACUUAUCGAUUCCUGGACCAGUUGGGACGUUAUCCUGGUAUCCUAAUUCAGGAGCCAGCAAUCAUGUUUGUCGGGAUCCGUCAGUUUUGUAUAAUGCCGCUCCUUAUUCAGGUACGUCUUCUAUUUUAAUGGGUGAUGGUUCGCCCGCACUGAUAUCGUCCGUUGGUCAAAAUAUUUUGCCGACACAGUCUAGGUUACUUCGGCUAUCUAAUGUUUUAUGUGUCCCAGCCAUUCGGAAAAAUUUGUUGUCAGCAUCACAAUUUGUAACUGAUAAUGGGGUGUUUUUUUAGUUUCACUCUACUUAUUGUAUGAUUAAGGAUAGCGUGACACAGGAGGUUUUGCUGACGGGGCAUAUUUAUAAUGGGCUAUACCGAUUUUCUAUGCCAGAUGGUGUUUCUUAUAUGUCUGCUGCUCAGGUAAAAUGUUCAGAUUCGACUGCCAACAAUGAGUUGUUUUCGUUAUGGCACAAGCGCCUUGGACAUCUGUCAUCAACUGUUGUUAAAAAUGUUUUACAUAAGUGUCAUGUUCAUGUUCAUAUGAAUAAAAUUGCUAAUAGCGAUGUUUGUACUACUUGUAAAAAGGGUAAGUUUCAUAAGUUGCCAUUUUCGGCUUCCAAUACUGAAUAUAUCGAUCCCUUUUCGUUAGUUGUGUCUGAUGUAUGGGGACCUGCUUCGGUUGCUUCUAGUAACAAGUGGUACUAUGUGUCAUUCGUCGACAUAAGUUCUCGAUUUACUUGCGUAUAUCUAAUUCGGUAGAAGCCUCAAGUUAUGACCUACUUCAUUCAGUUUCAGAAACUUAUUCACACUCAGUUUGGCAAGACCAUCAAGCAGUUCUAGAGCGAAUGGGGUGGUGAGUAUCGAGCUUUGGCUUCAGUUUUGGCAUCCCAAGGCAUUGUUCAUCGUGUUUCUUGUCCGCAUACUUCUGAGCAAAAUGGCGUUGCCAAGCGUAAACAUCGCCACAUUGUGGAAAUGGGGCUUACACUUUUAGCUCAAGCGGGACUUUUGAUGGAGUUCUGGGCAUAUGCGUUUACAUGCACAGUUCAUUUAAUAAAUUGUCUUCCACACCAGUGCUGGAGGGUAAGACACCGUAUAGUGUGCUUUAUGGACGAGACCCUACUUAUGAUCACCUGCGUAUUUUUGGAUAUCGUUGUUAUCUGUUUUUGCGCUAGUUUUAGUGUCAUAAAUUAACCUUUCGGUCUCAACCGUGUACGUUCUUGGGCUACAGCCCCUGUCACAAAGGGUAUCAAUGUCUAUUGCCGGAUGGUCGCUUUAUUGUCUCUCGACAUGUAGAGUUUGAUAAAUCUCAUUUCCCCUCUCCGAUGAAUAUAUCUCGAUCACGGGAGGUGAGUACUAUACCUACGUACUUUCCUGUACUUGAGACUAAUCCGUUAUUAUAGAGGAAUGGUGUUACUGGUCCUGUUUGUUCACCUAGUGUACCUGGGUCUCUAAGUCCUCAGAAUGGAGUGGAUGUUAAUCCAACAAAUACUAACUGCCAUAAUACUCCCUCGGUGAAUGAGUUUUUGACUGAAGGUGAUAAUGCUUAUCAUGAUUUCUUGAACUCUGAAACUCAAUCUCCCACGCCUAUUGUUCAAAUUUCGUCUGACCCUACAGGACCAGAGGUUUCUGUGCCUAAUGUGAAUAUUCAUCCUAUGACUACUCGUUCCAAGGCUGGUAUUUUUAAACCUAAGGUUCUUGCUAUUGAGGUUGUAGAACCAUCAACGAUUGAAGAAGCUGUUGCUAGCCCUGAGUGACAAACCGCUGCUCAAGCUGAGUAUGAUGCUUUAAUUCGUAACGGUACCUGGAAAUUUGUUUCUAUGCCAUCAGGUCACAAAGUUAUUGGUUGCAAAUGGUUGUUUAAAGUGAAGAAAAACCCAGAUGGAACGGUUGAACGAUACAAGGCACGUCUGGUUGUGAAAGGCUGUUCUCAAGUUUCGGGGUGUGAUUUUCAAGAAACAUUUAGUCCAGUUGUCAAACCUGCCACUAUAAGGGUUAUCUUGUCAAUCGCGGUUGCUAAAGGAUGGUCACUUCGACAAGUUGAUGUUAACAAUGCCUUCUUAAAUGGUGAUGUUGAUAGUGAGGUGUUUAUGCAGCAACCCCCGAGAUAUGUUAAGCAUGGUUCUGACGGACGACCUUUGGUUUGUCGUUUAAAGAAGGCGUUAUAUGGUUUGCGUCAGGCUCCACGAGCUUGGUUUGAGAAGUUGAGAACUUUCCUUCAGACAGUUGGGUUUGUUGGCUCUAAGUCAGAUGCUUCUCUAUUUGUUCGAGUUCGCUCGGACUCCACUCUCUAUGUGCUUGUUUAUGUUGAUGACAUUAUCAUUACUGGUAAUUUGGCAUCGUCUAUUGACUGGUUUGUACAGUUAUUGAAUGAUGAAUUCUCGUUAAAAGACAUGGGUGAUUUACACUAUUUCUUGAGAGUGGAGGUUACCAGGUCAUCUUGUGGGAGUCUUCAUCUUUGUCAACGGAAGUACAUCCAGGAUAUGUUGAAGCGUAGUGGUUUGACAAGUGCUAAAGGUGUUCAUACACCCAUGAUUAGCUUGUCGCAUGUUUCUAAGAAUGAUGGUGAGUCUUUAUCUAAUCCAACUGAGUAUAGGAGUCUGGCGGGUGCUUUACAGUAUAUGGUUAUCACUAGGCCUGAUAUUGCUUAUGCGGUUAAUCGGGUGUGUCAGUUUAUGCAUAGUCCAACCACAGUUCAUAUGGCUGCCCUUAAAAGGAUAUUAUGAUAUUUAUCUGAUACAAACUGGGGGUUGGAUGUUGAUGAUCGGCGGUCUACUUCAGGAUACUGUGUAUUUUUUGGGUCUAACCCUGUUUCAUGUUCGUCGAAGAAACAACAGGUGGUAUCGCGAUCUACGGCUGAGGCUGAAUAUAGAAGUCUUGCUGCUGUUACAAGUGAUGUUAUGUAGUUAAUUUCGUUGUUAUGAGAGUUGCAUAUUGGGUCUGCUUCUCCACCAAAUAUCUGGUGUGAUAGCUCUAGUGCAGUUGCAGUUGCUGCUAAUCCUUUGUUACACUCCAAGUUUAAGCAUGUGGAGUUAGAUUUAUUUUUAUUCGUGAAAAGGUUGCUGAUGGUUCGGCUCUAGUUGGGGAAGUUCCUGCGUCUGAUCAAGUUGCUGACGUUUUAACUAAACCAUUGUCAGUUUCGUGUUUCACUCGGUUUAGAAAUUUUCUUCGGGUCUUACCAAUAGAGAAGAUGGAUGCAUGUUAAAGAUAAUAAAACGGUUAGAGAGGUAGUUAGUGAAGGUUGAAAGGUUAGUUAGUUUGUUAAAGAAAGCUAGUGAUUUGUGUUUAUAAAUACAAACGUAUGACUUUGUAUUGAGGCAAGUAAACAAUCUAAAUUCAUGAGUAAACAUUUGUUUCAAUAAAAAUUUUCUCAAAGUUACCUGGUUUUCUUCACGGCACAUCAAUCAAAAUAAACUCAAAAGGUAGCUCAGUGAACUCAAUAAUGUACUUGGUUACAUCAAUCAUUGCAUUGAUGAGCUUGUUAAGUGCAUCAAGGUGGGGUUUCAAUGUUAGGGAAUGCUCUAAAAGGUCUGGUAAUUGCUUGAGGAGAGCCACGGAUUUGGCCAAUGAGUUGGAAGUGCAAAGCUGAAUGAUUAGCCAAAAUUCAGCAAAAUUCGCUGUGAAAGCAGCUAAUGUUAGCACCACUUUUGCAUCCCAUGAAUAGCUUGAAAGCAUGUUGAGAAUCCCCAUUGUUGUUGCAUGAGCAUCCCCUCCGCCUGAACACUUGCAUGAUACCUACAAAACAUCAAAUGUUACUAUCGUCAUUUUUCAGUUUCGAAAAAGAUUCAGAUUCUGAAAGAAAAGAGAACAGCCGAAUAACCUCGCAGCAAAUUUUGUGUAUGAUAUAAGCCAAUGCAUCAAGUGCACCAUCAACGGCAGACGAGUUGGUCCGAUCAUCAAGAGCAUCGAUGUGUCCCAUUCCACCCUACCAGACAAUAAUAAUAAUAAUAAUAAUAAUAAUAAACCAAUUUACAUAAUUGUCUUCACCCACAUAUAGUGGGUGUGGCAUAAUAUUGUAUUUAUUAAAAGUUCAUACAAAAAUCAAAUGGUGCUUUGGUUUAAAUAGUAAAGAUUAAAUGUUUAAAAUUUAUUGUGUCAUGAUUUCAAAUCUUAUUAUGUUUAAGUUUUUAUUAUUUAUAAAAGAUAAAAAGAUAAAAACACUCUCAUAAUAAUAUAACUUGCUCAGUACAUAAAAAAAUAUUUUGGUAAUUUUACAACUGAGUUGUUGCUCAGUUGACUUGUAAUACCAACUCAAUUAAGAGCCUAAUAUAAGUAUAGAUAAUAAUUCAAUUUUUUUCAUUCACAUUUUAAUGUUAUUAUUCAACCUAUUUUGCAUAAUUUAUUAUAAUAAACUAAUUUAGAGAAAACUAUACUAUAUUAUUUUUGCUUUAUUUUUUAUGUUAGAAGCGAUAACCUAAUAAUUCAUUUUAGUUAUACAUGAGAUGUUGGAAAAAAAUAGAUUUCUUGGAAGCUUUGAGUCAUAUUCUCGAUUAGUAAAGGUGGAUAUUUGAAUCAUAAAAUUAUGGUUUUAUAUUCCACUCCAUGAGACCUUUACAAUGGUAUAUCAUAUGCUUAAAAUGAUUGAGUGAUGAAUGAGAAAUUGAUGCUCAAAGUAAGCCACUUGUGAAUUAUGUUGAGAAAAUUGGAAAGCUUAGUCUCACAUUAGUUAGAUAUCAAGUGUGAAUUUGUUUCUAUAUGUGAACCAACUUAGUGGUUAUUGAAUAAUUAAACUAAUGCUCUCCCUCGCGCGCAUUUAUAUUAUUAUGAAAAUAUCAUAUUCAAUCUUAAAUUCAAUUAGUAUUUAUAAUUCUCUUUAUAUAUUUUUUGAAAAUAAAUUUGUGUUUUUUAAAAUGAAUGUAUGUAUUAUUUUUAUACAAGGAGUCGCAUUAUGGAUGAAACCUUUCAAUUUUUUUUUGUGUAAUCAUAUGUGUUUUCAUUCGUUUAUUGUUUGAGAUUAAUUAUGUUGGGGUCUAAAUUGGAUUCAAAUAUAUUUAUGUAUUAUUUUUAUAAAAAAUGUCACAUUAUUAAACUUUUAAAAGUUGCGAUAUGGUCACUAACAUUAUCAAUUUAUUAUAUUUUAUCACUAAACCAUUAAUUGACGUUAACGGUGUAACAACAAGUUGACCUGACUGUUAAGAAAUUGAUUGAAAAGAUAAGAGAAAAUAAAAUGCUUCAAGUCUGUCAUUCUUGCUACUACAGCUUGAUAGUAAUAUAAUGGGUAGGUAGUAACUAACUAGCAUACUUAUUACUUAAUUACAAGGAACUUAUCUCUAAAUACUAGGAGUUGUUAUAACAACUUAUUUACCAACUUCAACACUCCCCCUCAAGUUGGAGGGUGAUAUAUGUCUAUCACUCCCAACUUGGAUAUUAAGUGUCGAUGUUGUUGUACUGCUUGUCCUUUAGUAAGAAUGUCUGCAAGUUGUUCCUUUGUUGAAAUGUGUUCAGUUUUCACUAAACCUUUCUAGAUACUUUCUCUUAUAAAGUGGCAAUUGAUUUCAAUAUGCUUGGCUCUUUCAUGGUAAAUAGGGUUUGCUGCAAUUUGAAUUGCAGCUUGACUGUCAAAAUAAAGCACAGCUAGCUUACUUUCUUUGAUCCGUAAUUCGUAAUCAUUUUAACCAUUUCAACUCUACAACAGUAGAUGCCAUGCUCCUAUAUUCGACUUUUGCUGAAGAUCUUGAGACAAUGCUUUGUUUUUUUUUUUUUAUUUCUAAGAGAUUAAGGAACUUUCUAGUUUUAUACAGUACCCCGUUAUUGAUUUCCUAGACAUAAGGCAAGAUGCCCAGUCUGAAUCACAAUAUGCAAUUAACAUUGGAUCUCCAUCAGAAGCAACCAGAAUUCCUUGUCCUAGAUUGCUUUUAAUGUAUCUCACAAUCCUCAAUGCAGCUGCAUAAUGAGACUUCUUAGGCUUAUGCAUGAACUGACUCAAGUGUUGCACACCAUAAGCAAUAUCUGGUCUAGUGUUUGUCAAAUAUAACAAUCUCCCAAUUAGUCUUUGAUAAAUUGUUACAUCUGCUAAAACUUCAUCAUCAUUUUUCAGCUACAAUGUUUCAUCAAAGUCUACUAUUGUAAGCUUUUGAUUCUGCUCUAAUAGAGUGACUGCUGAUUUCACUUCUUUUAAACCGACAUUUUUAAUUAAUUCGAGAGCAUAUUUUCUCUGAUUUAACACAACGCCUGCAUCCGACCUUGAUAUUUCGAUCCCAAGAAAAUAUUUUAGACUCCCAAGGUCCUUCAUCUUGAAAUUAUUGUACAAUAUACCUUUUAAUUCACUGACCAAUUUACUGUCAUUUCCUUUAAUCAAUAGAUCAUCAACAUAUAUAAACAUGAUGACUUUUUUGGAUUCUACACUUUUUGUGAACAUGGAGUAGUCAUGUUUACUCCGAAUGUAUCCAUGUGAAACCAAAGUUUCAGUCGACUUCAAAUUCCAUUGUCGUGAAGCCUGUUUCAGGCCAUAAAGAUAUUUAAGCAACCUGCAGACCCUAUUCUCCCCCUGGUUACGAAAUCCCUCUAGAAGAGUUAUGAACACUUCCUCUCGUAAAUCACCUUGUAAAAAGGCAUUGAAGACAUCUAACUGAUAAAGUGGCCAGUAAAAAAGGGCUGCAAGAGUAAUAACAGUAUAGAUGGUGACUUGUUUUGCUACUAAAGAGAACGUGUCUUGAAAGUCAAUACCUUCCUAUUGAUUGUAGCCCUUGGCGACAACCCGAGCUUUUAACCUUUCAAUUGUGCCAUUAGAGUGAUAUUUGACCUUUUACACCCAUUUACAACCAAUGGAAGUUUUCUCGAGAGGUAAAGAGACUACUUCCCAAGUGCCAUUGGAUUCCAAAGCUUGUAUUUCCUAUUGCAUAGCCUCUAUCCAACACUUAUGUUUACCAACCUCAGAAUGGGAUUUUGGUUUUACAAGGUGUGAUAUGGUGGCAGUGAAGUGUUGUGUAUGGAAAGGUAAAUGAGCAUAAGAAAGAGUAAGAGAAUACGAACCUUGUAUUGCAAGUGAAGAGGAUGAAAAGGAUGGAGGAGAACAUACAAAGUCUUAAAGCCAAGAUGGUCGUGUAGUGGUUCUUGUGGAUCAUCAAAAAGGAGGAGAUGGACGUAAAGGUGGAAAUGAGGAAGGAUCCAAAAUGAAAGAGGAAAAAAAGAUCAGAAGAGGUAAUGGGAGAAGGUAUGGGGGGUUGAAAAGGAAAUAUAAGUCUUCUAUGGGGACCAAAAGUAGUAAUGUAAAACAUUGGAGUAGCAGAACAUGAAAUUUUGAAAGGAAAAAUAGUCUCAUGAAAGGUGACAUUUCGAUUAACAAAAAAUUUCUUCAAAAUAAUAUCAAAGAGAAUGUACCCCUUUUGAACUACAGAAUCAAAAAAAAUGAAAGGAAUGGCUUUAGGAGAAAGCUUAUCAUGAUAAUGUGGUACGGUGGUAUAACAUAAGUACCAAAAACUUUAAGAUGAUCAAGAGAUAGAGGAGUUUUGUAGAGUUUUUCAUAAGAAGAUUUCCAAGACAAAACAGAGGUAGGUAAACGAUUGAUAAUGUAACAAGCUGUUAGCACACAUUCUCCCCAAAAUUUAGAAGGCAAAUGAGAGUGAAAUUUUAAGGCUCUGGCAAGUUUAAGGAGAUGGCGAUGUUUGCGUUCAACAACCUCAUUUUGUUGUGGAGUAUUAACGUAUGAGCUUUGAUGGACAAUACCAAAAGAGGUGAAAAGAGGUGUACAUGUAGAGUUAAAAAAUUCAGAAACAUUAUGAUAUAGGGAUGCGCGCGAACCAAGAUCGAGUUGUCAAGUCACGAGAAACUCCUAUGAAAACCCUAAAUAAUCAGAUCUGAAACAAAAUAGAAAAUUAAAAGAUUAGAACUUUGAAUUUCCAGAUCUGAAAUAAAAUCUCCAAAUCAGCAAAGAAUCAAAUGAGAAAAGAAAUAAGUGUUAAUAAGGGUUCUUGAAACCCUAAAGGAAAUUGCGAUUCUACCCAAUUGAACACCAAGAUAGUUUUCCCCAAAUUUCGGCAAUUUAAUUUCACCCAAAAAGAGUAUGGAUGUAUCGGCAAGAACCCUAGAAAUUGGGGAUUUUUGGCUGAUUCUUUAAGAUAGAAAAAAGGGCUGGAAACACAAUAAUAACAGCAAAUAAAUUAGAUAAAGAUUUAGCACAAGCAGAAAUAAAGAAAGAAUUGACAGCAAGAAAUUAAAAGAUAAGUCCUAAGAAGCCUUGAAAUCCCUAAAGAUCUCACAACUCCCUUCAAACGGCUUUAAUCUUCCCUCCAAUGAAUAUCAAUGGCAAGAAGAAGGUUGAAGACGGCUCCCACAAUCAAAAGAUUGUUAAAACAGCUUCUAAAGAAAACUCAAGAUAAAUUCUUGGAGAAAACCCCAAAGAAAAUUAUGCUCUCAAUAAAUCUGAAAAUUUUUAAUAUCAUAUAAGAAGUUAAUAACAAGGUGACUGGCCAAGCCUUUAUAUAGGCCUUAUAACUAGUCCUAAUCUAAUUAGAAAACUAAAAUAAAAAAACUCCUAAUUGUUUUAAUAUGGAAAUUCAGCCAAGGGUCUUUAUUUGGGACUUUUUGACUGAAUAUUUACAUAAAAAUUUAAACUAAAAUAAAUAAAUAAAUAAAUAAAAUAAAACUUUACAACUUGGGCCACUUUGACAAUUUGGCCUGAUUUUCAACUAAGUAUGGGUGGAUUUCUUGAUUGGGCUUGGAAUCUUCUUAUUGGGCCUUGCCUUCAAGAAUUUGGGCUUGUGAUCCAUCUCCUAUCGAAAUUGAAUCGUUGAUGCUCGUAACGGAGAUCCAAUGCGCUUUGGCUGCAAGAUUUGAUUUCUUGAACCAAGAUUCCCAAGAUUUGAAAUCUUGAUUUUCCCGUUCUUUCGUGUACGCAUCUAAGGCCUUGCUAACAAACUCCUGAAUGGUCUCAUUUAGUUUGGAGCGCAUUUGUCGGGCCUUUGAUCUCGUAUCAUUCCCCCCUUCCUCAAAAAGAUUCGACUUCGAAUCUGAAAAAUCAAAUGGGGACAAGUCGGCCACAUUAAAAGUAGAACUUACAUUGUACUCACCAAGUAGAUCAAUUUUAUAGGCAUUAUCGUUGAUCCUCUCGAGUACUUGGAAAGGCCCAUCGCCCCUUGGGUCCAACUUGGUCUUUCUUUUUGCAGGAAAUCGUUCUUUCCUCAUACGGACCCAAACCCAAUCUCCGGGUUCUAGGACAACCUGCUUGCGCCCCUUGUUUGCUUUGUUGGUGUUGGCAUCAUUUGUUUUGGCUAUUCGUUGCCUAGCCUUCUCAUGUAAGGAUUUCACCAACUCAGCUUUCUGUUCGCCAUCUAAAUUAACAAUGUGUUCAAGUGGUAAUGGCGCAAGAUCAAGUACUGUUAGUGGGUUAAAACCAUAAACAAGUUCAAAUGGAGAAUAACCAGUUGUAGAAUGAAUAGAUCUAUUAUAUGCAAAUUCAACAAACGGUAGGCAUUCUUCCCAAUUUCUAAUGUUCUUUCCCACAACAGAUCGUAAUAAAGUCCCUAAGAUCCGAUUAACUACUUCGGUUUGCCCAUCAGUUUGGGGGUGACAUGUAGUGGAAUAAAGUAAUUUAGUACCAAGCUUACCCCACAAUACCUUCCAAAAGUGGCUAAGGAAUUUGACAUCUCUAUCAGAAACAAUUGUUUUAGGGAUGCCAUGAAGUCUUACCACCUCUUUAAAGAAUAAGUCUGCCACAUGUGUAGGUAGCAUCAUCUGUUUUGUGACAAGAAAUAAAAUGUGCCAUCUUUGAAAACCUGUCAACAACAACAAAUAUACUAUCUCUUCCUUUCUUAUUUCGAGGCAAACCUAGAAUAAAAUCCAUGGAUAAAUCUACCCAAGGUGACGUAGGAAUCGGUAAAUGAGUGUAAAGGCCAUGAGGCAUUACCUUAGAUUUUGCUUGUUUGCAUGUAAUGCACUUGGAACAUACCUUUUCGACAUCCUUUUUCAUAUGUGGCCAAUGAAAGUAUUCUUGCAAGAUGUCUAGUGUUUUGGCCACUCCAAAAUGUCCCAUCAAACCCCCACUAUGGGCCUCAUGAAUCAAUAAGUCUCUCAUGGAACACUUUGGUAUGCAUAACCUAUUUAUACGAAAAAGAAAGCCAUCUACAAGAUAAAAUUUAUCGAAAGUAGUAUGUCCACAAUUCUUAUAGAUAUGGCCGAAAUCAGCAUCAUCAUCAUAUAGUUCCUUAAUAUGUUCGAACCCUAAGACUUUAGCAUUCAACGUAGUUAUUAAAGUAUAUCGUCUAGACAAAGCAUCUGCACCUACAUUAUCUUUACCUGUUUUAUAUUGUAUCACAUAAGGGAAUGUUUCAAUGAAUUCAACCCAUCGAGCAUGUCUUUUACUCAACUUACCUUGUCCCUUUAACCAUUUAAGAGAUUCGUGAUUUGUGUGUAUGACAAACUCAUUAGGCAGCAAAUAAUGUUGCCAUACUUGAAGUGCACGAACCAAUGCUAAUAGUUCUUUGUCAUAAGUCGAGUAGUUUAACUGUGCACCAUUCAAUUUGUCACUAAAAUAAGCAAUAGGUUGCUUAUCUUGCAUUAAAACGGCGCCAAUUCCAAUUCCUGAAGCAUCACACUCAAGUUCAAAAGUUUUAGCAAAAUCAGGUAAUUUAAGCAAAGGAGCAGAACAUAACUUAGCUUUUAGAGUUUGAAAGGCCUUUUCUUGGGUUUCACCCCAUUUGAAACCCACUGAUUUCUUUAUAACCUCUGUCAAUGGGGCAGCAAUAGUAGAGAAAUCUUUCACAAAUCGUCUAUAAAAACUAGCUAAACCAUGGAAAGAUCUCACCUCAGUUACCGAUUUAGGAGUCGGCCACUCCUUAAUUGCCUUGACUUUGUCCUCGUCGACAUGAAUACCUUGAGCACUAACUAUGAAACCUAAGAAUAUUAGUUUAUCACAACAGAAUGUGCAUUUAUCAAGGUUGGCAAAUAAUUUUUCAAUUCGCAGAAUAUCCAAAACGGUCCUAACAUGGAAAACAUGAUCAUCUAAUGACUUGGAGUAAAUUAAAAUAUCAUCAAAGUAAACUACUACAAAUUUACCCAAGUGAAGCCUUAAAACAUGAUUCAUUAAUCUCAUAAAUGUACUAGGUGCAUUAGUAAGGCCGAAAGGCAUAACUAACCAUUCAUACAAUCCAAAUUUUGUUUUAAAAGCUGUUUUCCAUUCAUCCCCUUCCGUCAUUCGAAUUUGAUGAUAACCGCUUUUUAAAUCAAUUUUUGUAAAUAUUAUUGAACCAUGUAAUUCAUCAACCAUAUCAUCUAGUCUAGGGAUUGGGUGUCGAUACUUUACCGUUAUCUUGUUGAUUGGGCGACAAUCAACGCACAUACGAAAUGUACCAUCUUUCUUUGGCACUAAUAAGACAGGAACAGCACAAGGACUUAGGCUCUCACGAAUGUACCCUUUGUCUAGUAAUUCCUCAACUUGCCUUUGCAAUUCCUUUGUCUCCUCAGGAUUGCAUCUAUAGGCUGGUCGAUUUGGGAUUGAAGCUCCGGGUACUAAGUCAAUUUGAUGUUCUAUCCCUCGUAAAGGUGGUAAACCUUUAGGGGCCUCACUAAAAACAUCCUCAUAAUCCUGCAAAAGAGAUUGAAACACACUAGGCAAAUUUUCGUUAAUGUUAGAUAAAGAUAAAUAAUUUUGCCUAAACCUCACAAGGAUACAAGGCUGUUUAUUAAGUAGGGCUCUCUUCACAUCUUUUUUUGUUGCCAAAAGAUUUUUUCCGCUCAUUUUACCACUAGAGGAUUCACUCACCUUUGGGCUUUUUAAAUUUUGACUUUUCCCACUACUAUUAGCCUCUUUUCUCUCUGUCUUUUGUACUUGCUCUUUCUCCCUUACCCCCUCACAAAAUUUUAUCAUCCUCAAUUGAUCUUUAUAUACAUCGGUAGGAUUUAAAGGAGCAAAAGUGAAUUUCUUACCUUUAAAUACAAGGGAGUAUCGAUUAAGUUUACCUUGGUGUGUAACAUCGCGAUCAAAUUGCCAAGGUCGUCCAAGGAGCAAAUGUGCCGCAUGCAUUGGGACUACAUCACACCAUACUUCAUCCUCAUAAUUGCCGAGUUUAAAAGUGACCAAGGACUGUUUCGUAACUUUAACUUCGGAACAUUCAUUAAGCCACUGAAGGUGAUAUGGCUUAGGGUGUUUGGUGCAAGGUAACUUUAAGGAAUCCACCAAAUAGCUGCUAACUACAUUCGAACAACUCCCACUAUCAAUAAUAAGUGAACAUAAGUUACCUUUUAUAAAACACCUAGAAUGGAAAAUAUUGGUCCUUCGGUUAUCACAAUCGUCUCCCAUUUGGAUGUUAAGGGUGCGGCAGACUACCAUCUUAUUGUUUUUUCUCUUUUUUGAAAUACCUGUAAAACAAAUACUCAACACUCAAAAGAAAAAUUAGCAAACCUCACCGUUAGUCACUCAAAAAGAAAAAUCAAAUUCUCAAUGAGGUAGAAUUCAGUCUUGUGAGUUCUUUAGUAGAGUUUAUAUCAACCAAUUAGAGAGUGUAUGAACCAAACUACCAAAGAAUCCUAAUUUGCACUAAGAUGCCAAAAAACUAACGAGACACCAAUUGAUUCGUGUUGCACCGAGGAAGAAUUGUGCACACGUUUAAAUCCUACUAACACAAGAAACAAGAAGGUGUUAUAUAUUGUAAAGGGAGAAUAAAAGGCAAACAAAUGAAAACCUACAGCUAAGAAUUAAUAAAAAUUGCUGAAACUAGAAAACCCGAAAAAAACUACGGAGUAACUUGACAACUUCGUUCGAGGUGUUCCCAAUCUCCAAAAAUCACGAAAUUAAAUCUGGAAUGUCCUUAUAUAUUGAAUUUUUGAUCUGGAAGGUUUGGGCACCAAAUUCAACCCGCUGAAUCUUUUUUUUAAUUUUUUAUUGGAUUUCAUAUUUUUUCAAUUUUUUGACUUUUUCAACUGAUUUUUUUGCGGGAAAUAUUUUUUUAUAUUCAAUAACAGUGCCACAAAUAUGUAUGUAAAAUUUUAGAUCAAUCAAAAAACGUUUACCCACUCAAAUGAAUUUUUUUUUGAAAAUUUUUCUGGGUAAAAUUGCUGUUUGUGCUUUAAAAAAUUGAGAUCAGUUUAGAAAUCAUCCAAGAACACCCAAAACGCCCAAAAUCUGAUACCAAAUGAUAUAGGGAUGCGCACGGACCAAGAUCGAGUUGUCAAGUCACGAGAAACUCCUAUGAAAACCCUAAAUAAUCAAAUCUGAAACAAAACAGAAAAUUAAAAUAUUAGAACUUUGAAUUUCCAGAUCUGAAAUAAAAUCCCCAAAUCAGCAAAGAAUCAAAUGAGAAAAGAAAUAAGUGUUAAUAAGGGUUCUUGAAACCCUAAAGGAGAUUGCGAUUCUGCCCAAUUGAACACCAAGAUAGUUUUCCCCAAAUUUCGGCAAUUUAAUUUCACCCAAAAAGAGAAUGGAUGUAUCGGCAAGAACCCUAGAAAUUGGGGAUUUUUGGCUGAUUCUUUAAGAUAGAAAAAAGGGCUGGAAACACAAUAAGAACAGCAAAUAAAUUAGAUAAAGAUUCGGCACAAGCAGAAAUAAAGAAAGAAUUGACAGCAAGAAAUUAAAAGAUAAGUCCUAAGAAGCCUUGAAAUCCCUAAAGAUCUCACAACUCCCUUCAAACGGCUUUAAUCUUCCCUCCAAUGAAUAUCAAUGGCAAAAAAAUGGUUGAAGACGGCUCCCACAAUCAAAAGAUUGUUAAAACAGCUUCUAAAGAAAACUCAAGAUAGAAUUCUUGGAGAAAAACCCCAAAGAAAAUUCUGCUCUCAAUAAAUCUGGAAAUUUUUAAUAUCAUAUAAGAAGUUAAUAACAAGGUGACUGGCCAAGCCUUUAUAUAGGCCUUAUAACUAGUCCUAAUCUAAUUAGAAAACUAAAAUAAAAAAAACUCCUAAUUGUUUUAAUAUGGAAAUUCAGCCAAGGGUCUUUAUUUGGGACUCUUUGACUGAAUAUUUACAUAAAAAUUUAAACUAAAAUAAAUAAAUAAAUAAAUAAAAUAAAACUUUACAACUUGGGCCACUUUGACAAUUUGGCCUGAUUUUCAACUAAGUAUGGGUGGAUUUCUUGAUUGGGCUUGGAAUCUUCUUAUUGGGCCUUGCCUUCAAGAAUUUGGGCUUGUGAUCCAUCUCCUAUCGAAAUUGAAUCGUUGAUGCUCGUAACGGAGAUCCAAUGCGCUUUGACUGCAAGAUUUGAUUUCUUGAACCAAGAUUCCCAAGAUUUGAAAUCUUGAUUUUCCCGUUCUUUCGUGUACGCAUCUAAGGCCUUGCUAACAAACUCCUGAAUGGUCCCAUUUAGUUUGGAGCGCAUUUGUCGGGCCUUUGAUCUCGUAUCACAUUAUCACUCCGAAUGACCUUAAUAUCAGCUAAAAAUUAUGUUUUUGCAAAGGCAACAAAUUGCUUAAGAGUGAUAGAAGCAUCACUCUUGGUUCGUAAAAGGUAUACCCAAGUCAUUCGAGUGAAAUCAUCAACUAUAGUGAGGAAAAACAAUAACCAGUAUGAGUUGAGAUUCUAUAAGGUCCCCAUAGGUCAAUAUAAAUUAAAGCAAAAGUAUUAGUGGUUUGAGUGUGACUACGAGGAAAGGGGAAUUUAGUUUGUUUAGCUAGUGGACAAACAAAAUAAAAAGAUAAUUCAUUAAGAUCAUGUAAAACAGAUUUUAAUUGAACAUUUUUUUUCAUUAUGGAAACAGAGGUGUGACCAAGGCGAGCAUGCCAUACAUGUGGAUCAUUAUGUAAAGCCAUAAAAGAAGUAAAAAUGGGCAAAGAAAUAUUGGUAGAUUUGUGAGGAUGAACAAGACUGGAAGAGAACUUAUAUGGGUGAAAGUAAUAGAGACCAGCAUGUUCUUUACCAAUCCCCAACAUCCGUCCACUGCAAAAGUCCUGUAAAAGAAAAAGGAAGGGUAAAAAGAGACAAACAAUUGAGGCCUUUAGUAAGUUGAGAAACAGAAAGUAAAUUAUAAUUAAAAUCAGGUAUGUCUAAAACAUUAGUUACUUAUAAGUGGGGGAAAGGAUAUGAUGGCCAAUAUGAGUAACAGAGGCUGGUUUCCCAUUAGGUAAUUGAACACAAGAGCUGUUAGGAGCAAGAGCAACAGAAGAAUUCAAGCAUUGAAAAUCAAAUGUCAUAUGGUUGGUGGAUCCUAUGUCAAGGAUCCAGCCAGACGAUGUAAAGGAAGAGAGUGUACCAGCCAUGUAAACAGUUGUAGAAAUAGAUGAAUCCUUCUACAAAAUAGUCAGAAGUUAUUGUACUGUUGCGAUGUUAAAGUAGGAGUAGAUGGAGCUUGAAUAGAGAAUGGAAUCACAGGUUUCAACUGAAUCAAUCGAAGAGGUAACAUUAGUAGCAACUGAUUUCUUGCGAGUGCACUUAAAAUCAGGAGGGAAAUAAAUCAUUUUAUAACAGUUUUCAUGUUUAUGGCCCCAGACAUGACAGUGAUCACAAGUGCCAUUAAAUCUGCGCUUGAAGCUACCAGUGGUAGUAGUCGAUGAGUAAAGGGCAGUAGGCUCAGAUGCAGAAAGCAGUGGAAAGGAGAUUUGAUGUUGAGAUUCUUCCUGAACAAGCAUGGAUUAGGUUUGAUUGACUGAGGGCAGCAGUUGCAUAAGUAAUAUUUGACUACGCACAGCAGAAUAGGAAUCAUUGAGGCCCAUUAAAAAUUGAAAGAGUCGUUGUUGAAGAAAAGAGGCAGAUGUGGUUCAAGCAUUUUCACGAUCACAUGGAAAGUAAGGCACUAAAACAUCAUACUCAUCCCAUAAAGGGCAGAGCUGUGUGAAAUACGUGAAGAUGGAAGAAGUACGUUGAGUGUGAGAAAAAAUAGUGUGAUGGAGAUAAUAAAUUCUGGACCCAUCAACUUUGCUGUAGCAUUCUUGAAGAUCCUUCCAAAUAAGGCAGGCACUCGAAGCGAACAAUACCAACUGAAAGUUCUUGGAAAACGGUGUUGAGGAUCCAAGAGAGGACAAUAACAUUGCCACGGUUCCAUUGAAGAUGAAGAUCAACUGGAAGAUCAACCCGUGAGCAAGUGCCAUCAACAAAUCCAAGUUUGUUUUUGGCAAGAAGAGUAAUUUUCAUUGAUCGACUCCAUAUAUUAUAAUUCUCAAAGCCAAGAAGCUGAUGAGAAACCAGUAGAGUGCUAGGAGUAUCAGAGGGGCGAAGAUAAAGAUGGUGAUGAAAGUCAAUGACAGGAGAAGAAGAUUAUGAAAAAAAAAAGGAAACCAAGAAAAAAUUAAACCUGGCUCUAAUACCAUGUUAAGAUAUCGAUUGAAAAGAUAAGAGAAAAUAAAAUGCUUCAAGUUUGUCAUUCUUGCUGCUACAGCUUGAUUGUAAUAUGGUCUUCAUGUGGUUUGAUAUGACCCUCAUGAUGAGUUUUCAAUGAUGGAUAAUAUAUGGCUAUUUGUAUAUCAUAAUUUUAAUAUUAUACAUUCACAUAUUUUUAUAUGACCGUAAUUUAAAUCAUAUAUAAGUGACUAAAUAUGUAGUUUACCUAUAAUUAAUUUAACUUUGCUUAUUUUUCUAAAAAAAAUAUUAAUUUUAUUUAAUAGAUAAGAUUUAUUUCUAUUUCUUUUACUGCUAUAUUAUAAUUAUAUUUUUUGCAUGAAAAAAAAUAGUUUUCUUAAUGAAAAUAAUCUUUUACAAUUUUACUGAACCAUGGAAUUUCUAUCUUUGAUUAUUAGAAUGCUUUAAAUAUCUAUUUGUCAUACUUCAAGAGUUCUUUUCACUUAGGUUCUUUUAAUAAUUUAACAUUAAAUUCAUAUAUCUAAUAUAUUAUAUAUAAAAAAUUGUUUUAUAUUAAACUUAUACUGUUUGAACUGAAGAAUAAAGAAUAUUAAUUUAUAAUAUAUUUAUUUUUAAAACUUUCUAUAAGUACUUGAUUAGAAUUUUUUAUCAUGAUAAUAUUUGAAUUAUAGAAUUAAUUUGUAUAAGUUAAUUAUGUUUAUUAUUUUGGGUUAAUUAUAUGAAAUUGCUGACAUAUUUGAAGGUAAGGAAAAUUUUUGUGGCUAAAAUAGUGGGCACAACUUGAGGCACUGUUUCAUUAAAUUACUUAUCUAUUUACAGAGCUGAACUACCUAUUUUGAAAAUAAUUGGACAAGUUAGAGUCCAAAACAUGAAGGCCAAUUGAAGACUUGAAGAUUGAUUUUUGCGGAUCAAGUAAACUCACUUUCUAUAUUUUAAGACAUUUGAUUACAUCAAGACUCUUAUAAAAUUAUUAUUCUAUAUUGAUUUGUAGCUUUAUUUUAUAGAAAAGAGAUUAAACUAUGACUCUUAUGUAAGCUAAGCUUAAGUGAUAUAUAAACUUAAGUUUUGUCUAGGUUAAGUGGACCAAGAAAUACUAAGAGAUAGAAAGAGCACAAAUUUAUUCAAGUUAGGAAUGCUUUAUGUGUGCAUUGUUUUUGUAAGAGUCUCUUGAGUUGUAAAACUAAGUUUUCGAGGGGGAAGUUUAGUAGAAGAGUGAUCUAGUCUUUGUACAAUGAUAAGAUAGUUAAAUUGAUGAGAAUUAAACCGAAUUAAGACUUAAAUCAUUGGUUGUACUUUGAGAAAGAUAUGAAUCAUUGCUCUGGAUAAUAUCUCACAUAUAUAGACUAGGGUUGAACUGUAUAAACAAUCUUAAUGUUCAUUUUUACUUUUGUACACGUUCUUUAUUUCGUGGUUAAAACUAUUAUGACAGUUCCAAACAUUAUUUUAACCAUAAUUUUUAUUUGCAAAGCAAGUACCCAAGGCUCACGUAAUAUUAAAACUAAUUUAUCAAAUUUCAAAGUUACCUCGCACUUUUCACACAUUCCCUUAGUACUUUUCACACAUUGGUUGAUAGAUUUUUUUAGAAGGUUGGUAGAAUGCAAUAAAUAUUCACUAAUAUUAUUUGCAUAACAUUAUUUACGUGGAAACAAAAAUAUAAAUUCUUUUUCAUCAACUUAAUGCAUUGACAGCAGAAGUGCUUAUGUGUCAAGUUAGAUUCAUGAAUGGUACUAGUACAAUAUUAAUCGUUUAACUCUAUAAGAAAUAUGAAUUUUAAAUAUCGUUAAAGUUUAUUUAUAUUUAUAAUUAAUUAAUGGGUAAAUUAUAAAUUUAGUAAUUUAUGUAUUGUUUAAAUUAUAAUUUAAUCACUAAACUUUAAAAAGUUGCAAUCUAAUUAUUAAUAUUAUCAAUUUAUUAUAGUUUGAUCGUUAAGCUAUUAAUUUUCAUUAAUGAUAUAAUGACAAGAUCAUAGAUAAAUCCAAAUUAUUUUUAAUUAAGGCCGAAAUUUAAUUAUAAUUUUUUCAUAAAUCAAAAUAUAAAUUUAUUAUAUAUUAAUUUAUAAUUUCAUAAUUUUUAAAAAAAUAAAUAUAAAUUACUUCAUUUCUAUAAUAUCAAAAUACAAUUUUACUAUAUAUUAAUUUAUAAUUCUUUAUUUUUGUUAGAGUGAAUAACAUCCGUUCACACUAGUAUUAGAGUGAAUAACAUCCGCUCACACUAGCUAUUAAAUGUUGUCCCCUUAUUGACGACAAAAGAAAGAAAAAAAAUCUCAUUCAUUUUAAUAACUUUCCUUGACUUGACAUGUGUAAGCGAAUAUUUUUUAACGUAUGUUUGACGUUAAAUUAAUUAUUUAAAAUUUAAUUUUUUUAUACUUUUCGAGUAUAUAAUUUUAUAGAUACCUUCGUGUAUGUCACGUUCAUCUCAUUCAUUUUAAUAAUUUUCCUUGACACAUGUUAACUAAUAUUUUUUUUCCUUUCUUAUAAAAUAACUUCUAUGAUAUUAACGUAUCUUUGAUGUUAAAUCAAUUGUUUGGAGUAUAGUUUUUCUAUACUUUUCAUAAUUAAUAUUUAAAGAGUAUAUAUAUUUUUAUAGAUACCUUCAUAUAUGUAUGUCACGUUUAUCUCAUUCAUUUUAAUAUUUUUUUUUGACUUGACACGUGUAUGUUUGACGUUAAAUCAAUUAUUUAAAAUUUAGUAUCCUUAUAUUUUUUAUAAUUUAUGUUUAAAGAGUAUAUAUAUUUUUAUAGAUACCUUCGUAUAUGUAUGUCAUGCUCAUCUCAUUCAUUUUAAUAAUUUUCGUUGGCUUUAUAAAACAAUUUCUAUGAUAUUAACGUGUGCUUGACGUUAAAUCAAUUAUUUGAAAUUUAGUUUUUUUUUAUACUUUUCAUAAUUUAUGUUUAAAGAGUAUAUAUUAAUUUUAUAGAAUAUGUAUACCACGUUCAUCUCAUUCAUUUUAAUAAUUUUUCUUGGCUUAACACGUGUAAGCCAAUAUUUUUUCCCUUCUUAUAAAACAACUUCUAUGAUAUUAACGUAUGUUUGACAUUAAAUCAAUUAUUUGUAAUUUAGUUUCCCUAUACUUUUCAUAAUUCACGUUUAAAGAGUAUAUAUUUUUUAUAGACACCUUCAUUUAUGUAUGUAGUGUUCAUCUCUUGUUUAUUACUAGAUUAUGUAAUACCUACAUUUUGUGAAAAAAAAAAUGAAACAAAUAUAUUUAUUAAAAGUUCAUACAAAAAUCGAACGGUGCUUUGAUAUAAAUGGUAAACUUAAUUGUUUCAGGUUUAUUGUGUUAUGAGUAUAAAUUUUAUUAUGUCUAAAUUUUUAUUUAUUUACAAAUGUAAAAAGGAAAAAAAAACACUUUCACUAUAGUAUAACUUAUUUUGUGCAUAAAUGAGUACAUUGGUAAUUUUCUAAUUAAGUUGGUGCAAUGAUUCAAUUUAAUUUUUUGCAUCAAUAUCGUAAUAUUAUUCUUCAACUUAGUUUGCAUAAUUUAUUAUAAUAAUUUAAUUUAGAGAAAAAAUGCUAUCUUAUUUUUGUUUUAUUUUUUAUGUUAAAAGUUUUAUAAAUUGUGAUAAAUUAAUAAUUCAUUAUACAUAUUUUUUUUAUUUUCAUAUAUUUAUAUAUAUAUAUAUAUAUGAGACAUUAAUAUAAAUAUCUGUUGAGAAUUUCAAUAGCAGUAUGAAUUGAUGUGAAAAGGUGAAAGAAUAAGAAAUUUGAUAUCAGUUUUUUGUUAAUAAAAACUGUAUAUAAAAUUACAACUGAUAUACAUUGAUAUACUAACUAUCAGCUCCUAACUAACUAACUGAUGAUUAUCUCUUCAACAACUAACUGAUGGUUAUCUCUUUGACACUUCCCUUCAAGUUGUAGGGCGAUAGAGAUCCUUGACCCCCAACUUGGAUAUCAAAUAUUCAAGUUACUAGACUCCAAGUGCCUUAGUCAACACAUCUGCAAGUUGUUCAUUAGUGCACACAUGUUGUGUCCGAACCAAUCCGUCUUGUACUUUUUUAUCGUACAAAGUGACAGUCAACUUCUAUAUGCUUGGCUCACUCAUGGAAUACAGGAUUUGCUACAAUUCGAAGUGCUGCUUGACUGCCAAAAAGUAACAACGCUGGAUCAAGUUUAUCAAGACAUAUUUCUUUUAACAACCCAUCCAGCCAUAUUAUGUCCACAAUUGUCAAUGAAAUGUGUACAGACCAAUUUUACCCAGCCCAUUUCCAGCAGACCCAAAACCCAAUACCCACCUAAACCUAACCCAAAAUCAACCCAGUACACUUAAAACAAACCCAAACCAAUUAAACCUACCCAAACCCAAAUUAUAGGCCCAUAAUUACACCCUAGCCCCUAACCUAGGCGUCGCACAUCCCUUCAGUCGCCUACCCUCUGCGCGUCGAUGCCACCACCUGCCCACUGCUCCGCCCUACCUACUCUGCCACCUGCUCUAUCAAGGCCUACACGCAAGCAAAGAAGGACAAAACAGUAGUAGAAACAAUAGAAAAUUGUAAAAUGGCGAUUUAAAAGCCAUUCAAAACAGAUCUAAAGGGGGUAUUAUUUUUCGGUAUAAAACCGAUUGAAAAACCAUUGUAAAAAAAGAAAUCGAUCUUGUUUUGUAAAAAAAGGGGCUCCUUUUUUCUUUUCAUGAACAUUAGAGGAAAUUAAACAGAAAGAGAUUUCUCAAAUGCUUUUUAGGUUUGCUUUUAUUUUCUGUCCUUUUUUGUGUUUUUCUUUUACUCCAUACCAAAUAAUAAGUAAUAAAAUAACAAAGUAAAAAAGGGGAGAAAGAAAACCUUACCUGCUCCGCGCCGGAGGAGAAGGAAGGCGAGUGGUUUCGCUCCCAUUUUUUGGCUUUUGGGCUCUCCUUUCACGAGAUUCAGCCUUGAAUCCGUGUUCUAGAGGCCACCGGCUUCAAAAAGGGACCGGAAAGGCUUGAUUUUGUGCCUCCGGCUGCCGCUCGCGGUGGCGCUACGGCGGAGGUGCGCCGGAGCUUGGCCGGAUGGGGGAGAGGAAACAUUGAGAGGGUUUUUGUUGUUUUUUUGGAAGAAAGGUUUAAAAUGAGAUUUUCUAAAAUCUUUUUGGCUUUUAUAACAAAAUGAAACGGCGCCGUUUUAGUAAAGGGCCGACCCGCGAUCCGACCAGCUCCAAGGCUAGGGUCCGCGUGUUUCUAUUGGAAGGGCUAACUGCAACUUUAGCCCUUCCGCUUUUUAACAGUUUUACAAUCAACUACUUGUGUUUUUUAAAAAAUUUUCCCCGUAAAUUUUUUGUGAUUACAUUUUGGUCCCUGUUGGAACGACGUCAUUUUCGGGGGAAAGGUUAAAUUACCCUUUCAGUCCCUUCAUGUUGCAAGCGUGUUCAAAUUAGUAUCUCCCCUUUAUUUUAUUUGUGAUUGAACCCCAAAUUUUGUUUUAAAUUUUUAAUUUAGUCCUUUUGUUAUUUUAUUAUUAUUAUUAUUAUUAUUAUUAUUAUUAUUAUUAUUAUUAUUAUCUAUAUUAUUGUUACUUAUCAUAUUAUUAUUAUUACAUAAUAGCUUAUAUAUAUACAUAUAUACUUUUGCAUACCUUUUAUAGUUUUUAUAUACUUGCAUGUACAUAUACAUAUUUUUUAUAUUUUAUAACUUAAAACUAGUUCCAUGCAUGUGUAUAUUUCUUUUUUUUUAAUACUAAAUAUAUACGCAUAUGUUUUUAUUUUGUUUUAUAACUUAAAACUAUAUAUAUACAUACAUAUAUUCUUUUUAUAUAUUUUAUAGUUUUAAAAUAUACGCAUGCAUCUAUAUAUUUUUAUAAUACAUAUGUACAUAUAUUUUAUAAUUUAUAUAUAUACAUAUAUUUUUGUAAUUUUAAAAUGUACAUAUAAACACACAUACUUCUAUAAUUCAUUUAUUUAUUUAUUUAUUAAUUUAUUUCUGUGUUUCUUUCUUGUAUCUUUGUUUUACCUGAUGUUUAUUUGUAUAUUUACGUAUAUCUUUGUUGUUUUGCUUUUUAGAUUUUAUGAUUUCCACGUACAUAUAUAUACAUAUUUAUACUUUAGUAUUUUUAUAAUUUUGUUCAUGUUCAUUUUGAUUAUUUAUUCACAUCUUUAUUAUUAUUUUAAUCUAAUUCGUUCACGUAUCUGUUAUUCUGCAUGUCGUUAAUUUAUCUUUUUAUUCAUUCAUUUUAUUACUGCUGCUCGCAUUAUUUUUAUUUGCAUCAUCAUAAUUACUAUUUUUUCAUAUAUAGUUUUUACUCAAAUUUUCCAAAAAUGAAAUUUUAAAAAUAUAAGUAAUAUUUGGUAUUUUGGAUCUUCGAGAGAAUCGAGCCCUAACGUAUUGGGUUCCGACUUUCUUCGUUGAAUUUAAAUAAUCGAGAUUACUCUUUUAAAAAUGAUAAAAAGCUCGUUAUCAAGAAUUCAAUACGUUGUGUCCUAACGCAUUGGAUGUGACAUGUUGUUUUCUCGAGACGAAGAUUUUUCGAAAUAAAUGCAAUAUUCAAUGUUUAAUAUUUUGAGAAAUUGUGCCCUAACGUAUUGGGUUGCGAUUUCUUCUUUUGAUUUAAACAAUUGAAUAUUCUUUUAAACUUUAUUACACGAAUCUUUUCAAACUCAAGUUUUAAAUAAUAUCGAGAAUUAAAAAAGGAUUGUGUCCUAACUUUCUGGUCGUGAUCCUUUUUUAAAUCCAAGAUAGUUAAAUAUCUUUUAAAUAAGCAUUUUUCAUUCGCGUAUCAGGAAUUCGAGACAUUAUGUCCUAACUUACUGGAUAUGAUGCUUUCUUUCUCGAUUAACGUGGAAUGUGCUCCUUUUUCCCAAAAUUUUCAACAUUUUAAUACAAGGAUCUUAUUUUUAAAUUUUUUUUAAAGUUUUCAAGUUUUUGACACUAAGACAUUAAGUAAUCAACUAUGUACCAAUUUUGGGCGUAUCGAGGGUGCCAAUCCUUCCUCGUGCGUAACCGACUCCCCAACCCAUUUUUCUGAAUUUCGUGGACCAAACUUGCUGUUUUAAUAAAAUCAAACCGUUUAUUAAAAACAACCACUUUUCGAGGUAUCCAAUCACACCUCAUAAAAACGCUGGAAUACAGUCAACUUCUAUAUGCUUGGCUCACUCAUGGAAUACAGGAUUUGCUACAAUUCGAAGUGCUGCUUGACUGCCAAAAAGUAACAACGCUGGAUCAAGUUUAUCAAGACAUAUUUCUUUUAACAACCCAUCCAGCCAUAUUAUGUCCACAAUUGUCAAUGAAAUGUGUACAGACCAAUUUUACCCAGCCCAUUUCCAGCAGACCCAAAACCCAAUACCCACCUAAACCUAACCCAAAAUCAACCCAGUACACUUAAAACAAACCCAAACCAAUUAAACCUACCCAAACCCAAAUUAUAGGCCCAUAAUUACACCCUAGCCCCUAACCUAGGCGUCGCACAUCCCUUCAGUCGCCUACCCUCUGCGCGCCGAUGCCACCACCUGUCCACUGCUUCGCCCCACCUACUCCGCCACCUGCUCUAUCAAGGCCUACACGCAAGCAAAGAAGGACAAAACAGUAGUAGAAAAAUAGAAAAUUGUAAAAUGGCGAUUUAAAAGCCAUUCAAAACAGAUCUAAAGGGGUAUUAUUUUUCGGUAUAAAACCGAUUGAAAAACCAUUGCAAAAAAAGAAACCGAUCUUGUUUUGUAAAAAAAGGGGCUCCUUUUUUCUUUUCAUGAACAUUAGAGGAAAUUAAACAGAAAGAGAUUUCUCAAAUGCUUUUUAGGUUUGCUUUUAUUUUCUGUCUUUUUUUGUGUUUUUCUUUUACUCCAUACCAAAUAAUAAGUAAUAAAAUAACAAAGUAAAAAAGGGGAGAACGAAAACCUUACCAGCUCCGCGCCGGAGGAGAAGGAAGGUGAGCAGUUUCGCUCCCAUUUUUUGGCUUUUGGGCUCUCCUUUCACGAGAUUCAGCCUUGAAUCCGUGUUCUAGAGGCCACCGGCUUCAAAAAGGGACUGGAAAGGCUUGAUUUUGUGCCUCCGGCCGCCGCUCGCGGUGGCGCUACGGCGGAGGUGCGCCGGAGCUUGGCCGGAUGGGGGAGAGGAAACAUUGAGAGGGUUUUUGUUGUUUUUUUUUGGAAGAAAGGAUUAAAAUGAGAUUUUCUAAAAUCUUUUUUACUUUUAUAACAAAAUGAAAUGGCGCCGUUUUAGUAAAGGGCCGACCCGCGAUCCGACCAGCUCCAAGGCUAGGGUUCGCGUAUUUCUAUUGGAAGGGCUAACUACAACUUUAGCCCUUCCGCUUUUUAACAGUUUUACAAUCAAGUACUUGUGUUUUUUAAAAAAUUUUCCCCGUAAAUUUUUUGCGAUUACAUUUUGGUCCCUGUUGGAACGACGUCAUUUUCGGGGGAAAGGUUAAAUUACCCUUUCAGUCCCUUCAUGUUGCGCGCGUGUUCAAAUUAGUCCCUCCCCUUUAUUUUAUUUGUGAUUGAACCCCUAAUUUUGUUUUAAAAUUUUAAUUUAGUCCUUUUGUUAUUUUAUUAUUAUUAUUAUUAUUAUUAUUAUUAUUAUUAUUAUUAUCAUCAUAUUAUUAUUAUUACAUAAUAGCUUAUAUAUAUAUACAUAUAUACUUUUGCAUACCUUUUAUAGUUUUUAUAUACUUGCAUGUACAUAUACAUAUUUUUUAUAUUUUAUAACUUAAAACUAGUUCCAUGCAUGUGUAUAUUUCUUUUUUUUUAAUACUAAAUAUAUACGCAUAUGUUUUUAUUUUGUUUUAUAACUUAAAACUAUAUAUAUACAUACAUAUAUUCUUUUUAUAUAUUUUAUAGUUUUAAAAUAUACGCAUGCAUCUAUAUAUUUUUAUAAUACAUAUGUACAUAUAUUUUAUAAUUUAUAUAUAUACAUAUAUUUUUGUAAUUUUAAAAUGUACAUAUAAACACACAUACUUCUAUAAUUCAUUCAUUUAUUUAUUUAUUUAUUUAUUUAUUUAUUUCUGUGUUUCUUUCUUGUAUCUUUGUUUUACCUGAUGUUUAUUUGUAUAUUUACAUAUAUCUUUGUUGUUUUGCUUUUUAGAUUUUAUGAUUUCCACGUACAUAUAUAUACAUAUUUAUACUUUAGUAUUUUUAUAAUUUUGUUCAUGUUCAUUUUGAUUAUUUAUUCACAUUUUUAUUAUUAUUUUAAUCUAAUUCGUUCACGUAUCUGUUAUUCUGCAUGUCGUUAAUUUAUCUUUUUAUUCAUUCAUUUUAUUACUGCUGCUCGCAUUAUUUUUAUUUGCAUCAUCAUAAUUACUAUUUUGUCAUAUAUAGUUUUUACUCAAAUUUGCCAAAAAUGAAAUUUUAAAAAUAUAAGUAAUAUUCGGUAUUUUGGAUCUUCGAGAGAAUCGAGCCCUAACGUAUUGGGUUCCGACUUUCUUCGUUGAAUUUAAAUAAUCGAGAUUACUCUUUUAAAAAUGAUAAAAAGCUCGUUAUCGAGAAUUCAAUACGUUGUGUCCUAACGCAUUGGAUGUGACAUGUUGUUUUCUCGAGACGAAGAUUUUUCGAAAUAAAUGCAAUAUUCAAUGUUUAAUAUUUUGAGAAAUUGUGCCCUAACGUAUUGGGUUGCUAUUUCUUCAUUUGAUUUAAACAAUUGAAUAUUGUUUUAAACUUUAUUACACGAAUCUUUUCAAACUCAAGUUUUAAACGAUAUCGAGAAUUAAAAAAGGAUCGUGUCCUAACUUACUAGUCGUGAUCCCUUUUUUAAUCCAAGAUAGUUAAAUAUCUUUUAAAUAAGCAUUUUUCAUUCGCGUAUCAGGAAUUCGAGACAUUAUGUCCUAACUUACUGGAUAUGAUGCUUUCUUUCUCGAUUAACGUGGAAUGUGCUCCCUUUUCCCAAAAUUUUCAACAUUUUAAUACAAGGAUCUUAUUUUUAAAUUUUUUUAAAGUUUUCAAGUUUUUGACACUAAGACAUUAAGUAAUCAACUAGGUACCAAUUUUGGGCGUAUCGAGGGUGCCAAUCCUUCCUCAUGCGUAACCGACUCCCGAACCCGUUUUUCUAAAUUUCGUGGACCAAACUUGUUGUUUUAAUAAAAUCAAACCGUUUAUUAAAAGUAACCACUUUUCGAGGUGAUCCAAUCACACCUCAUAAAAAAGGAUUGGUGGCAACUCCCGUUUUACUCGUUUUCGUCAAAACCCAAGUCGACCCCAUUUUCAUCCAAAAAAUGGUGUCAACAGCUUGGCGACUCCACUAGGGACUUUAAAUAAGAGAGUCAAGUCACGAGUUGAUUAUUUCUUGUCUUUUUGUCAAAAGUUGAAAAUUUGAUUUAAAUAUACGAUCCUCUUAUUACAUUUUGUUUGUUUUUAGUUAUAGUUUUCAUGAUGUUUUGUAUUUUAAAUUUUUAUAUCUCUGCGCAUUGCAUUGCAUGACCGUUGGUCACACCUUUUUAAGUGGGAGUGAGAAGCUAGUCCUUCGUGAGGUUUUCACCUCCGUGUAGGAUAGUGGAUCGCUUUCGAGAUACAUCCGUACCUAUGUCUUCGUGAGAUUUUCAUCUCCGUGCAGCCAUAGGGAAAUGUAUUCCCCUGAACCGAACUCGGUCUAUAUGAGCAUAUAAUGGGUGAGGAUCGAGGAAUCUGUUGGUUCGGGUACCCUUACUUUAGAGCCAAACCUCAUGUAGUGAACCUUAGGAGCCCACCCUAGGUAGAACCACUUCAAACCCCUAGUAGUCACCCGACUAGGUGUUCUAUUUAUUCUUGCUUGCUUUUGUUUCAUACUAACCUAUUUUCCUUUUUUGAUGAUUGCAUUGCAUUUUCAUCAUAAAAAGAGGUGUUUAUUAACGUUCGGUUGUUAAAUAGAGAGCUUGUCAUAAGAAAAUGGGUCAUUUGAUAAAGUGGAAAAUAAUAUGGUUGCCCGAAUAUGUUCUGAGAAAACACAACAAGAGAAAGAUGAUAGUUUAAUAGAAGACAACACAACUAUUGCUUUGUUGCCCCGAGGAUUCAAGGUGAUAAAGAUUAUUUGAGAGCCGCUGAACUUUCUUAAAGAGAAGCCAAUGAGCAUCCCGAGGAUGAGCGAGCAACGAGCCGAGGUCGGAUCAAGCAAAAAAGAGAUAAAAGAGACAUCCCAUUUGAAGAGUUCGUGAAAUUCAUCUUAACGCGCGAAUGAAGAAAAGGAUCGUUGUCUUGGAAUAUAAGGGCAAGGCCGUAUAUAUAUCCAUUUUAUGUAAAGAAAUUUGUUUUCUAGUAAAGUUGUUCUAGUAAGAAUUGAACCAAGAAUCGACGUCUCUUUUUGCAUUCAUGCAUUUGCAUUACAUGACAUCAUAUGCAUUAACAACCAUUAAAAGACCCUAAUUGAGUAAAAUUACUUCAGAAAAUCUAGAAAAUUAACAUUCUUGUGGUACCCGAAGAAAAACAUGGACCAAAGAUUAAAAAACUUGAACGAUUCCAAAAGGGGAGGCAAGACCAACUACAACUGCAAAUACAAGAGCGGUAAGCUAAGGUCUAGCAAGAUAGAGUUUUGUGAAGGGGUUAAAAAAUGUUCAUAUCAAUGUCAUACAUGAAGACAACUGAAAAUGGACCUUGUUAGAUAUUCGCCCUUAUAAAAUUGGGAGUGUUCUAAAUAAUCGGACUGCAGAAGAAAUCUCUGUAAUAUUUAAAGCUUACUCAGAGUGAUAUUCAAAACACACUUGUUACUUUUAGCCUAAAGGCAACAAGAAGUCUUUUGUGAAAUAGGCUCAUGUUUGAACGUCAUUAUUUUAAUGGAAUGCAUCUUUGCAAUAUUUUGAACCAAUAUUCUUUUAUUUCUUGAAUGAUUAUUUUUAUUCUUUUAUUCUUUCAUCCAAAUCAUUCUUUCAUUCAUUCAUAAUCAUAUUGUAAUAACUUCAUAUAUUCUUUGUAUAUUCUUUUGUACCGACAAUAGGUCCCUGGAUAUCAAAGGCAUGAAUGACACUGCUAUAGACUUAGAAUCUCCUUUGAGCGAGACAUGUGUUUAGAGGGAUCUCACGACUUUGAAGAUGACAUAGAUUGUAUCCUAUCCCCGGACUUGUUGAGGAUGGUAGAACAAGAGGAUAAACAGAUCCUACCUCUCAAGGAAUCAUUAGAAAUUGUGAGCUUGGUGAAGACUAGAAUUGACCUGACCAGAGAGAUGAAGCAAGACCUUGUUGAGUUACCUCUAGAGUUCAAAGAUGUCUUUGUAUGAUCAUACCAGGGUAUGCCUCGAUUCUUAUAAUAAAACCUACACAACAGCACGAUGUCAGAAAUUUACAGUGCGAACGAUACAAUUCUUUGCCGGGGCAAUGGCUCUCUUGUUGAGUCAGCAUAGCUUUGCCCAUUUGAAGUCGAGUUUCCAUCCCUUCAAGAUGUUGUUGGAUUCUAUCCUGAUUAAAGAGGAAGAUCCAAAGUUUUUGUCGUAGUUUCGCCCCAAAAGGGCUCUAUGAAAGAAAUCUGGUACCAAAGAAGGUUUUUCACAUACAAGAUGAGAGUGGAAGAUCUUAUGUGGAAGACUUUAGAAUAACAUUGAUUCUGGUCAAAAAGCAUGACCAGGACUUGCUUGAUCUCAUGAGUUCAGACUCAAAAAAAAUAAAAAAUCAAAAAUCAAAAAAAUCGAAGUCAAAAAAAAGAGGAAGAAGAAAAAAGAAAAAGAAAAAGGAGAGGUCAAGGUGAAAACCCGCAAAGGGCGCUUUGACCAAAGGUGGAUCUGAGUUGAAAACCUGAAAAAGGGCGACUCAAAUUUUGAGCAAAAUGGGGCAUGGACAUCACCAUUAUCGAAGACUUCUAAUGGGCAUUGCUUCAUUUUUGAGAGGCUACUGCAUGGAUCAAGGUCAUCCUAUACCGAUACAGAAUUUCAGAUAGGAUGAUAUUGGAAAAUGCAUUGAACUUAAAUGAUAGCAUGAUAACUGAGGUCUGAAAUCAAUUCAGAAGCAGACACCACAUUUUGUCACCGAAUCACCUAGAGGCGAACAAGGACUGGCAUGUGAAAUUACCAUUUGCCCUCAUUGUUUGUCGAACAUCUGUACUGGGACAACACCUCUCUUUUUGGUUUACAGGAUUGAGGUAGUUUUACCUAUCAAAAUCCCCUUAUUGCUUGUUGGAGGGAUCCAAUCGCGAUGUGAUCAGUUGGCCCUAAGAAAAAGGAUUAAAAGCUAUUCAUCAGGGUCGGAUGUACCAUAAAUAAAUAAUACAAGCCUAUAAUAAACAGGCUCGUCUCAGAGAAUUCCACGAGAGGGCUAGAUGUUGAAAAAGAUUCUUCCUUAACGAAAGGAUUCUAAAGGGAAAUGAAUGCCAAACUAGGAAAGUCCUUAUGUUGUAAAGAAGACCAUUUUCAGAGGAGCACUGAUCCUGAGUGAGAUUGCCAAUCCUAUAAACUCGGAUCCAAUUAAGAAACACUUCGUUUAAAGAAGAAGGAAGGACCAAGGCGAAAACCUACAAAAGGGCACUUUGAGUAAAAAAAAAAGAGAUGAAAAAAAUGAAAAAGUAAAAAUGGAGAAGCUAAGGGGAAAACCCGCAAAGGGCACCUUAGGCCAAAGGGGAUUUGAGUUGAAAACCCGAAGAGGGCGGCUCAAAUAUUGAUCAGAAUAGGGCAUGAAGUGAUCAGAUUGGGGCAUGUGGUGAUCUUGCUAUACCUGAAAGGGUAAGGCGACAUCUUGAGGCAUCGACAGAGUCUCGAAGAUCUCCUAAACACAUGUCAAACUUAGAAAAGUCUUCAGAAAGUUUGUACAGAAAAGUUCAAGCUGCGAUAUCUGGGGCACCUAACCUUCAUACUAUUUAUAUAUUGAAGAUUUUCCAAUCAAUUCCUCUUUUUAUUCUUGCUAUCCUUGAUAAUUUAUUCAUUUUGAGCUAUGCUCUCAAAUCAAUUCUAUUUUAUCUAUCGUUAUGAUCUUUUGCAAGCAUGUUGCAUUAGAAUAAUGAUUAAUGGACUAAUAAUACUUUCACAAUUGAAGUUUUGCAUAUUACUCUAGAAGUUUCUAAAUAAUAUAGGAACCAGAAAUAGGACUAUUGUUUAGAAAACACCAAGUUUAAAGGGUGAAAUAUCUAAGAAGGAAGGGUCUAAGUUAAGACUAUCCCUUCGGAUUUUGUUGUCUAAACAUUGAUUGAACAAAAUGACAAAAUAUCGUGUUGGUAACAAAGCUUCAAUGAUCACCAAGUAAUAAGAAAAGGUUUUCUCGAAGAAAAUUUUUUCAAUUGUACAUGAGCAUUUGGUAUGACACCUUGGGAAUGGGGUAAAGGACCAAAGAGCUUCACAUUCUGUAUCCUUGAAUUGUGAUAGGAGAAGAUUAAAAAAAGCCAUAUCUUUCUACCCUGGGGUUACAGCGGGAGAAAGAUGGUUCAAAUUUUGCAUCCAGUGGAUUGAACUUUGACGUUCACAAUGGGGGGCAAUCAGAUUAAGUGUUUCUUUGGAUAUGCCAGCUAAGCAAGAAGACGUUGUAACACGCCAGUGAUAAAACAAUGAGCAAUAACAACCUAAGCAUUAAGGAAUCAUUUUCAUGACAUUUUGCAUUCAUUCAAAUGUCAUUCAUACACAUAUAGUUAGGAGCAUUUGAUUCUUUAUGAUCAUGUCAUCUUAAUCACUAGGCACAAUUAGGUUCAUAAAAUAGAACAUACAGGUCAUGUUCCCUAGAGAACAGAUCAACGAAGUUAUAGAUCUUAUCUUCCUGUAUUUGGCAGCGGAGGAGAUCGAAGAUAGCAGAUCUUAUCUUCCUGUAUUUACAGUAGAGGAGAUCGAAGAUAGUAGAUCUUGUCUUCUUGUAUUUAGUAGUGGAGGAGAUCAAAGAUAGCAGAUCUUGUCUUCCUGUAUUUGGCAGCAGAGGAGAUCGAAGAUAGCAGAUCUUAUCUUCCUGUAUUUGGCAGUGGAGGAGAUCGAAGAUAGCAGAUCUUAUCUUCUUGUAUUUGGCAGCGGAGGAGAUCGAAGAUAGCAUAUCUUAUCUUCCUGUAUUUGGCAAUGGAUAUCAGAUCUUGUCUUCCUGUAUUUGGCAGCAAAGGAGAUCGAAGAUAGCAGAUCUUGCCUUCCUGUACUGACAGUGAAGCAGAUCGAAGAAACCAUAGUUUGCAAUUCAUACGAUUGAAGCCACAACGGUGAAUCUUACUUCCCAGGUGAUGCAGCGGAACAAAUUGAAGCUACGACAGUGAAUUUCACUUCCUGGACAUUGCAAUUCAAAAGAUUGAAGCCACAACGGUGAAUCUUACUUCCAGGAUGCAGUGGAACAGAUUGAAGCUACAACAGCGGAUCUUGCUUCCCUGGCAGUUAAAAAGAUUGAAGCUACAACAGCGAAUCUUACUUUCCUAGCGUUGCAACGGAACAGAUUGAAGCUACAACAGCGGAUCUUGCUCCCCUGGCAAUUAAAAAGAUUGAAGCUACAACAGCGGAUCUUACUUUCCUAGCGUUGCAGUGGAACAGAUUGAAGCUACAACAGCGAAUCUUACUUCCCUGACAUUGCAAUUAAAAAGAUUAAAGCUACAACAGCAGAUCUUACUUUCCUAGCAUUACAGUGGAACAGAUUGGAGCUACAACAGCGGAUCUUACUUCCCCGGCAGUUAAAAAGAUUGAAGCUACAACAGCGGAUCUUACUUUCUAUUGCAGUGGAACAGAUUGAAGCUACAACAGCGGAUCUUACUUCCCCGGCAGUUAAAAGAUUGAAGCUACAACAACGGAUCUUACUUUCCAAGUUGCAGUGGAACAGAUUGAAGCUACAGCAGCGGAUCUUGCUUCCCCGACAUUGUAACUUAAAAGAUUGAGGCCACAACAACGAAUCUUACCUUUUCAGGCGGUGCAGUAGAACAGAUUGAAGCUACAAUGGCGAAUCUCACUUCCCUGACAUUGCAAUCAAAAGAUUGAGGCUACAACGGCGAAUCUUAUUUCCAAGCAGUGCAGUGGAAUAGAUUAAAGUCACAACAGAGAAUCUUACUUCCCCGACAUUGUAAUUAAAGGAUUAAGGCCACAACGGAAAAUCUUAUUCCCAAGCGGUACAGCGAAACAGAUUGAAACUACAACGUGGAACCGAUUGAAGCUACAAUGGCGAAUCUUGCUUCCCUGUCAUUUUAAAUAGAUUAAAGAUGACAAACCUUAUCUCUUUGAAACUGCAGUAGAGCAAAUCAUAGCAAGUCUUAUCUCCCUAACGUUGUAGUAGAAUGGACUAAAACCCCGAAUCUUAUCCUCCUGAAGUUGCUGCGAAGAAGACUGAAGCUACGAGUCAGGUCUCCUUGAAGUGCAGUGGAAUGGAGUCAAGCAACAAGUCCUAGUGGAUUGGAAUGAGGAUACUUGAAAAAGAGAAGCGUCAAGAGAAGCCAAGACUCGAUGGGACUGGGCAAAAUUGGUCUUUCUUAGUCUUUGCUUUAUUCUCGUUACACGACAACGAGCAAAGAGGGGCAGCUGUACAGACCAAUUUUACCCAGCCCAUUUCCAGCAGACCCAAAACCCAAUACCCACCUAAACCUAACCCUAAAUUAGCCCAGUACACUUAAAACAAACCCAAACCAAUUAAACCUACCCAAACCCAAAUUGUAGGCCCAUAAUUAAACCCUAGCCCCUAACCUAGGCGCCGCACAUCCCUUCAGUCGCCUACCCUCUGCGCGCCGAUGCCACCACCUGUCCACUGCUUCGCCCCACCUACUCCGCCACCUGCUCUAUCAAGGCCUACACGCAAGCAAAGAAGGACAAAACAGUAGUAGAAAAAUAGAAAAUUGUAAAAUGGCGAUUUAAAAGCCAUUCAAAACAGAUCUAAAGGGGUAUUAUUUUUCGGUAUAAAACCGAUUGAAAAACCAUUGCAAAAAAAGAAACCGAUCUUGUUUUGUAAAAAAAGGGGCUCCUUUUUUCUUUUCAUGAACAUUAGAGGAAAUUAAACAGAAAGAGAUUUCUCAAAUGCUUUUUAGGUUUGCUUUUAUUUUCUGUCUUUUUUUGUGUUUUUCUUUUACUCCAUACCAAAUAAUAAGUAAUAAAAUAACAAAGUAAAAAAGGGGAGAACGAAAACCUUACCAGCUCCGCGCCGGAGGAGAAGGAAGGUGAGCAGUUUCGCUCCCAUUUUUUGGCUUUUGGGCUCUCCUUUCACGAGAUUCAGCCUUGAAUCCGUGUUCUAGAGGCCACCGGCUUCAAAAAGGGACUGGAAAGGCUUGAUUUUGUGCCUCCGGCCGCCGCUCGCGGUGGCGCUACGGCGGAGGUGCGCCGGAGCUUGGCCGGAUGGGGGAGAGGAAACAUUGAGAGGGUUUUUGUUGUUUUUUUUUUGGAAGAAAGGAUUAAAAUGAGAUUUUCUAAAAUCUUUUUUACUUUUAUAACAAAAUGAAAUGGCGCCGUUUUAGUAAAGGGCCGACUCGCGAUCCGACCAGCUCCAAGGCUAGGGUUCGCGUAUUUCUAUUGGAAGGGCUAACUACAACUUUAGCCCUUCCGCUUUUUAACAGUUUUACAAUCAAGUACUUGUGUUUUUUAAAAAAUUUUCCCCGUAAAUUUUUUGCGAUUACAUUUUGGUCCCUGUUGGAACGACGUCAUUUUCGGGGGAAAGGUUAAAUUACCCUUUCAGUCCCUUCAUGUUGCGCGCGUGUUCAAAUUAGUCCCUCCCCUUUAUUUUAUUUGUGAUUGAACCCCUAAUUUUGUUUUAAAAUUUUAAUUUAGUCCUUUUGUUAUUUUAUUAUUAUUAUUAUUAUUAUUAUUAUUAUUAUUAUUAUUAUUAUUAUUAUUAUCAUCAUAUUAUUAUUAUUACAUAAUAGCUUAUAUAUAUAUACAUAUAUACUUUUGCAUACCUUUUAUAGUUUUUAUAUACUUGCAUGUACAUAUACAUAUUUUUUAUAUUUUAUAACUUAAAACUAUUUCCAUGCAUGUGUAUAUUUCUUUUUUUUUAAUACUAAAUAUAUACGCAUAUGUUUUUAUUUUGUUUUAUAACUUAAAACUAUAUAUAUACAUACAUAUAUUCUUUUUAUAUAUUUUAUAGUUUUAAAAUAUACGCAUGCAUCUAUAUAUUUUUAUAAUACAUAUGUACAUAUAUUUUAUAAUUUAUAUAUAUACAUAUAUUUUUGUAAUUUUAAAAUGUACAUAUAAACACACAUACUUCUAUAAUUCAUUUAUUUAUUUAUUUAUUAAUUUAUUUCUGUGUUUCUUUCUUGUAUCUUUGUUUUACCUGAUGUUUAUUUGUAUAUUUACGUAUAUCUUUGUUGUUUUGCUUUUUAGAUUUUAUGAUUUCCACGUACAUAUAUAUACAUAUUUAUACUUUAGUAUUUUUAUAAUUUUGUUCAUGUUCAUUUUGAUUAUUUAUUCACAUCUUUAUUAUUAUUUUAAUCUAAUUCGUUCACGUAUCUGUUAUUCUGCAUGUCGUUAAUUUAUCUUUUUAUUCAUUCAUUUUAUUACUGCUGCUCGCAUUAUUUUUAUUUGCAUCAUCAUAAUUACUAUUUUUUCAUAUAUAGUUUUUACUCAAAUUUUCCAAAAAUGAAAUUUUAAAAAUAUAAGUAAUAUUUGGUAUUUUGGAUCUUCGAGAGAAUCGAGCCCUAACGUAUUGGGUUCCGACUUUCUUCGUUGAAUUUAAAUAAUCGAGAUUACUCUUUUAAAAAUGAUAAAAAGCUCGUUAUCAAGAAUUCAAUACGUUGUGUCCUAACGCAUUGGAUGUGACAUGUUGUUUUCUCGAGACGAAGAUUUUUCGAAAUAAAUGCAAUAUUCAAUGUUUAAUAUUUUGAGAAAUUGUGCCCUAACGUAUUGGGUUGCGAUUUCUUCUUUUGAUUUAAACAAUUGAAUAUUCUUUUAAACUUUAUUACACGAAUCUUUUCAAACUCAAGUUUUAAAUAAUAUCGAGAAUUAAAAAAGGAUUGUGUCCUAACUUUCUGGUCGUGAUCCUUUUUUAAAUCCAAGAUAGUUAAAUAUCUUUUAAAUAAGCAUUUUUCAUUCGCGUAUCAGGAAUUCGAGACAUUAUGUCCUAACUUACUGGAUAUGAUGCUUUCUUUCUCGAUUAACGUGGAAUGUGCUCCUUUUUCCCAAAAUUUUCAACAUUUUAAUACAAGGAUCUUAUUUUUAAAUUUUUUUUAAAGUUUUCAAGUUUUUGACACUAAGACAUUAAGUAAUCAACUAUGUACCAAUUUUGGGCGUAUCGAGGGUGCCAAUCCUUCCUCGUGCGUAACCGACUCCCCAACCCAUUUUUCUGAAUUUCGUGGACCAAACUUGCUGUUUUAAUAAAAUCAAACCGUUUAUUAAAAACAACCACUUUUCAAAGUAUCCAAUCACACCUCAUAAAAACGGAUUAGUGGCGACUCCCGUUUUAUUCGUUUUCGUCAAAACCCAAGUCGACCCCGUUUUCAUCCAAAAAAUGGUGUCAACAAAAUGCUUCUAUACUCAGCUUCAGCUGAUGAAUGUGAGACUAUAUUCAGCUUCUUUGACUCCCAGGAGAUAAGAGAAUCUUCGAGUUUGAUGUAGAAACCAACAAUAGACCUUCUAGACAUGGGGCACGUGGCUCAAUCCGAAUCGCAAUAAGUAACAAGUUGUUGUUUAUUUGAUGCAGCCAACAAAAUCCCUAGGCCAAGAUCCUGACACCCCUUUUUGGGACUUGACUUUGUCUAGCUUCAUCUUAGGCUUUCAUUUUACCUUGAUGGAUUAACUUAUUAAGAGAUAACCACGCAAUCAAAUAUACUGAUUGUCAACUACCUUUAGCGAACUUACAGAUAUCUCGCCACUACGACGUAUUCUUACUUUGAUCUAUUCAUUCCACAUUGAACUCAAUACCAACUUAUUGUAUUAUCUCGACAGCUGCCUUCUUAUAACUUAGCUUGAGCAUAUACGCUUCUAAAAGAAAGACCGUUUACCUACAUCCUUGUAUGUGACCUUCAAAUAUAAGACUUGGCGGAUAAUCAGACACUAUGUUUUUCUUGCGGAAUUGUACUUGUAAGACAGUCCUAAUGGACUUUUCCUCUUAAGAUAGUUCGAAUAGAUAUUUCUUUAAUCAGGUACCUAAUUUACUUCCCAUCCACCAAUCGUCUCCAGCAGACUAUCUCUUCACUAGAUCAUGUAAGGCAGACUUCCCUUUUAUAAGAUAGUCCUUAGUAGACUUCUCAGCACUAGAUAGACCCAACAAACAUCAUCUUCCUUUGUUAAUCCCUGGUGGACAUUCCACCUAAGAUAGUCCUUGGCGUACAUUCCACUUAAGAUAGUCUUUGGUGAACAUCAUUUUUUGGUGACCUCUUUGCCACUAAAUACUUAGAAUUAAAAUCUGAAGAACCGCCUCGCUUUCUCAUAACCAAUAUUGACUUAUUCAUUACGUUUGACGAACUCUUAAAUGGCAGAUACUUAUCCACAAAUACUCUGAAGAAAAUACUACUGUUUUUAUACAUAUCCACGCACUAAGCACUUUCACAUAUUCCUCAUGCGCUCGCAUCUUGGCUGGAUCUCUUAUCAGCACAAUUGCCCACGUUCCCAUAUGCGCCAUGACCGUUAUGACAAACAUGUUCAGCAUUUUGCUUUGAAUGUUCACAACCAUAAGAAGAGAAAGGCACAAAAGCAUCAUACUCAUCCCAAAGUAAGCGUAAUUUAGUGAAAUACACAAACAUUGAAGCGGUUCCUUGAAUGUGAGAAAUGGUCUCACGAUGCAAAAAAUAGACUCGAAAUGCAUCAACUUUAUUAAAACGUUCAUCAAGAUCUUUCCAAACAAACGUUGCACUGGAAGAAAAAACUAUCCUUACUGAAAGUUCUCUGCUAACUGUAUUCAAGAUCCAUGAUACAAUUAUGACAUUACAGUGUUCCCAUUAAGAAUGCAAAUCCUCUUGUUUUUUUCCAAUAAUGCAAUUCGCAUAAAUCUGCUCCAGAUAUUAUAGUUUUCAAGCCCAAAAAUGGAUUCAUAAAAAAGGAAAAAUGAUUUCAUGAAAAAUAACAUCACGGUUGACAAAGAAAGUUUUUGUGUCAAGGUUGAAUAGAAGAUAACCUUUUUAAACAUUUGAGUUCCCCAUGAAAACAAACGACAUUGCUUUGGGAGAAAACUUAUUACACUCGCCCCAAAUUUUGCUAGGUAUAUUGGACAAAAAUUUUAAGGAUCGGGCAGCCUUAAGCAAGUAUUGAUGCUUACGCUCGGCCACACCAUUUUGUUGUGAAGUGUGAGUGCAUGAAAUUUGGUGUACAAUUCCCAAGGUAGAAAAAUAUGCAUUACAUUCAUUAUUAAAGAAUUCAUAUCCAUUGUCAUUACAAAUGAUUUUGACAAUGGCUAAAAACUGGUUUUUUUACCAUAGUAACAAACUGCUUGAGUUGUAAAUUAACAUCACUCUUUAAUUGUAAAAUAUACACCUAAGUCAUGCUUGAGUAAUCAUCAACAGUGGUUAAGAAGUAUCUAUGUCCACUAUGUGUAGAAACUCUAUAAGGACCCUACAAGUCAAUAUGGAUAAGAGAAAAAAUUAUUUCAACCUGAGUUUUACUUAUUGAAAAAGAUAACCUACUUUGUUUUGCAAGAGGACAUACAGGGCACUGCUGUAUGGGACAAAUAUUCGAGAAUGUACAUGGUAUGUAAGACAUCUUAUUCAACUUUGAAAGGGAAGCAUGACCAAGAUGUGCAUCCCAAAGUAGAGAGGAUUCUAUAGUUGCAGUUGUGAGGAAUGAGGUGUCAGCUGUGUUUGAAGCUGGUGAAGUUUCAUUUUUAGAAGAGUAAAGGACGUAGAGACCACCUUGUUCUUUACCAAUCCCCUUUUAUCUUUCCUCUCAAAAGAUCCUGAAAAAGAUUAAAAUGGGGAUAAAAUGAAACAAAACAAUGUAGUUCUUUAGUAAGUUUGGAAAUUGAAAUUAGAUUGUAGCAAAAAAUUGGAAUAUAAAUCACAAGUGUUAGUUUAGCAUCAAGAUAAAUAGCACAAGAUCCUAUGUGAGUAAUCAGAGUGGAUGAACCAGUAGGUAAUCAAACACAAGAUGAAGAUGAUGCACAAGAAAUAGGAGAUUCCAAACACUAGAAGUUAGAUAGCAUAUGGUUGGUAGUACCAGUGUCCAAGAUCCACUCACAAGGUGAUCUCAUAUCUGCCAAACUUGCAACAGCUUCAACUGAAGAGUCUUUAUUCAAUAGAAACAGAAUAUGUUGAUAUUGUGCUUGUGUAAAAAAGGGUGCUUGAGAGGUAUUAAACAUACCAAUGUUACCAGCCGUAUCAAAAGAAUUGGUCACCUCAACAUUAUUCACCACAGAUCUAGUUGAAGUCUUUCGUGAACUUAAAACCAGGGGCUAUCCAAUUAACCUAUAAUAAUUCUCCAUCUUAUGCCCCUUGAUUUUACAAUGAUCACAUACGCCAUUGAUCCUCUUAUUCUGGGCCACAUUAGUAGAAUGCACGAAAGUUGGAUCAGGAAUGACAGACCCUGAAGCAUGUUGCCUUUGAGACUCUUCCUGCACCAACAUAGAGUAUGCUUGAUUUAUAGAAGGCAAUGGAUUCAUUAGUAAAAUUUGACUACGAACUGCAUUAUAGGUUUCAUUUAAGCCUAUCAAGAACUAAAACAGACACUGUUGAGUAACAUGUUUAGCAUUUUGCUUUGAUUAUUCACAACCAUAAGAAGAGAAAGGUACAAGAGCAUCAUCCUCAUCCCAAAGCAAGCGUAAUUUAGUGAAAUACAUAGACAUUGAAGCGGUUCCUUGAAUGUGAGAAGUGGUCUCACAAUGCACAAAGUAGACUCGCUAUGCAUCAACUUUAUUAAAACGCUCAUUAAGAUCUUUCCAAACAAAUGCUACACUGGAAGCAAAAACUAUCCUUGCUGAAAGUUCUUUGCUAACCGUGUACAGCCCAAAUUUACCCGAGGCCCAAACCCCAAACAGCAGACCCAAUAACCCAAAUUACAAACAAGCCCAAACCCAAAAACAAAAAAAAAGAAACAAAGAAACCCUAGCCCCUAAUCCUAGCCUCUGCCACCGCCCUAGCCUCUACCAUGCCAGCACCGCCACUGCCGCCGCCCUCCUAGAACCGUCCACUUGCACCACUUGCGCCUGCAACAGUCAGAGAAGAAAAGAUAGCAAACAAUUGAAACAUGCAACAAAUAAUAGGGAUAACAUGUAACAAUAGCUAUAAAAGCCGAAUCUCAUAACUAAACAGGGGAUUUUUGCUUUUUGAAAAUAGACGUGAAAUCAAAAAUAAAAACAGACAUUCGAGAAUAGAAGCAACACUUUAAGGUUUUAUUCUUUUUGCUAUUUCAUUUUUUUUUUCAUUUCGAAAUAUAAGACAAAAAAGAGAGUUUUUUACCUUUUUUAGUCGUCAUCGGAGUGUUGGAGGCGGAGGGCUGCAUCGAAAAAAUAGAAGAAAUUUUUUGGACUCCCCGCCGCCAUGCACGGCGGCGCCGACACCGACGAUCGGUGACUGGCGACCGGCACGGUAGUCAAUAACCGGACCUGAGGCUGGUGCCCGGAGAAAGAGGGGAGUUAAGAGUGUUUUUGAGAAUUUUUUGCCAAGAAGAGAGAAAAAUGAAUAUUUUUUUUUGGAAAAAAUUUGGUUUAAAUAGGGGAGCAAAACAACGCCGUUUUGCUCAGCCCUUUAAAAUGCCAAAACGGCGUCGUUUCGAGGCCGGCCCGAGACCCGACUCGCUCCAGGUCAAGAUCCGCGUGUUUUUAUUUAGAAGGGCUAAUUGCACCUUUAGCCCUUCCGCUUUUUAAUGGUUUUAUAAUCAAGUAUUUUUAUUGCUUUUAAUUUUACCCCGGAUUGUUUUUGAGUUUUCAAUUUAGUCCCUACUGGAACUCUGCGUUUUGCAAGAAUGGGAUUAUUUCCCAUUUGCCCCUUCCUAGUUUUCCACGCAUUCAAGAUGAUCCUUUCUUCUUUAUUUGUUUUCAAUUUCGCCCCCAAAUGUUGCUUUUUUUUAUUUUAGUCCUUUUCUAUCUUUAUUUUAUUAUUAAACCAAUUAAGUUAGUACUAUUAUUAUUAUUUAAUAUUAUUGUUAUUAUCAUCAUAUUUCCAUUUAUACUUAUUUAUGUAAAUUUUAAAUACAUUUAUCUUAUUAUAGUAUUAUUAUUUUAAUUACUUACAUAUAUAUAUACACAUACAUGUGAUUUUAUAAUAUAUAUAUAUGUAUAUUUUUAUAAUCUAUCUAUAUAUUCAUAUACGUACCUAUAUAUAUUUCAUAAUUUUUAUACACAUCUAUAUACAUAUUUUCUAAAUUUUUAUAAUUAUAUAUAUUUAUACGUACACAUUUCUUAAUUUUUUUUAUAAAUAUAUAAAGUAUACAUAUAUACAUACUUUUAUAUAUACAUGUUUUUACAUAUUUCAUAAUUUUAUAUAUACACAUAUAUGUAUAAUUUAACUCAUAUUUACGUAUAUACAUACUUACAUAUAUUUUCACGUAAAAUAGCUUUAAAAUAUGUGUACAUACAUAUGCUCUUCAUAUUUUCAUAAUUUUGUACAUAUAUAUAUCUUUUAUAUUUUCAUAAUUUUUUGGAUCAUUUCGUUCAUUUAUUUAUUUGUUACAUGACUGCUAUUAUUAUUUAUGUUUUAGUUUUUAUCUGUUUAUUAUUUGUCAUUGUGCCUGCAUGAUUGAAUUUUUUUAUAUAUUGGUCUUAUUUAUUUAUUUGUUCGUUUUUGCUCAUAUUAUUUACAUUAUCAUCAUUAUCAUUAUUUUGCUUCCAUUUUUACUCGGAUUUAUCAAAAAACGAAAAAUUUCAAAAUAAAAGUAAUACUCAGUAUUUGGGAUCUUCGAGACAAUCGAGCCCUAACGUAUUGGGUUCAGAUUUUCUUCAUUGAACCUAAAUAAUCGAGAUUACUCUUUUAAAAAAAAAUAAAAAGCUCAUUAUCGGGAAUUCAAUACGUUGUGUCCUAACGCAUUGGAUAUGACACGUUGUUUUCCCGAGAUGAGGAUUUUUUCUAAAAAAUAAUAAAGGCAAUAUUCAAUGUUUAGAAUUUUGAGAAAUUGUACCCUAACGUAUUGGGUUGCGAUUUCUUCAUCUGACUUAAACAAUUGAAUAUCCUUUUAAACUUUAUUACACGAGUCUUUUUUUCAAACCUAAUCUUUAAACAACCUCGGAAAUUAAGAAAAGAUCAAGUCCUAACUUACUGGGCCUGAUCCCUUUUUUCUGAAAUUCGAGAUAACUAAAUAUCUUUUAAAUAAGCAAAUUUUUAGCAUUCAUUCGCGUAUCGAGAAUUCGAGACAUUGUGUCCUAACUUACUGGAUAUGAUUUUCUUUCUCGAUUAACGUGAAAUAUGCCCUUUUCCCAAAAAUUUUCAACAUUUUAAUACAAGGGUCGUAUUUUUAAAAUUCUUCAAAGUUUUCAAUUUUCGACAUUAAGACAUUAACUAAUCAACUAGGUACCAAUUUUUGGGCGUUACGAGGGUGCUAAUCCUUCCUAGCACGUAACUGACUCCCGAACCCGUUUUUCUGAAUUUCGUGGACCAAAAUCGUUGCUUUAAUAAAAUUAGAUCGUUUAUUAAAAACAACCACUUUUCAAGGUGAUCCGAUCACACCUUAUCAAAAAGGAUUGGCGGUGACUCCCGUUUUCGUUUUCAAAAUUCAAGUCGGCCCCGUUUUAUCAAAAAAAUGGUGUCAUCAAACCGUAUUCAAGAUCCAUGACAAAACUGCGACAUUACAACAUUCCCAUUGAGAAUGCAAAUCCUCUAUUACAGAUUCUUUAGAGUUGGUCCCAUCUGCAAAACCUAACUUGUUUUUUUCCAAUAAUGCAAUUCGCAUAGAUCUGCUCCAGAUAUUAUAGUUUUGAAGCCCAAAAAGUUAAUGAGAAACGAGUAACGUAUCUAGAGUAUCAGUAAGAGUAUCAGAAGGAUGCAAGUACAGGGGAUGAUUGAAAUCAACUAAAAGAUUAAAGGAAUUCACCAUUGCAACAAAUCGCGAACAAAAAAACAAAGUAGUGACAAACCAACCACAAUCAAUAGAGAAUUUCAAUAGCAGUUAAGAAUUUAUGUGAAAAGGUGAAAGAUGAAUAAAUUUGAUAUCAAUUUUUUAUUAGUGAAAACUGUAUAUAAAAUUAGAACUGAUAGUAUUUAUAUACUAUCAACUCCUAACUAACUAACCGAUGAUUAUCUCUUCAACAAUAUCAUAUUCAAACUUAAAUUUCUUGAAUAAGGUAUAUAUUUUAGUAUUUAUAGUUCUCUUUAUAUAUUUUUAAAAAAAAAUUGAUUUUAAGUUUUUUUAAAGUAAAUUUAUGUAUUAUUUUAUACGAGGUGCCACGUUAUGGCAAAAAAUUUCAAAUUUUCUCUUGGUAUUAUCAAAUACCCUCAUUCGUUUUACGGUUUAAGAUCAAUCUUGUAGGAGUCGAGAAUGGAUUCAAAUAAAAUUUUUCCAAUAAUAAUAACUCCAAUAUUCAAAUUUAGUACAGAAUUCAACCACUAUUGGUAGUUCCAAAAUUUUAUCCUCAAUAAUUGUUGGUAUUGAAACGUGUUACACAAUGAGUUUUGUCGAUAUAUUAUUUGUUGAUGACCUUUCUCGAUUAUGAUACUGACAUGUACCUACGAAAAACAGUCCAUGCUUGACCUUAUUUACAUGUGACCAAGCAUAAUUUGACACAAAGCUUCUAUUGUGGCACCUUUUCGGAGGAUCAUAAUAAACAGAAGUAUAAAUAUAGACUUCUAACUACUUUUUUUCAUCAACUUAAUGCAUUGAUAGCAGUACUGUUUAUGUGUGAAGUUAGAUUCAUGGUAUUAAUGCAUUGAUAGCCGUACUGUUUAUGUGUGAAGUGCUAUAUUUUUAUUAAAUAUUAAAAAUAUUUUAUUUAAACUUAAAUUAUAUUUAUUUUCAUAUUAAAUUAUACAUGUACUAUAAUUUAAAUUAUUCAAUUUUGAAUUACACUUUUUUAUUAAUACAAAAGUAAGACUUACCACUAUAAAAUAUGUAUUGUUAAUUAGUAGUUAAAAAUUCACAUUAAAAUUCAAAUUUCAUUAUCAUUUACACAUUCAAAUCUCCAUCAAGAUUUGAAGGUUCUUUCUUUUAAUUAUUAUAGUAUCAAGGGGAAUUUAAAGGGGUAGGUGGUGCCUUGGUUCAAUUAUGUUUUAGCUCCUCAAAUGAAAAAAAUUAUGUUAAGUCACUCUUAAAAUAAUGUAAUCAUAAAAUUAUAUUUGAUAAAAUUAUAUUUAGACCUCUUAAAAAUUUAUAAUUUAAUUCUGACCCCUUUUUCGUAACCAUUUCAAAAUUAUUACUUUGUAUUAUUUACAUUAAAUAAAAAUAUAUUCUUUUAUAAAUUAUAAAUAUAAUUAGGUAAAAUCACAUAACUCCCAACCCCUAACUUCGUCUUUAUUUCGACAGCGACUUCCAUCUUUCAAUUUCACUAAUUAAAUUUGUUUAUCUAUUGGGAGUUUUCUUCAACCUUUUCUCUCAUUGGUUUUUAUUAUAUAUAAAGGAUACUAAAUCAUCAUGUGUGAUCUUGUGGUUAAUCUAGCUAUCUUUAUUUCAAAAUGAAUCCUCUUAUUCUAUUGAAGAAUGCUGCUCAAAAUGGAGAUGUUAACAAGUUAUAUCAAGCGAUAGCUAAAGAGUCUAAUGUUUUGGAGCAUUAUGAUCAAACACCUUUCGCUGAAACUCCAUUACAUAUAGCCACAAGUCGAGGGCAUAUCAAUUUUGCUUUAGAGAUAAUGAGGCUUAAACCAUCUCUUUCCAAGAAGCUAGAUGAACAAGUGUGGAGUCCCAUGCACGUUGCGUUGCAACAUAACCAGACCUCGAUGGUGUAUCGGCUCAUAGAGACGGAGCCAACCCUUGUUGGUGUCAAAGGAAGGGAGGGUUUCACUCCACUGCACUACGUUGUUCAAAACGACGAAGUUAAUCUCUUGCGUGAGUUUCUAGCGGUAAGCCCUCAUUCCAUCAUGGAUACCACGAAUAAAGGUAAAACGGCUUUGCAUAUCGCUGUGGAGAAGGGAAAUACCAGAGCUUUAGAGACUUUGUUGUCGUUUCUUCGAAGGUCAUGGUAUAGGGAGGCAUUAUAUUGGGAAGAGAAAUUAGUUAACUGGAAGGAUGAAAAAGGUGAAACAGUACUGCAUGUAGCAGUGAAGAUGAACGAUAUCGAGGUGAUUUUUGAUGAACUCAUUUCAGCUAUGCAUGACAAGAUUAUAUUGCAUUGCAUUACAAUUAGAUUAUAUAACCGGCCAAAUUUUAUAGGAAGUCCCUAUACUUUACAUUCUUCUUUGUAGCUUUAGUAAAUUUACUACAUUUGAUCAAUUCUAGUUUUGGUUUAGACCGGGUUGUCUUCGGUUUGUGAUGAUGAUUUUGGGUUUUAAUUUUAGGUUUAAUUAAUUUUUCAUUUUUAAAAAUAAAAAUUUUGUGCCGAUGGGGCAAGAAAAUUUGCCAUGCCUGUCGGGUUAACGAUUUGAUUUUAAGUUUUUCGGGGCAAUAUAUUAUUGGUAUUUAAAUUUAGUUUUAUUGUUAAAUUUGAUAAUUGAAAUUUUUUUUUGUUUUAAUUUAGUACCUAAGUUUGAUUUUAAUUUUUUAUUAGAUCAAAUGGCGUCAUGUACCCCAAUGAAUGUUUGACAUGUGUACUUUAAUCAAAAAUGUACUUAAUUGAAAAAAAAGAAGCUCAAGUACCAAAUUAAAAAUUGAAGCUAAACUCCAAUUCUUACUUUUUUUUUCUUUUUUUACCAUUGUCUAAGAACAAAAAUCACAAAUUUUAAGUCAUUUUUCUGAACUAUCCAACUAUUUUCUUUUGAGUCAAGUUUAAAAUUUUAAUAUUCAAAAUGUCGAAUGAAAUUAAAAUUGAUAAAGUUGGAAUGCAGGACCAAAUCCACUAGAACACAUAGUACAUGAACAAUUAGGAUAAUUUAACCAUGAUAAUCCUUUCUUCAAUGGUAAUAAGAUGAUCAUUGCAAAAUCCUACCUUGCAGGUUGUGAAAUCGUUACUAAACUCUAAAAUCAACGUGAAUGCAAAAAGCCUAGAAGGUAAAACAGUUCUGGACAUUCGCGCUGGCAAUAAUCCAGACAUGGAAAAAGUUUUAAUCCAAGCAGGAGCUAAAAAUAGUGAUGUAAUGAAGGCCAACAACAUUAAUGCUAUUCCUUCCUGUUGGGAAGAAACCGAACAACCGAAACAAAGCGAAAGCACAACCGGUGUUCUUUCUCUCCUUAUAACUCCUGUAAAAAAUUAUGGCAAGCACAAUAGCACAAGAUAUGUUCUCUAGCAACCUUAAUCAACCACAAAUCAACUAAUGCAACCACAACAAAAAUAAAUAGAGACACCAAUAUUUUUACGUGGAAAACCCCUCUAAAUUAAGGGUAAAAACCACGGGACUUUAGAGUCCGAUAAAGAGCUCCACUAUCAUCAAAUGUUCAACUACAAGAUCACAAUAUCAAGCCUACAACAAGCAUUCAACUCCGACAAGGCUAACAACAUGUAAUCUUUAGCAAAAGAGAGAAAAAUGAGAGAACAUCACCAAAAACGUAGCUGCUGAAAAAUGGGUAUUUCCGACGCUACAAGACUCGGAUGAAAAAUCCGACCGUACAAAGUCAAGAACACCUUAUCACCUAGCUGCUGUCCAAAAAUCAGCUCAAUCGAACCACGGAUGGACCUUCGAUCGAAGAGUUGAUCACUGUUGCACCAAGCUUGAAAAUCUGAUUUUUUUCUAUUCUCUUUCUCUCUAUUUUUUCUUUAGCUCUCUGCAGAAAAAUUUCUGCCCAACACCCGUUAAUAAGCCAAAAAAUUGGCUUUUGACAAAACCAAAAGAAAAAGGAAGGCAAAACAUUUGUGCCAGAAAAUAUGGGUUUCCCACAUAGUGGGACCCAUACCCAACAAAUCUCCCCCUCCAACUAUGUGGGGAAUGCCUCCAUACCGGAGGUCAAACAACAUGCUUCAAAUUUUCCUCUUGGUAAGGCCUUCGUCAACAUAUCAGCACCAUUAUCAUUAGUGUGUAUCUUCUCAAGCUCUAACAGCUUAGCUUCAAGAACAUCUCGUAUCCAAUGGUACCUCACAUCAAUAUGCUUAGAUCUAGCAUGAAAAGUUGAGUUCUUACCAAGAUGAAUAGCACUCUGGCUAUCACAGUACAGGACAUACUUCUCCUGAGUAAAACCAAGCUCAUGCACAAACUUCUUCAUCCAAAGCAUCUCCUUACACGCUUCGGUUGCUGCAAUGAACUCUGAUUCGGUGGUGGACAAUGCAACACACUUUUGCAGUCUCGAUUGCCAUGCCACAGCUCCCCCUGCAUAAGUGAUUAAGUAACCUGAAGUAGAUCUCCUCGAGUCAAUGUCUCCGGCCAUGUCUGAAUCUGUAUACCCAACAAGAACAGGUUUCUCAUUGCCGAAACAAAGUUUCAUGUUGGAAGUGCCACGAAGAUAUCUCAUAAUCCACUUCACUGCAUUCCAAUGCUCUCUGCCUGGAUUAGAAAGAAACCGACUAACUGUACCAACGGCAUAAGCCAAGUCUGGUCUCGUGCAAACCAUUGCGUACAUCAAACUACCCACGGCUGAAGAGUAAGGAAUUUUCUGCAUCUCUUCCUUCUCCUUUUCUGUGGAAGGACUAUGCUUAACACUCAAUCUAAAGUGCAUAGCAAAGGGAGUAUUCACCGCUUUAGCUUUGUCCAUACUAAACCUUUGAAGUACUUUCUCAAUGUACCUCUCUUGUGAUAACCAUAAUUUCUUGGCCUUUCUAUCACGUGUCAGUCUUAUGCCAAGAAUUUGCUUUGCUGGCCCCAAAUCCUUCAUUGCAAAGGAUUUACUCAACUCUUGUUUCAACUUCUCAAUUCUAGAAGCAUUCUGACCAACAAUAAGCAUAUCAUCAACAUAGAGCAAAAGAAUAAUAAAAUCAUCACCAGAGAAUCUCUUAACAAACACACAAUGAUCAGAAGUAGUCUUCUUGUAGCCUUGCUCCCCCAUAACAGACUCAAACUUCUUGUACCAUUGCCUUGGAGCUUGCUUCAAACCAUACAAGCUCUUCUUCAAUCUGCACACAUAGUCCUCUUUCCCUUGUGCAACAAAACCCUCUGGCUGCUCCAUGUAAAGCUCUUCUUCCAAGUCACCAUGAAGAAAAGCAGUUUUCACAUCCAUUUGUUCAACCUCUAGGUCAUAACAAGCUGCCAAACUCAGUAUAGUUCUGAUAGAGGACAUCUUCACAACCGGAGAAAAUAUUUCUUCAAAAUCAACCCCCUUUUUCUGAGUAUAACCCUUGACGACCAAUCUAGCUUUGUAUCGUGGAGAUGAAGACUUCUCUUCUUGCUUCAACCUGUAAACCCACCGAUUCUUCAAAGCUCUUUUGCCCUUAGGCAGUUUCACCAAUUCAAAAGUAUGGUUCUCAUGCAAGGAUUGAAGUUCGUCUUUCAUCGCUUCAACCCACUGAUCUUUGCAUUCACUCUCCAUAGCCUCUUCAUAACAUUCAGGUUCUCCCCCGUCAGUCAAAAGAACAUAUUCAUCAGGAGAAUACCUGACAGAAGAUCGUCGAUCUCUGGAAGACCUUCGAAGUGGAACUGCUGGUGGAGCUAUAGGUGCUUGUUGUUGAUCAUUCACAACAUCAUCCAUGGGAGUAUCAAAGUCACCUAUAGUCUGAUGGUCACCACUAACAUCACCAUGCACAUCAUCCUGGAUAGGAUCUGGUGAAGAGUCUAAGGGAACCGGAUUCACAUCGAUCAAGUCACCACUACCUUGUGAAUCCACUUUCUCCGUUUUAUCAAUGUCAUCAAUGGUCUGAUCCUCAAUGAAGACAACAUCUCUGCUUCUCACGAGUUUCUUCUGAACUGGAUCAUAGAGUCUAUAACCAAACUCACCAUCUAGACCAUAACCAAUAAAAAUGCAUUGUCGAGCCUUGGCAUCCAACUUGGAUCUUUCAUCCUUUGGAACAUGAACAAAUGCUUUACAACCGAACACACGUAGGUGAUCAUAUGACACGUCUUUACCAAACCAAACUCUAUCUGGCACAUCACCUUUCAAAGGAACACUAGGAGACAGAUUUAUCACAUGUGUCACUGUAUUCAAAGCUUCAGCCCAAAACGAUCUUGGUAACUUUGCAUCUGACAACAAACAUCUGACUCUCUCAAUCAAUGUUCGGUUCAUUCUUUCAGCUAACCCAUUUAACUGUGGAGUCUUUGGUGGUGUUCUCUGAUGUCUGAUUCCCUGUCGCAGACAAUACUCAUGAAACGACCCUGUGUACUCGCCACCAUUAUCAGUACGAAUGCACUUCAACUUCUUCCCAGUUUCCCUUUCAACUGAUGCUUGAAACUGUUUAAACACCUCAAAGACUUGAUUUUUAGACUUUAAAGUGUAAACCCAUAGCUUUCUUGAACAAUCAUCAAUGAAAGUCACAAAGUAAAGUGCACCACCAUGUGAUCUUACUUUUAUCGGACCACAAACAUCUGAAUGGACCAACUCUAGCAACUCUGAUUUCCUAUGAGGAGGAUGGCUUCUAAAUGAAACUCUUUUCUGCUUUCCUGCUAGACAAUGAGCACAAUUCUUCAGUGUAGCAUUCUUUAAACCCGAAAGUUGAUUCUUCUUCGCUAAACAGCUAAGCCCCUUCUCACUCAUGUGACUGAGUCGUUUAUGCCACAACUCAGUUGAGUUGUCAUUCAGUGUCACAUUCACCGUCUCUCGAGAAGUCAAAGCUUGCAUCAAGUACAAAUUUGAGCUCUUCUUUCCUCGAGCCACAACCAAGGAGCCUUUAGUCAGCUUCCACUGCCCUUCACUGAAGGUGUUACAGAAUCCCUCAUCAUCAAGUUUUCCUGCAGAAAUCAAAUUCAAACGGACAUCCGGUGCAUGUCUGACAUCCUUGAGAGUUAACUUUGUUCCAUUGUUACUUACCAAGCUAACAUCUCCCAUACCAAUAACCGAAACCAAACCAUCAUUACCCAUCUUCAAUACCCCAAAAUCACCAGGAGUAUAAGAUGUGAAGAAUUCCUUCCUCGACGUGACAUGAAGUGAUGCACCAGUAUCAAUCACCCAACUAGUCUCGUCGCAUGCUAGGUUGACCAAAUUCUCAUCACAAAUAACUAACAGAUCUUCACGAGUAACAGUAGCAACACGCUCGAAUUUUUCAUCGUCAUUCCGAUCGUGUUUAUCACCACCACAUUUGUUCUCUUUCUUCCACUUGAAGCAAUAUUUCUUGAUAUGACCUUUCUUACCACAAUGAUGACACUCAAGAUUCUUGUAUCUCGAUCUUGACUUGCUUCGGCUUUUAUCUCUACCCUUUCCAUCUUUGUCUCUGUUUCUCCCCCUGUUCUCGAUAACCAACACCUCGGACUGUGAUGUAGAACCCUGAGAUCUUCUUCUAACCUCUUCAUUCAACACACCACUCUUAGCCAAAUCCAAAGUAAUAAUACCCUGUGGGGCAGAAUUAAUGAGUGAGACUCGAAAGGUCUCCCAAGAGUCUGGUAGAGUAGCAAGCAACCAAAGUCCUAAAAUCUCGUCAUCAAAUUUGACACCCAUACCAAGCAACUGAUUCAUCAUACUCUGAAAUUCACUAACAUGGUCAGCUAUAGACAUUCCUUCUUUAUAUUUCAGCGCCAUCAUUUUCUUCAGCAAAAAUAACUUGUUAUUGCCCGACCUCGAAGCAUACAAGCUUUCAAGCUUCUCCCACAAUGUUCGAGCAUGUGUCUCCUGAUCAAUGUGAUUGUAAACAUUUUCUUCAACAAAUUGCCGAAUAAAGCCACACACUUGUUGAUGCUCAAAUUCCCAUUCUUCAUCACUUUUCGAAUCGGGUUUUUGAGUAGUAAAGACCGGAAGAUGCAAAGCCUUCACAAACAACAAGUCCUUCAUUUUAUUCCGCCAAAGUUGAUAAUUUGUGCCAUUCAACAUAAUCAUCUUGCUCGUAUUAAUUUCCAUAAUUAUCUGACACAAUAACCAAGCUCUGGUACCAGUUUGUUGGGAAGAAACCGAACAACCGAAACAAAGCGAAAGCACAACCGGUGUUCUUUCUCUCCUUAUAACUCCUGUAAAAAAUUAUGGCAAGCACAAUAGCACAAGAUAUGUUCUCUAGCAACCUUAAUCAACCACAAAUCAACUAAUGCAACCACAACAAAAAUAAAUAGAGACACCAAUAUUUUUACGUGGAAAACCCCUCUAAAUUAAGGGUAAAAACCACGGGACUUUAGAGUCCGAUAAAGAGCUCCACUAUCAUCAAAUGUUCAACUACAAGAUCACAAUAUCAAGCCUACAACAAGCAUUCAACUCUGACAAGGCUAACAACAUGUAAUCUUUAGCAAAAGAGAGAAAAAUGAGAGAACAUCACCAAAAACGUAGCUGCUGAAAAAUGGGUAUUUCCGACGCUACAAGACUCGGAUGAAAAAUCCGACCGUACAAAGUCAAGAACACCUUAUCACCUAGCUGCUGUCCAAAAAUCAGCUCAAUCGAACCACGGAUGGACCUUCGAUCGAAGAGUUGAUCACUGCUGCACCAAGCUUGAAAAUCUGAUUUUUUUCUAUUCUCUUUCUCUCUAUUUUUUCUUUAGCUCUCUGCAGAAAAAUUUCUGCCCAACACCCGUUAAUAAGCCAAAAAAUUGGCUUUUGACAAAACCAAAAGAAAAAGGAAGGCAAAACAUUUGUGCCAGAAAAUAUGGGUUUCCCACAUAGUGGGACCCAUACCCAACACUUCCAUGAAGCAAGUAAGUUUUGAACCAAAGCCUACACUUCUUGAUAAUGUCAUACGGUUCCUAAAAGGCCAGAAAACAAAUAUCUCGACCGAAACAUGUGAUGCUUUGCUAGUGGUGGCUGCACUGGUUGCAACAGCCACUUUCCAAGCGGUUCUCAGCCCACCGGGAGGGCUUCGACAGGCUGACAGUAGCGACAGUGAUUCACUUCCGUUCAGCAAGGUGGGGAAGGUGGUGAUGAAAGAAUGGUUAUACAUAACUUUCUUGAUUCUUAAUAGUACUUCAUUUUGGGUGACAAUCAUAACCAUUUAUCUUUUACUCCCAAACGGGUUUUAUGGUCAGCUAUCGACUCUACCCUUAAUUCUCUUCUCGAUUACCUACUUGUUCUGCUCAACAAUCAUAUCACCAAGCCUCAUUUGUGCCAUUGUUAAUUUCAGCUUUUUCAUAUGUUGUGUGGUGUUACUAAGUUCAGGCCUUGUGGUUAUAUCCAAUCAUUCCUUGUUGUCCUACAUCAAGAAAUUAUGGUCCCGUUGCAGAUAGGAUGAUUUACUUGUGGAUUUGGAGUUUGUUGCAUGGAACCUCCUCAUCACUUGUUUGUGUUGUGUUACUCUGUCUAUGACAUAACGUUGAAACUCUAUUGCUAAUUGUUGAAUAAUGUAUUGUAAUUAAAGUUUGUAUUCAAUCAGUGAGAUGGGAAUGGAUGAAUUUAAGAAAUUUAGUAGCCAUUUAAUUAGGAUG